Molecule: long non-coding RNA, 154239 nt
Filed under: Lactuca sativa (garden lettuce)
Lineage: Eukaryota; Viridiplantae; Streptophyta; Magnoliopsida; Asterales; Asteraceae
Description: long non-coding RNA (LSAT_LNC007219)
Source: RNAcentral
AAAACCUCCAACACCUUCAGCACCUCCAACACCUACAAAACCUUCAACACCUCCAACGCCUACAAAACCUACAACACCUUCAACGCCCCCAACACCUACAAAACCUACAACACCUUCAACGCCUCCAACGCCUACAAAACCUUCAACGCCUCCAACGCCUACAACACCUACAAAACCUUCAACACCUCCAACACCUACAAAAACUACAACGCCUACAAAACCUUCAACGCCUCCAACGCCUACAACACCUACAAAACCUUCAACACCUCCGACACCUACAAAACCUACAACACCUUCAACACCCCCAACACCUACAACACCUUCAAACCCUCCCACGCCUUCAACACCUUCAAACCCUCCAACGCCCUCAAGCCCUCCUAAAGCCACUUGCCCGACAGACACUCUCAAAUUGGGUGUGUGUGCUAACUUGCUCAACAACCUUCUCCCUAUAGUCAUCGGAAACCCAUCAGAGACACCAUGUUGUUCCCUCCUUUCCGGCCUCGCAGAUCUUGACGCUGCAGUCUGUCUUUGCACUGCCAUUAAAGCUAAUGUCUUGGGAAUCAACCUCAACGUUCCCGUCUCAUUGAGUGUCUUGCUUAACUAUUGUGGAAAGAAGUCCCCAUCCGGCUUCCAAUGCACCUAGAUUCUGAAAACUUAUAACUAUAGAUUGUUCUAUUUUGAAAUAUGUUUUCUUAUGUUGAAUAUGAUGUAAAGAAUCAAUUACCAUAUGAUUCAAGAAUAAAGUUGUGUACUAUAUUUUGAAAUUUUUGUGACUAUUACAAAAUAUCAAUUCCUAAAAACUCCUAACAAAAAAAUAAAUAAAUGUAAUUACUAUACUUAAUUUACAAUAUAAUAAAUUUUGAAGUUACGGUACUUUAUAAUUUUUCAAGAAUUUUUUUUUGAAAUAAAAAUAAGAAAGUUGAUGAAUUUUUUUUUUGCAGCAACAAACACUUAGUGUAUAUAAAAUAAGAUUAAUUUAGCGGGAAUUAAACCUGUUUAAAUACUUGAUUAAUUAAUAAAAUAUAAAACGAAUAUUUGGGGUUUAGGUUUUGGUUGUCUCUUUUGUGUAGUGGGAUGAUGAGUCAGCAAGAAAAGAACAAACAAAUGUGAAAAAUGGUAUGGUGAGGACUCCGAUGCUCAGUCACUGGUGAUAUUUAUAUCGAGAGAUUGCUUUCAUUUCUGUGAACAUUUUAGCGAAAAUCAGGAGGAACAGCUACAAUUUAUUUCGUAAGGUCGGUUAAUUUAUAUGCAGUCUUUCCUUCUUUUAUGUUCUUACAGUUCAAAUCUAUUUCCAUUUUACUUCAUCGUUGAACUUUCGUAAUUACAUUUCAACUCUUACGAAUUGAUCACAAUUCACAAUAACAUUAGAUUUUCCUUUCCCCGAAUUCUAAUUCAACUUCAUAUCUUUGAAGCAACACUGAAAUUCUACUGCUUUUGCUUCCAGUCUUCCAGGCCUGACAAGGUGAUUAAACCAUAUGGAAUUCUUCAAUAUACUCAAGAUAUAUCGGGUUUUGUUGAUUAUCUGCUUGAUAUCUGAAUUGGGUCAUGGGUUUUAUCACCCUGGUAGUUAUCCUCCCACAUAUGUCAAAGGGGAGCCAUUAUCUGUGAAACUCAGCUCUUUAACUUCAAUUGAUACAGUAAUCCCUUAUAGCUACUAUAGUUUACCCUUCUGUAAACCCCCAGAAGGUGUGAAAGACAUUGCUGAUAAUCUUGGUGAGUUUCUGAUUGGUGAUUGGAUCCAAAACUCGCCUUAUAACUUUCAUAUGUACACAAAUGAAACCGAGAUCUUUCUUUGCCAAACAAAAUCGUUAUCCAGUGACGAGUAUAAGCUGCUAACGAACAGGAUUGAGGAGCUAUAUCAAGUUAAUUUGUUCCUUGAUAAUUUGCCAGCCAUUCGGUAUGUUACUGAUUACCCGAGGUGGACUGGGUACCCAAUAGGUCUCAAGUUUUCUGAUUCAUAUUAUGUGUUUAAUCACUUGAAGUUCACAGUUUUGGUUCACAAGUACGAAGAGAUGAAUGUUCCUCAUAAGUACAUGGUUGUAGGAUUUGAAGUGGAUCCUUGCAGUGUUAAACAUAACCCCGAGACAUUAAAGAAUUUGAAAAUUUACAGUAAGUAUCCAUCUAAGAUUGAUUGUGAGGAUAGCGUAGUAGCUUUAAAGGAAAACGAGCCCAUAGCGUUCACGUAUGAAGUCACAUUUAUCGAAAGUGACAUCAAGUGGUCAUCAAGAUGGGAUUCUUACAUGAAAAUGGAUGGAGCAAAAGUAGAUUGGUUUUCCAUCGUGAAUUCACUCAUGAUCAUCACUUUUUUAGCUGGAAUCAUUCUUGUGAUCAUUUUGAGAACAACAGUUAAACGGGAUUUCUCUAAUUUGAAAAUUGUUGUAGUGGAUGUCUACCGUUUUCCUAGCAAUCCCAUGCUUCUUUGUGUAAUGGUGGGAAAUGGGAUUCAGAUUCUUGGAACGACGGUUUUAGCCUUCAUUUUUGCCGCCAUGGGAUUCAUGUCUCCGGUGUCCCGUGGCGCUUUAGUCACCGGAAUGUUAAUCUUUUACAUGGUCCUCGGAAUCUUGGCCGGAUAUAUCGCCGUACGUAUGUGGCGGACAGUCUUUUCCGGCGAUCAUAAAGGAUGGGUUUCAGUUUCUUGGAAAGUUGCUUGCUUUUUCCCGGGUAUCACUUUCUUGAUUUUCUUUGUUCUAAAUUUCCUCUUAUGGAGUUCACACAGCACUAGAGCUAUCCCGUUUUCGUUAUUUGCAACCCUAAUACUACUCUGGUUUUGCAUUUCGGUUCCUUUAUCGCUUCUUGGUGGUUACUUUGGUGUAAAGGCGCCUCAUAUUGAAUACGAGAUUAGAAACAAUCAAAUUCCUCGUGAAAUCCCUGCUAAAAAGUACCCAUCUUGGGUUGUAGUUCUUGGUGCUGGAACUCUUCCAUUCGGUACCCUUUUCGUGGAGAUUAACUUCAUCAUGUCUAGCAUCUCUAUGGAUCGUGUGUACUAUAUUAUAGGGUUCAUGUUCGUUGCUUUGAUCCUUCUAGUAAUGGUGUGCGCUGAAGUGUCAUUGGUUUUGACCUACAUGCAUCUUUGUGUUGAGGACUGGAAAUGGUGGUGGAAAUCUUUUUUUGCUUCUGGGUCGGUGGCAUUGUAUAUAUUCUUGUACUCGAUAUACUAUCUCAUUUUUGAACUCAUGAGCCUAAGUGGACCAAUAUCGGUUAUAAUCUACAUUGGCAACUCACUCUUGAUGGUCCUAGCCACCAUGCUAGUGACAGGCACCGUUGGGUUCCUUUCGUCUUUUUGGUUUGUGCAUUACUUGUUCUCGUCUGUGAGGCUUGAUUGAAAGAACUAAGAAGUCGAUGGGGUUGCUUUCUAGAAAUUCAAAAUUUUCUUUUCUGUUAUGUAGUUUGUAUAUUAUACUUUGAUGGCAAGAACUUAGUUACUACAUAUGAAAUUAAAGGAGUAGAUGGAUGAUUGGUAGUUUGAAUGCUGGUGUCUUUCGUGAAUUGUUGUUUGUAUGAAUUUCAAUGAAAUCCGGGUUCCAUUUUAUGUUUGUGUUGUGUAUAUAUACAACUAAAAGACUAGACAAUAGUCCGGAUAAGUUUGAUAUUUUGUGAGGUCCGGCUCUGAUAUUUCAGAGAACGAGACUGCAACAGGAGACUCAGUGAAAUAUCAAGAUUGAAGACAAAAAAAAAAAAAAAAAAAAAAAAAAAAAAAAAAAAAAAGGAGAGUUUUGAGUAGGAGAGACAAGCAAAUGUUUGUACUUUUCUUUAGAUUAAGUUAAUUUCAUUAAAUUGUUAGUAGAUUUUAGAAUUUACAAUUAUAUUUUGACUUUUUGAUUUAAAUUAACUCUCUUCAUGAUUAAAUUGACUUCAAGAUUACAAUCAAAUAUUACAUUUGGCAUAUAAGAUUCGGACGACUAAUUUUAUUUAUAUAUUUUACGAAAAUAUCAACACCAUAACUAUAUAUAUGUCCCAAAAUUCGGAGGUACCCUGAAAUCGGAAGCCUCGUAUGACCGCACCUCCUACACACCCCCGUGGCCACCAUUGAUUUGGUAAAUUGUAAUGGAGUGAUUGUAUAUCUGAGUAUAUAUCAUGAAGAAAUUUGUUUCUAUUGAUAAUUUAUUCAAGGUCCCUAUUUAGUCAUUUUUUGCAAUAAAUUUCGGAUUGUAUCUCUACAAGUUGGUGUUGUGAAGUAGAUCAGUUAAUUGACUAAUCAUUUGGGUAUUUGGCCAUUGAAGAUGGAGCUACACACAACUAGUUUAGUAAGGUUUAAUAGAGGCUCUUGCAGGCAAAACACCCUCUUGGGUUUACGGGACAAUAUUUGUCAAGGCUAAUAAAAGUUUAAAAAGAAGAUCCAAAUCUACUAAAAAAGAUUGGGGAAUAAAUCUUUCUUUCGUUGAGUUGAUGAGAGUUAGAUUGCUUUUUUCUCCUGUCUUUAACGAGUGGCUCUAACUCGGCCUCUCAACUUUUCAAACCUUUCUUCUUUUGUAUUUUUUCUGAAAAUUUGAAUUUUAGAAAAACACAACUAUCAUGAAAACUUGCAGAAAAACCAAUUGUACAGAGUCAUAGAAAAGAUGGUUUUGCCACCAUUGAGUCCAAGUUAUACCAUUUUUACUAAAUUUAUUCGGAAAAAAAAAAUCAAAGGAGUGAAUUGUUAGCAUAAUAAGUUACUUGAGCUCUUUUUUAUUAGGUCUUAUGUUUUGUGCAUUAGCUAGGUUAACCCUAUAUAACUUUCCUAUUAAUAGUCUUAUUUAUCUUUCUUUCUCUUUACGGUUUUCUAUCAAUAAUGUAACCUUAUCCGUUUUCUAUCUAUACAGUUUUCUAUCGUCAGUGUAACCUUAGGUGUUUUCUCUCCAUAUUAUAUUACUUUUUGUAGAUUGUUAUUAGUUAAACGGUAUCAUAGCUAGAAUUGUGUUCGAUCAGUCUUUUACGAUUGUUAUGUUUUUUAGAUUCGUUUCUUUAUUUCUUUUGGUUUGAUUUGUUCGAAUUUGUUGUUUUGAGGGUAUAUAUUGAUGUUAUUUCAUCACUCUCUGGUUUGAUUUGUUCGUUUGCCUUCAAUUUCCUGCUGCGAUUUAUUAUAUCGCGCCACGAAAAUACCUUUUCAUCGAUAUUUUUGUCGCAAUUUGUGAAUCUCGUUGAGAUCUUAGGUAUGAUUCCUGAUUGGUUUCUUUAUUUCUUUUGGUUUGAUUUGCUUGAAUUAUUUAUUUUGCUUGACUUGGUUGAAUUGUUCGUUUGUUGCUUUUUUUCUUAUUUCAAUUAUUGUUGUUUCCGUAUUUUGUGCACCGAAUUUGGGCUCCUUGCGCUGUAAUUUGGAUUGUUUAUAUUGGUUUGAUCCGUUUCGUGCUUUCAUAAUUUGUUCGAUAUGCUUUCUCUUUUUUUCCGAUUUUUAGUGUCGCGAUGUUACUUUCUUCUAUUAGAGUUGAUUUGUUUCGAUUUUGGUUCUAUCCAUUUCGUGUCGUUAUUUGUUCGAUUUGCUAUUUCGCCGUUUCUUGAUUCGCGAUUCUACUUGGUUCGAUGAGGUUUGAUUCGUUUUGUCGAUUUCUCGUCACAAUGAUCAAAAUCGCGCCGCAAUUUUUCUUCAGAAAGCAUUUUUUGUUCGUCUUGAUUUGCCGAAGCUCUUGAAAAUCUUGGUCGUCGAAAGUUUCCUACUCUUAGUAUUCUUAACAUUUUCGGUUGAAUUCAUAUUUUUUUCGUUGACUUUGAAAGUUUCUUAAAAAAAGUUUUUGUUUUGCUUUUGCAAGAAUUUCACUUCAUGUUAAGAACAAUUAUAAUGCUUUCGUCUUAUCUUCUUGUUACAAAAGUGACGGUUAUCUAUUUAUGCUUAGUGUUACAAAAAAUAUAGAUGCAGUGCUUCAUUUGAUAUUAUUAAAAAUGAGAUUUUUAUAAGUUUUGGUAAAUUUAGUUUCAGUUUCCGCUUUUGCUAGUAUCAUUGGAUCUAUAUUAUCUUCAACAAUAUUUGAUAUGGUUUUGUUUUAGCAUUUCUUGUUUCACUUCGCCUUCUUUGUUUGUUUCCGGUUAUAAAUUCCAUUUUUUUUUGUUUAUAAAAGUAUUUGAUUCGGGUUUGUGUUCAUUUGGUCAUAUAUUCUCUUAUGUUCUAGUUUUAUUUUGCAUCUCUAUUUGACUUUUAUUUUUAUCUUUUUUUGUUGGAUUUUUUUUCUUUGCUUUUGUAUCAGUGUUGCUCCUCUUUAGCAAACUCUCAAUGCUUAUUGCUCAAGCAUUGUGAGUGUGAGGGGGGAAAGAGAAUAAAUAGGAUUUGGUUCAUUAGCUUAGUAUGAUGCAACUUUGCAUAUUACGUUUUCUUUGUUGUGAUGUUUCCGCUAGUAUAUUUGGGGUUCCUUUAUUUGGUUGCAGAAAUGCAGAUUUGGUAUUGGCUGCUUUCAUGUAAAUUGUUUUGUUUUAGCUGAUUUCAUGCAGAUUGUUUGCUUUUUGCUGCUUUCAUGCAGAUAGUUCUGAAUUACUGAAUCUAUUUUACGCUCAAAACAUUGAACAAGGGUUAAGAAGCGAAAUUCUAUUACUCUAAUAAAAUGAGCAUAGACCUAAUUGUAAUAUCAAGACCAUACUUGUGAAGGUAGUAAAGUUAAAAAAAAACCCAUGUAAUAUGGUGUUGUAUUAGGGGAAGUUGAUAUAAUCUCAAGAUAUUACGAUACUUGAAGUGGGAAAGUGCAUUUUUGUGACAAAGGUGAGUCAAUCAUUUUUACAACCUUGGGAAUAUGCAAUUAUUGACAAUGAAUCAAUCGAUCUGAAUUAGUUUAGCUUGUGCGUGAUAUGUCAUGUUUAUGUUAUGUGCUAGAAAUAUGUUAUGUUGGUGUGGUGUGAACUUUAGGGUGUUAUCUAUGCUAGAUGGUAUUUAUAAUGAUAUAUAUGUUAUGAUAGGUGUUGUUAAACCCAUCAUAGAUGCUAGACUAAAUGAUCAAUUGCUCCAAAUUGGAUAUCUUGUGAUGUGUGUCCCUAUUUGUGUAUGGUAUAUGUGUUGGAAAUGUUGAUGCUCUAUUAUGAUAAAAUUAUUUAUGGUGUAUUUCAUGCCAGAUAGUUUAUGUGAUGAUUUGGUAUGAAUUAUGAUGAUAGGUGCAUACUAGUGUGACGACUAUUUUUUAUAUGUGUUGUAAAUAAUGUUUGCAUGCUAUUUCUGGAAUAUUAGUGUUGUAAAACUCGCCGAUUUGGCCGAGUACUUGUCUGAGUACUCGUUACUCGCCCCGAGGCGAGUUACAGAAUUCGCGUACUCCUCGAUCGUCCCCUUACUGAAGCGAGUAGUGUUGUAAAACUCGGUCAACUCGGUGACUAAUAUGUAUAAUAUAUUUAAUGAUUCAUUAUUUAACACAAACAUGUGAUUAUUACUACAUAUAUAUAUAUAUAUAUAUAUAUAUAUAUCUUAAAUUUUCAGUAAUUAUUCACAAAGUGAGACCAUUGUGUGUUUUUCAGUUUUUGUGUAUUCACAUGUAUCUAAUUUUGUUUUACAUAUUUCAGUUAACUUAUGAUUUUAAUUUAUGAUUUUGACAUAUAUAAUUUCCCUAAAAAUAUUUCUACAUGAAUUACUGAAUUUGAGUGCUCUUCGAGUACUCGCUACUCGGCAGUUAGCUGAAUAGGUAUCGAGUAGCGAAUUUUACAACCUUGAAUAUUAGAUUGUCAAAGAUGUUAGGAAAAUCACAUUCUAGUGAUAUAUUAUAUAAUAAUUAAAUGAGGAAAAAUAUACAUAAUAAUAAGGAAUGAAAGUGACCUUUGUAUAUAAUUUCAAAUAAAUAGAAAUGCGGGGGAAUAUACAUAAAGGGCCAAGGGUAGUGUUGGCUCUACGAGGAAAGCCAUUUAGUGUUAGCUUUACAAGGAAAGUCAUGUAGUUUUGGGCCUACAAGGAAAGACAGGUAGUGUAGUCUCUAUGAGGAAAGCCAGUUAGUAUUGACUCUACGAGGAAUGCCAGUUAAUGCUGGCUCUACGAGGAAAGCCAAUCAAAUGAUUUUUCUACACGACCAAUUUGACACAUGAUUCACCAGAGAUGGGUGAACUAGAGUAAUGUUGGCUCUAUGAGUAAAGUCAGCGCAAACAUCACAUCGGAUAUGGGAGGUAUAUAUUGGUUGAAUUCGGCACCGUUUGUAGAAAAUCCUUAACAAAAUUGUGAAAUACUUAUAUUUCUUAACGUCAGAGUAGCAAAUCCUAUGAAACAGAACACCAUGACUUGGGUGAGUGUGGCACCUCACCUCGUGCGUCGGUCCAUUAAGACUGACUUGUAGUAAAUUUGGUAUUUGAUAGUACAUGAAAGUGAUACUAUAGGCUAUCUAAGAUUAUUUAGUUUUCGAGAUAUGUUGAAGUUCCGAAGUUGUGAAGAUUCCAAAAUUGAAGAGUUUCUGGGUUGAGAGAAUGUCGUGUGGUUGAUUUGCAGUGUGUAUUUGUCUUUCUUGUAUCAUUUUUCCUUUGCGCUACUGGUAGUAUAAAUAGGAGUAUCAUUCCAUGUAAUCAGCAUGCCUUUAUCAAUACAAGAAUCACGUCUGUCAUUCAAUCAUUUUCUUUGUUCAUUCUCUUCCUCUACUUUAAUAUUUUCGUGCACUGGAUAUUUGGUUGUUUUUCUUCAAGGCUUGACUGGAUCUGAUCCAGACUUGACUGUAAAUCUUUUACCAGCCUCCAUUAUUGUUAUUCUUUCAAGGUUCAAGAAAUUGAACCUUAUCCUACAAUAUCCUCGAGAUAUCAUUUUAUAUAAACUGGUAUUAGAGCUUGAGUUGUUCUCCUUUGAAUCCGAAAGAUCAAAUUAUCAUUGAUUAAGAAUACCUAAGUAUCUCAUUUUGUAUCAGGAUAAAAGUUUUUCUAUAUACCACUUAUGCUAAAAACAACACAACAAUGGAUGAUCUUAACCCAAAUCAACCAUUGUAUUCUGUUCAAAUUACCAUCAACAUGGGUUUCCCAACGAGAACCCCAUUGCUGAUUGUUGAAGAAUAUGAUCAAUUGGAAGAUGAUAAUAGAGAGAUUCUUGAAAUGAAAAGAUAAAGGUGCCAAAAUUUGGAGAUCAUUCAUUGAAGGAACUCAUGCUUUUUGCAGGUUUUACCCCACAAAAAGGAUCGAUUAACCUAAAGUAAUUAAAUUAAAAACUAAAAUAGUCGUUUCCUGGCAACGGCACCAAAAACUUGAUGCGUACAAAUUAUACCUACUAGUUUUAACCAACUACUUGUCUAGUAAUGCACCUAUAGGCAGUGUACCUAGUAAGUAUAUAGUAUAGUAAAGUAAGUUGGGUAUCGAACUCAGGGAACAAAUCUAGUAUACUAAAGUAACCACUAAAAAUUAAUCUAAAAGCAAACAAUAGUUAAAAGGGGUUUUAUCUAAUUUUUCAAGUUCAGAAAAACUUAUACACUUAACUAAAAACUGUUUUAAUCAAUAUAUUAAAAACACUUUCGUUUAGUUUCGAAUCAACCUUUUUCCUAUUGUUAGUUACUAUUUACUUAUUAAUAAAGUUGAUUACCAAUUGUUAUGUAAUUAGCUAUUUUGGUCCAAUAAACUAAUAUUUUCACCAAUUCAUGUAAUAUUAUGUAUGGUCAUACAAAAGCAAACAUAUAACUAGUUAUUAAUUGUAAUUGAGCUUUUUAAGAUUUAUCUAGGCAAUUAAGCUAACACAAUUAUGGUCACAAUUAUUUUCUCCAGCACAACUAAGUUUGUUACUUUUAUUACUUGAUCUAGAUGUAGUCACUCCUAGCUCUAGCAAUUUAAUAGUCACUAAACUACUAGGUAAAUAAGUUCAUGUAAUUUAAUGGUCACUAAGCUACACUAAACUUGAAUUUAAGCUACAAAGUCACACACUUUAUCAUGCUAGGUAAUGAUAGUCAACCACAAGCACAAAACCAACUUAUAAAAUCCAAUAACUAGUAAACUAAACCAUAGAUUCAAGGUUUCAUCUAGCUAAAAAAAAGUAAAUGAAUUUAGCUACUCAUAACUGAAAUGAAACACAAGAAUUCAUAAGUAAGUGACAUGAUUCAAGUAUGAAAACCGAAUGUAAUGAUUUGAUCUUGAAUUCCUCAAUCUUCCAACUAUCCUUCCUCCAAAAGAAUGAUUUUCGCACUCUUCUGACCUCAAAUCUCGAGUAUCCUAGAAUAUCCUCUCUCCCAAAAGCCUCUUCAAUCAAUAAUGCAAAGGAGUAUUUAUAGUUUUGGAAAAUAUGUUGCUCACGUCGUGAGAUAGGAAUCUCACUUUUUGAACUUGGUUUUUAUCCAUAUCCAGGAAGGAGUCUAACUUCCACGUACUAAUCUUCUAGAAUUUCCUCCUCACAUCGUGAGCUUGAUGUCUCACGUAUCGAGCUUGAUUUUUCAGCGGAAAUCUUCUUCUUUUAAACUCCAAUCCUCCAUAGUUCCAAUGCUUGUCACUUGUAGUCCUUAUUCUUCAAGAGUGUCCUUGUUGGCUGUAAAAUGUAAAUUAAUUCAAUAAGUAUCACAUAUCUUUGAAAUUAACCAAAAUAUUACUUAAAAUGUAUUAAAAUAUUGCCUAAAAAUGUGUAUAAAUAUGCCAAUAUAUAUCAAACCGCCUAGUCUUCAGGAAAUCUCUCCUGCUACUCUCCCCAUGUCAAUAGGUAUGAAUCCUCAGUUCAUCUUUUUCUUUUCUAAUAUGAAGGAUCCUAAACUUAUAGGGUUUUUUUAUGUUUAGGAUCCAAGGCCACGCACCUCGGUGCUCGCUUUACCCUAGUCGAUCUUGACACAACCAUGUCUAGUGGCCAGCUGGUAGUGAAGAAGGAGAAGACAUCAUCUUCUCUCCCUCCCAAGAGAACCUCCAAAGAUUUGAUGGUGAAGACUCCAGGAUCCUAGAAGAGAAAAACUACUAAGGUCAUGGAUUUAAGCUUGGAAAAUAUCAAAGCUAAGGACGCACUCCUGAAGUUGGUUUCUGUUUUUCAAGCUAUAAAUGUCAGCAUAACUUUGCUUUUCAUAUUUUACCUUUCACUUUUACUGAUGUCAUUCUCAUUUCAGGUCUCCGAUCAUGUCUCUAUUGACAUGAAGAUCCAGGCUAAGAGGGUUGUAUCAGUCUUAAAGGGGCAGGAGAAGAUGUAGAGGGAGACUAGUGAGGAUCUCUUGAGGAGGGUGAAGUUACUAAGCAAGGAGAAGGCUGAGAAGGAGGAGGAGCACGUUGCUAUGAUAGAUUAGGUGAUUGUUGAAAUGAAGGUUAGUGAUGUAGUGGCUGUUUGGGAGGCUAAGAUCAAGCUAGCAAAUGAUGUGGAGAAUGCAGGAUCCUGGUGUUGGGUUUUGAGCAUUCUAACACUCCUAUGGUGUACAUGCAACCCUAUAAACCUUAGAUCUAUGUUUUCUCUAUCAUACAUGCAAAUAAGAACUUUCCAAGGCCUUAAUCCUAACUAGCAUAUUAUGAAGCUCUUAUACUAAAAAGUACUAGUUAGAUGACAUACCUUUUGAUGUAGCUUGAUGUCUUCAAGCUUUAAGAGCUUAGCCCCAAUAGUGUGGAAGCCUUAAGUGGAAUCACAAAUCACCAAAACAUCUUGGAAUAACCUUGAGAACAAGGAUACUUUGGUUCUCUCUAGUGAAAUUGGCUAGCCCUCUUAGUGUACCCACACUAGUGCCAAUUUCACCAACCAAGGACAUCUUUAUAUAGUGUGGAGACUAGGGUUAAACCCAUGACCUUUCAUUUCAUAUGAUCCAUGGGUUAAACACUCCAUGGACUAUCCAUGAAAGCUUAGCCCAACCUAAAUGAACUUGGCCCAUCACACACAUAUAUCUAAGAGUCCAUAUUUAAUGAGUUCAUUUUGAUCACUUAAUUAAUUCUAAAUUAAUUCUUGAUCAAUACUAAUUAGAUAAUAUGAUUCUAUAUUAAUAUAUUAGAACUUAUAAUAUAUUAAUNCCAAGUGCAUGAUGGUAUGCAACCCAAAUGGACCAUGCCGGGUCGGGUCAAGUCUUACCAAAUAUAGUUAUGGACUUAGACAUUAAUCCAACAGUCUCCCACUUAGAUAAGUCUAAAACUAUUAUUAAGUAUGAUUUCAAAACCUAACCGGCAAUCGUAGCUCUUAUAAUCUAUUACUAACUCUGAUCUUGUCAACGAACUCUAACCUUUGUCAAUGACUUGUCCAUUAGAUAAGGGAUCAUAUAUUCCUCCAUUCUAGAUAUCAUAUGGACUGAGACAUGAAUUAUGAUCAUUGUGUCUGUCCAUUUGUAGUUUCCUGAUUUCCGAUUUAUGACGACUGACUGAUUAANGACUGACUGAUUGAACAAAUCAAAUCAGUCCUGGCUUGGCCAAGCACUCACAUGUGUCAUCAUUAAAUCAUCGAGGGGCCCACAGAUAUCGCUUUUAUCCCGAAGGUAAAAGGAAUGGAUAAACUUCGACUCAUAUGGCUUGUUCUACUACUUGUUGAAUCAUACACAAAGGCACGUUUUAUAACAUCGAGUUACCAAUGCGUUUUCAUGCAAUCAAUGUAUAACCAACUCAUAGUAACAACUCAUAUCUCUAGGUUUGAAGAAUAUAAGAUAUUAUCGUCUCAUGAUCACUCGUGAUAAAAUCUAUGAAGUGAUUCAAAUGAGCGCGGGUUGAAUCCAAUACUCAGAACUUAUGAGCACUCAUGAGUGUUGUAGCACACCUUUGUCCACCAACUUGGACCUCUACAAGCCAACCCAUGACAGUCUUGAUUCAUAUCUACUUCCAACAUAUGACCGACUGUGGAUGGUUUGAAUAACUUAGUCAUUACGGAAGAAUAACCUAGUAAUUAUGGAAGUCAAAACAUGAAAAGUGAAACACAAGAAUACAUGAAUCAAGUAUGGUAUCAAACCCUAUGAAUAUAAAUAAAACACUUUCUAUUUAUCACCAUAGUAAUUACUCAUUAUUGAUUGUUUCGGUUUUAUCAACUUUAUACUUGAAUUAAAAAAUACUAGGUGUCCUAUGCUCCAAGCAUGUACACUAUGUUUUCUAAACAAUAGCUUUGCCAUACACCAAGUAUGAACUCUGUGUUUGUCUAUGAUCCUUUUCUUUGUGAAUUAGAUCAAUUGAACAUAAUUUCAAUGAUUCUCUUUUCACACAUCCAAAUCCUUGUCUUAAAUUUAAGAAUUCCAAAUUCCCAUCAUUUAUCGAAAUAUUUAUAGAUUUUAAACUUAUAUGCAUUGUUCCUCUUGUAAUGAUUAUGCACAAAGCCACAAAGGCUUGGCAACAAUCAUUACAGAGUAUCGCAAUGGAGUGCAAUUCAAUGGAAACAAUGUCUCAAAUUCAAAGCAUAUUGCUUUGAACAUGCUUCUUGCAUUAAGUUUCUUUAAUCUUACACAAAUUGCUUCCACCUAUGAAGAAAACUCUAUAUUCCCAUUUUGACUAUCACUUCUGAACAAGAGUUGCCUCUGUUGGGUCGUGUUUUGUGUUAAGUAUUGCGUCUAUUGGGCUCGUUAGUUAGUCCAUUUUGUAUCUCCGGUAUGGGCCUGUCCAUCCGUGAGUUUAGUAGGGUUUAGUAUAUAUAGGAGCUUGCAUGCUUCCUAGAGGGUAACGAUAAAAUAGAACGAUCAGAGAAUUACUUCAACAAGUUUAUUGUUAUCGUUCUUGUAACCCUAAAAUCUUCUACAGCGGAAGUUCUUAGUCGAGCUCUGCUGAGGAUUGUUUGAUCUAAUCAUUCGACACAUAUUGAUCCAUACUUGUGUUAUUUACUGCUUUUACAUCCAUCGCAUUACCUGUUAAGAAGAUCUAAUCGAUCUUUAAGUUUAUUAAUAACUUAACAAUUGGUAUCAGAGCAGGAGGCUGUGUAAUUCAUACACAUCUUUUCUGUGAAAAAGGUUGCGAUUAGGGUUAUUCCGCAUUAACUAAUAUUUAUUGAGCCGUCAUCCCAUAAUUGACGUAACUCAGCAUUUAUUUGUUUUGCCCUAAUCUUAUAUAUAUUACAAGUAUGAUCUUUCAAGCAGGUUAUGAUCAAGCAUGGACGAGUCACAAUCAAAUCCCAUAAACAUCUCAAAUAGCAUUGGAUCAACGACGAAGAUUCCCAUCCUUUACACCCAGGAUUACGAAGUCUGGGCACAUCACUUUGAAGAUUAUGUCAUUGGAUCUGAAGACAAUGGAUACCUUAUCUGGGAAGCAAUCGUGUCUGGACCAUUCGCUCAUUCAGCAACGUCUAGAAUCAUUAAAACACAGAAAGAGUAUAAUGAUCUGUUGAAGGACGUAAAAGAUAUUGCUCAAGACGAAAAGGAUAAGUUUCAGUGCAAUAUUAAAGCAUUGAGACUAAUCAGAUUCGCUCUUCAAUCGGAUACUUUCAGGCUAAUGAGUUCAUGCAGCACUGCCAAAGAAAUAUGGGAUAGGCUACGAGAGUUAUAUUCCACAUAAGAAGAUCGGCAACAUUCCAUUCAGACCUUACUCUUGUCUGAGUUUGGCGAAUUUAAGCAGAAUCCCGAGGAAACUGUUACUCAGACAUUCGAUCGCUUCAAUCAUCUUCUCAGUAAGAUGAUUAAACAUGAUAUUGAAAGGAAGUUUAUUGAACAAAAAGUUACAUUUUUGAAUGGUCUUAAAUCUGAGUGGAGAGCAGUUGUUUCCACUGUUAAAGCUCAUGAGCAAUUCAAAUCUUAUUCGUUGGCUAAGCUGGUAGAAAUUUUGAAAUCCCAAGAAAAGAUUGUCUUGCAGGAGAAGAAUGUGGUUUCAAGCUUGGGUUCCUUAGCUCUUCUUUCUAAAAGAAAAAGUGUGAUGGAAGAUGAAGACCUUAACUUAGAAGACUAUGACCUUACCUCUGAAGACUAUGCAAUGAUGGUGUCAAAUCCAAAGAGGUUUAUUAAGAAAAGGUUUCCUACCAAUAAGAACCGAAAUUGGCAAGGAAGCUACAGUUCUAAAAAAGUGAGGGAGGAACCGAAGGCAGAAGAAGCAAAGAAAGAGCCGAAAGCUGAAGGGGAUUCUGGGGUGAACUGCUAUUACUGUGGAGGAAAGAACCACUAUACUAAAGAUUGUGUCCUAAAGAAAAUGGCAGAAAAGGAUGAAGAAAAAGAUGAAGAAGCUCUGUUGAUGAAAAAGCUGGAAGAGAUCAAGAGAAAGAAAAUUACUGCUAACCCUUCUAUGAAUGCUUUAAUUGUGCAGGGUUGUGCUUCACAGAAAAAGCUCGGUAGCGGAUGAUGAGUUCGGUGGCGUGGAGGUCUGGUAACCGACUCUGAGGAUGAUGAAGUCAGAAAGCCAUCUCAUGGAAAGGCUUAUGUUGCGAAAGGUGAAGGAAGCGGUGGAAAGUGUUUGAUGGUGUCGGAUGUAUCUCAAAUGAGGGGAUACAACACAGACGGUGGGAAUGAAGACACGAAGGAGCGAGAGGACUUGUGCUUCACAGCAAAACCUCUCAGCGUGCAGUUUAAUGAGCUUGAUGAAUUAAUCAAGAAGGUACAAUCCAUUUUUGUUUCAUUCAAAGUCCCACAAAAUUCAUAUGAAAAAGAACUAAAAAAUGUAAAUUCAAGAAUCUCUCAUCUAGACAGCAGUUUAACUCAAACACGGGUCACCAAUUCUAACCUGACUGACCAAUUAAGCAGGGUGUCUUCAAAGAGUGAGGAACGGAGGAUGUGGAUAGAGCUGAAGGAGUCGGAGUUGAUCAAAUCCAAAGACGAAAACAUUUAUUUACAAAGAGACAAUUUAAAACUUUUGAAACAAAGAAAUGUGUUUUGUUUGAUUGCUAAGCGUCUUUAUUCUAACAUCACUCAACUUCAUCUUAACUGUGAAAUAGGACAGAAAAUUCAUCGCAUGAUUUUGCCCUUUCUUGAGUUUAAGGAAGAUGAAAUUGACGCUGAAGCAUAUAAUUGCGAAAGUGUAGUUUCGUCUGAGGAUGUAAAUCCGACGUAUAUGUAUGGUCUAGACAAAAUCGAAUCUUUCAUAAAGUCCAAGGACCAUAAGGACAUGCUGAAAAAUCUUUUGGAUGAAAAUGACAAACUGAAACUAAGGACCGAAACCAUACAAAAGUUUGACUCAUUGAAUGCCAACUUGAGCUCAGAAAAUAAAAUUGAUGUUGAAAAUGCAUCUGAGCUUAAUGAGGAUGAUGAUAUGAGUGAAAUUUCUGUAGAGGAUGAAGUUGACUGUUCUGAGUUUGUCAAGAGCGAACCCGAAAACCACAAAAAUCUUAUUUCAGAAAAUUCUGUGGAGUUUGCUCGUUUGUCCCACCAAAAGUCCCCGAUCCUUGAAGAAAAAGUUGUUGUAUACCAAAAGGUAAGGACGACUCCAAAUCAGGUGUAUAAGGUCACAGGAGUAACCGAACAUCAGACAGCCGAACUCACAGCCAUUGUAAAUGAAGAUAAUGCUGAUGGUUGUGAUGAGUUCUUCUGGUCCGCCCCUAUCGAUAAUGCUGACGAAACCGUUGGUCUGUCGGAGCGGACGUCCUGGAAAACCAAAGGCAGAUAUGUGCCAGAGCCACUAAACAAGCCUGACAACUUCGACGUGCCAAGUACUAGUGGUACAAAAGAAGUUCCUGAAGAAAAAGGAGUUCCUGCAGAAGAAGUCACUCCUUCAAGCGAAACAUCAUCAGUUCAAAGUGAACCGGCUGACAAGAAGCAAAAGCAAAAAGCCAACAUCCACCGACAGCCGAAGCAAGUAAAGGAUCAGAAGCAGCAAAGGAAUCAGAGAUACAAGAAAAAUCUCUCUGAACGAAAACAUUUUUGGCGAUCUCAAAACGCCCAUUUCUCUUAUCAUGACAGAAAUUCAAAGUCAGAGAAAAGUGCUGUUAGGCAGCAAGAAAGUAAUAAUAACCGAAAGGAAAGGUUCGGUUCUGAGGAUCAUAACAACCGAAGGGAAAGGUUCGGUUCAGAGAACACCAGCUACCGAAAGCAUAAGUUCGGUUCCAAGAGCAAAAGCGACCAAAGUUCGAGAUUCGGUCCCACAAAUGACCAAAAACAAAAGUGUCACUCAGGACCUCAAGUCAAUAAAACUUCUCAGUCUAACUUCUCUCGUUCUAAUUCUUCUAAUUCCUCUCAACCUCAUUCUAAAUCCAAUUCUGUUCAUACUCAAAAUCCAAAAUCUUCAACAGAUUUGAAAGGAAAAUCGAAGGUUUCCUCAGUCAAAACCGAUCAAAAGCAUUCCAAUGUCCCAGUGCCUAAACCUGAAUCCAAACCGACAGUAACAAAUCCCAAUAAAAUUAAGGUUUUCACCAUUAAAAAGAAAGAUGAAACAACUUUAAUAAAAAGAACAUAUCUUGUUGACAUCUCUCUUACUAUUCCUGUUCCUGUGAAAGGCUCACGUGGACCCAAGAAACUUUGGGUUCCUAAAUCUGCUUAAUUUUUGCAGGUUAUCAGUGACGAGCAGUUUGACGAAGAAUGGUAUAUUGACAGUGGCUGCUCACGUCACAUGACAGGAAGGAAGGAAGAGCUGAGGGAAUUUCGGUCUCUUUCAAACGGUGGAAAUGUCAAGUUCGGGAACAACUCAUUCGGCACGAUAAAAGGCUAUGGAAUGAUAACAAAUGGAGAUUUCACAAUCAGAAAGGUUGCAUACGUUGAAGGACUACAGCACAACCUCAUUAGUGUAUCUCAGCUUGUUGGAGGUACCGGUCUCAAGGUCUCUUUCGACGAUGAGGGUUCAGAGAUAAUUGAAAAGAAAACAAAAAGAGUAAUUCUCAAAUCGGAGCGCAAAGGCGAAAUGUUUCCCCUGAAUCUCAAACCCAUCAAAGGAAAUCCAGCUAUCUGCCUGUUAUCCAAAGCACAAUCUGACGAAAGCUGGCUGUGGCACCGAAGGCUCUCUCAUCUCAACUUCAAGGAUAUCAACAAACUUGUCACAGGUGGUCAUGUUCGAGGUCUUCCAUUGCUCAAAUUCGAUCGAGAACAUUUAUGUGCUGCGUGUGAAAUGGGGAAGCAGAGUCGUCAAAGUCACCCAUCGAUUGUAAACACUAAAGUUGUUGAACCAUUAGAGUUAAUUCACAUUGACUUGUGUGGUCCAUCAUCUAUCGAAAGCAUCGGCGGUAGCAAGUAUAUUCUUGUCAUUGUUGAUGACUUUUCACGUUUUACAUGGGUGUUCUUUCUGAAGCACAAAUCUGAAGCAACUCUCAAGCUAAAGAUGUUUAUCAAGCAGGUUGAAGUGCAGCUGAGGAAAGUCGUUCGCAACAUCAGGAGCGACAAUGGGCUGGAGUUCAAAAAUAAAGAAUUCGAAGACUUCUUGGCAGAAAAAGGAACCAGUCACAACUUCUCAGCUCCCUACACCCCUCAACAAAACGGAAUUGUCGAAAGACGAAACCGAUCUUUGUGUGAGGCGGCCCGAACCAUGCUAAGUUUUGCUUCUUUACCUUUAUAUUUUUGGGCUGAUGCUAUUGCUGCAGCAUGUUUUACGCAGAACAGGUCCUAUCUCAAUAAACGCUUUAAUCUCACUCCUUAUGAGAUCAUCAACAACAGGAAGCCAAAUGUCAAAUUCUUCCACGUAUUCGGCUCACGGUGUUUCAUCUUCAAUUCUAAAGAACAUCGUAACAAGUUUGACGUAAAAGCCGAUGAAGGGAUAUUUCUGGGAUACUCUCUCACUUCGAAAGCAUACAGGGUUUUGAACAAACGUUCGAGGAAAAUUGAAGAAACUUAUUAUGUGACUUUCGAUGACAGCUAUGUCAAAAAGCUGAAGGCCAGUGAAGACACAGUUGGAGAAAUUUUUUCUCAAACAGGCCAAGUCACAGCCUCGAUUGCAAACCUAUUUGAGAAGUUUGUAGAGUUAUUCGAUGAACCAGAGAAGGCCACUCUCUCGGAAGCUAGUGCAGCAGACAACAAAGUAGAUCAUCUGAAGCAACUCAUCGGAAGGAGGAUCAAGUUCCAACGACCCUCCACAGCACGAUGCUUCAAUUGAGGGGGAGGAUCCACCUUCUUCUUCACAGCCGGGCUCACAUGUUGAGGGGGAGAACUGUUCUCCAGCUGCUCCCGAACGCCCAGCUGUACCCGAAAGCCAAUCUGUACCCGAAAGUCCUGUGGUACCCGAAAGCUCAACACCACCCGAAACUCCUGUAGCUCCGGAAAGUCAAGAUAUACCUGAAAGCUCAUCUGUCGAGGGGGAGAAUGCUGAUAUGUCUUAUGACGAUGAUAGUCAAUCUGAGCUAGAAGAGAUGGUAAAUGCUGAAUUGGAUCCAUCCUAUGAUCCAAAUUACCCUCCUCUUGUCAAAUGGACCAGAGAUCAUCCUGUUUCACAGGUUGUCGGUAAUGUCUCUGAAAAGGUCCUGACCCGAUCUCAACUAAAGGCAAAGCAAACUUCCUUAUUUUCAAAAGUAGAGUUCUGUAUGUUUAACUCCUUCGUCUCAAAAGUUGAACCAAAGACAGUUAACACUGCUCUUGAAUGGACCGAUUGGGUUCAAGCUAUGCAAGACGAACUUAAUGAAUUCGAAAGAAAUAAAGUUUGGCGCCUCAUUCCAACUCCUCCAGAUGCCUCGGUUUUUGGUCUCAAAUGGAUCUUUAGAAAUAAAAUGGACAAGGAAGGCAAUGCGGUUAGAAACAAAGCUCGUCUAGUGGUGAAAGGAUACUGCCAGGAGGAAGGAAUCGAUUAUGAGGAAACUUUUGCUCCUGUAGCUAGGCUGGAAUCUGUUCGAAUAUUUCUUGCCUAUGCUGCACACAAGAACUUUGAGGUCUACCAAAUGGACGUAAAGUGUGCAUUUCUAAAUGGAGAGCUCGAAGAAACGGUGUACGUGGAGCAACCUCCUGGAUUCGUCAACGAAAAAUAUCCUGACCACUGUUAUAUUCUGGACAAAGCGGUAUAUGGACUGAAACAAGCACCGAGGGCCUGGUAUGAAACGCUAACCAAGUUUUUAAAGAUGUCCAAAUUCAAACAAGGUUCGGUUGACCCAACCUUCUUUCGUAAGAAGGAAGGUAACCACCUUAUGAUUGUUCAAAUCUAUGUCGAUGAUAUCAUCUUUGGCUCAACGAAUCCUAGCUUAACGGCUGAAUUCAGAAAGUUGAUGGAGACUAAAUUUGAAAUGAGCUCAAUGGGUCCAAUUAACUUUUUCCUUGGUUUAAAUAUUAGACAUGGACCCGAAGGCAUCUUUAUUAACCAGGAAGCUUACGCAAAGACUCUCCUUGCUAAAUUUGGCAUGAUGGGAGACUCAAAGGUUAAAGUUCCAAUAGCGUUCGGCACCAAGCUCAUCCUAUCCUUAGAGAAGCCAACAGUCAACAUUACGCUAUAUCGCCAAAUGAUCGGUUCUUUAAUGUACCUUACUGCUAGCAGGCCUGAUAUAAUAUUUUCUGUUUGUUACUGUGCUAGAUUUCAGGCAAAUCCCCGUGAACGUCACAUGCUUGUAGUGAAGAACAUACUCUGGUAUCUCAAGCGAACUACCUCUCUCGGCUUACGGUAUCCAUCCAACUCAGGUUUCUUCGUUCAAGCGUAUUCAGAUGCAGACCUUGGAGGUUGUGGACUAGACAGGAAAACCACCAGUGGAGGCUGCCAAUUUCUUGACGGGAAGUUGGUUAGCUGGCAAUCAAAGAAACAGACAUGUGUGUCUCUGUCUACCGCUGAAGCAGAAUACAUCGCAGCUGCCUCCUGUACUUCUCAAGUGAUUUGGAUCCAAAGCCAACUCAGGGACUAUGGACUCAAUAUGAAAAAGAUCCCACUAUAUUGCGACUCUGAAAGUGCAAUUAGGAUCUGUCAUAACCCAGUGCAACACUCGAAGACUAAGCACAUAGCACUGAGGUAUCACUUCAUUAAGGAUCAUGUGGAAGAUGGGAACGUCGAAAUACACUUUGUUCGAACCACUGAUCAACUGGCUGACAUCUUCACCAAAGCUCUUCCUGAAGCAUCUUUUAACAAAAUACUACAAGGGCUAGGUAUGAUGGAAUCAGAGUCAGUACCAAAAAUUACCUCUUAAAGGUCAAAAGCAAGAAGCGAAAUAGACCGAACGUUCGGGUUCGGGUCUUGUGCUAAUGUACCGAAAUGAAGCGAACGCUCGGGUUCGGUUGCAUUAUCUGCUUUUUGCUCAUCACUCAAAGGUAGUUUCCUUGGUUGUAGAUCUUAUGUAUAAAUUUUCCAAAUUCAUUUCUCUUAUUGUCAAAGUUAUUCUCUUUUUCAAAUCUAUUUUCUUUGGCGACCGAAAUCAACCGAUCGUUCGGGUUCGGUUCCAAAAUUUUUCUCACCCGAAAUAGACCGAACGCUCGGGUUCGGUUCCAAAGUUUUUCUAAACCGAAAUAAACCGAACGCUCGGGUUCGGUUUCAAUUAUUUUUUUUGUGUGUCUUAUUUUUUUUUAUCAAAAAUUCCAAAAAUAUUUUUUUUCUUUCAUAAAUUCAAAAACUCCGAAAAUAUUUUUUUAAUUAGCUUGGAUUUCAUUUUUUUUAUUUUUAUUUAUUCAUUUUUUUGUGUGGGUAUAUAAUUUCAUUAGCUAAGUGUCCCUAGAAGCAUGCUGCUGUAUGUGUCCAAAGCCUCACCUGAUUCUGAAUAAUAGGCCUUACUGACUUGGUAUAAACAAACCUUGUCUUCCCAAUUAGGCUUUCUUAUUUAUUCUAAUCAUGAGCUACCUAACUCUCUUCUCACAUGAGAUAUGAGUUUUCUGCUUGGUCCUAAUCUUUAUAGCAGAGGUACUUUGAUUUCUUUACACCAUCUAUGUUGCAUUUCUCCAUCACAUUCGCUUCACAAACGUAACCCUUGAGACUCUCAGAAAUUACCACUGAGGUUUAUGGUUGCACAAUUUCUGUGUUCAUGAUCUUAGCUUCGUGUCACUACGUGCUAAGUGAAACCCAAAAUUCAAUACCCAUUAUGCAUUGACGGUGAACAAUUAAUUUGCUCAAGCUUUCACUAAUGAAUUGACGAAGGUACCACAUGAAAUCUCUAAUUUUCUUUUGAGUGAUUCCUAUGAAAUUGUUAACACCCAUAACAUUUCUUCCCUUGGGAUCCAGUUUUAAUUUUUGUUGAGAUUUUAUAAAUUUCCUAGCCAAAUUAACAUUAUCUCCAACCUACUUGUUCAACAGACUACACCGGUCUCACAAGUACUUCGUUCGAUUUCUGUCUUAUAUCAAGAUUAGGAAUUUUGAAUCGAAGCGAUAUCCACCCUCAUAAGCCUAAUUAAAAGAAGCCUUUCAACACUUCUUAAUAAGUGUCUGAUCGUUAUUCAACGGGAAACCACACAAACACUUUAAAGUCUCUCUUGACUUUGAAGGAAGAGAUUCGUGCCCGGGAUCAUUUGUUUCGUGUCUUUAUUGACAUCACAUAUUUUCCCAAAAGUGUUGCUUUAUUUCUUUUCUUUUACACCCUAAGCACGAAAAUCUUUGAUUUUCCAAAAUUCAGGUUCUAUUAAUUACAAGGCAUUUUAAAUGGAUUGGUGAUUUAUUAAAGGAUGUGGUAAAUAUUGAUCCACGUGGGCGAAUUUUUUUAAAGAUGCUGUUUUAUUCUAAAGGGAUAAGAUGACGACAUGAUGACUCAGGCGGGAGUCUAAUCGAUUUGAUUUCAAACGGCGCAAGAGGGACGCGUGCGAAUCUGAACCGUUUCAUCUCCAAACGGCGCCUGAUGGGAAGGCGUGUUAUUAGGGGCCUGACAUUCUCUCUCAUGCGUGAUCAUCGGCAACCCCAACUGUCACGCAUCAGUCAACUCCGAAAAACCCUUCGUUUUUCAAUAGAAGAUUUGGGAAGAUCUUUCUCUCUCCUUAAACCACAGUAUAAAAGGCAACAUCCUCCACCGUUUACCUCUUUACUGCAAUUAUAAUUCCCAGAGAGCAAACAAUCCCUAAACCUUCUCUGUUCAUCAUCUCCUCCACUUUCAUCAUAGCAAUGGCAGAUUCUUCCUCAGUUCAUGCAACAUCCCACAUUUUGCCCAUCCGCCCACAGCAAAGCUUGAUCAUCGAUUUAACUCCUCAAUCGUAUGACGCAUUCAUGUUCCCCAUCAUCGAGUGUCUGAAGUUUUCUCCAAUCGCUCCUGCACUUACCAGGGCUGAAACUGUUCCGAUGGAAUUCUUGUCACAGAUCUUUGCCACCGCUCACUACGACAAGGUCGUCGACAGAAUAUUCUUUGAUAUCUUUGAACACAAGGCGUCGAUUUCAAAGCAGCGGUUCUGCUCAUUGUUAGGGUUUGACGCAGAUUCUUCCAGGGUCAAUCCGGAAUCCAUCCCCAUGGGUCAUCUGUUCAACAUGUUCUACAACAUGGGAUACACGGAGGUGCUUACUACGGUGACGAAAUUCAAGAAGUCGUGCCUACCUCCACAGUGGAAUGGGAUGUUCACUGUUUUGUUCAAGGGUUUAUCUGAACGAAGCGCCGGGUCUGAUGGAGCCAGCCGUUUAUUUCUCUCCAUCAUGUAUGGUAUCUACAAUGGCAUCAACAUGGACUAUGGGUCAGUUCUGUGGCAACAACUCAUUCAGAGUCUCUCCUCCACUUCCAGACAUUCAGAGAUUUCGUAUGCUCGAUUCUGGACCAUUAUCACGAAAUGGGUGAUGGACAAGUACCACGUCCCCAUUGUCGCUGGUGCUCCAAUGUCUUCGAUUGGUACCUUCCAUACCACGAAGAUCAUUGUGUCGGAUGCUUCAAAAUUUCCGUUCAACGGGUCUAUUCCGGAAACGAUGUAUGGUGAUGUUCCGGCUGACAGCAGGAUCAUUCAGACGUAUAAAGAGUUCAGACGUUCUGGUCCGAGGGAUCUUACUCCGGAGAUGCUGAAAUCCAUUCAUGACGCCGACAAGCCUGCUCCAAGAGGCAAGAAGGCUGAUAAGGGAAAACAAGUGGCCAAGGGGGCGAAAGGCCCGUCUCCAAAGAAGAGGAAACCCACCAGAGCUGCUCAGUCUCCACAGCAGAAGAGGAGAAAAACCCAACCGCGACGAAAGUUGAUUAUCGCUUCCUCCUCAAGCGAGUCUGAGGGUGAUAGUUCUGAUUCUGAAGGCUAUCAACGUGGUAACACUCCACCACGAUCUGCAACCCCUAAAGCUCAUGUCUCUACUUCUCCAAUUUCCUCUCCACCUAAAACCAUUCCUAUUUCUAUUCCCCCCAUAACUUCCACUACUCACAUACCAUCCACUUCCAUCCCAAUACCACCACCAAUAUUCACCGAAGCAACCACAACAACCACUGCAGAUGUUAGAACCAACGUAUCUGAUACGGGGGUUCAUACUGACGCACCUAAAUCUACCCCAACACCCGAAACCACCCCAGCACCCAAACAAACAACACAACCCGAACCUACCCAUACUACUGAACCACCAGCUUCACCACCACCAUCAGAGGGAGAAGAACCGUUCCUUGGCGGGGAGAAUAUGACUUUUGACUCGGUCUACUAUAGCCCAUUCCAAGUACAAAGUGAUGACGAUGAUGACGCUCCUGUCACCAAAAGGCAUCUUCAGGAGCUCCAUGAUAAAAUUGAUUCACUCAUCGCCUCUUCUUCUACUUCUCAGUCAUCCAUAUCUGAAGCUGUAGUUCAGANUUCUCCAAAGCUCAACAAGCUUCCCUUGCUUCUGCAACCACCGCCAUAGAUGCCUCUACCAAAGCCUGUCAGGCAGCGACCGAAAAAGUCGAUAAACUAUUUACUGAUGCCUCUUCCCUGUUGAAGUCUUUACAGGAGAGUGCCAACGCCGCCAAGACUACGCUGGAACCGAUUGUCCACCAACUGACAACAUCAGUCGCAACUGAGUUGAAGUCCUUCGCUUCUCUUCGUCAAAAAAAUUCUGACGACAACUCAGCUUUCCAAACAACCAUUGAUGAACGUCUCUCCAAGCUUCAAUAAGAUUUGGCUGCCGAGAACACUCUCAUGGAUGCUCUCGCAAGGAAGACUACUGCUCUGAAGGUCAAGAGCAUUCAACUCUCCAACUCUCAACAGGAGAUUGAAUCUCUUCGAUUUGAAAGGGAGGUCAUCAAAUCGUGUGUUUCGGAUGUCCACUCUGCCAUAUCCAACAUCCUAGAAGCACAUGAUCCAAUUCUUAACUACACUGUGAGGUGUGACCUUGCAGAGAAGCUCGCUCCCGCUCUCGACCUACUCAGCAAUAUCGAAGGGCUCCUUGAUUUCGUGUCCAUUCUGAAAUAAGGGGGAGAGAAGGAAACAAUGUCUCAACCACCUCCUACUUCCACAGCUACUCACACUACCGAACCUCCUCCAGUAGGCCAAGCCUCUGGUUNCCUACUUCCACAGCAACUCACACUACCGAACCUCCUCCAGUAGGCCAAGCCUCCGGUUCCGGUGUGAAAGACAAAGGCAAAAAGAUUGCUGAGGAGGAAGAAGAAGAAGAUAAUGAAACAAUCGCCGACUUGUUGAAGCGUAAAAGUCGACACAAUGAGGCUGACAUCAGUGCUCGUGUGGCAAGAGAGGCUGAAGAAGCCGAACGUAAACAGAAGGAAGCCCACGACCUUCUUGAGAGCAGGAAAACUCUGUUUCCUUCCUGGACUCUUGAGAGGAUGAUUAAAGAAGCCAUCGACACACCAAGUAUCUUGUGGCUGGAACCUGUGAUCUCUUUAGAUCGUUCCAAUACUGUCGACUCACAGUUCGACAUGCCACUGACCCGAAAGGCUUUUAUCUUUCAUGCCUUUUCCAACGUUGCAGAAUUCCCUAAUCCUCAUCCACAGGUUGAUCGGGACUUAAUCAAUUUCUAUCUGAGGGCUGCUCAACCCCAAUAUCAGACUUGGAGCGCUCAGAAAAUUGUCAACGUUCGGGUCUUGAAGCUGUACAGUGAAGGUAACUUCAUCAACGUUCGGUUCAAGGUACUUCGGGGAUUUGCCAAAAUAGUACAUACUAUUUCCCUUGCAGAUCUUCCCAACCUUAAUCCCCAUGAUUGGAUUAUCUUGCACAACAUCCUCCUCACCAACGAAGCUGAAUACGGUCCGAUCAUCGACCAUUUCAAGAGGAUGCUCGUGUGCUACAUCAUGGAAGUUGCAUUGAUGGAUCAGGAGAUUGCGAGCGUAUUUAAGAAGAAACCUACAAUAUCUCCUGUUGGCUCUGCCAGUGAUCUCAACCAAAUGCAGAUGGGGAAGAUUGACUCGAGGAGGAAUUCGGUCAUGUUUACCAGGAACGAAGGACAGAAAUGUCUUUUCGCCUUGGCUGACAAACAUCUCUAUACCCUUGCAUGUUUGGAGCACGUUUUGGGGAUCAUCCACAGAUGCAAGCAAAACACAGCGGAUGAUAUCAAGUACUUUGAUGAUAUGAUUCAAUGCUACAUUCGGUUCAGACAGACUAUUCUCGCUCUUAUCACAUGUCUGUUUGAUACUAUAAAAAAGGCUCCUACUGCUGGCCCGAAGAAGUAGUCUUGCUCCAAUUUGACGCAAAGGGAGAGAUUGUUGGGUCGUGUUUUGUGUUAAGUAUUGCGUCUAUUGGGCUCGUUAGUUAGUCCAUUUUGUAUCUCCGGUAUGGGCUUGUCCAUCCGUGAGUUUAGUAGGGUUUAGUAUAUAUAGGAGCUUGCAUGCUUCCUAGAGGGUAACGAUAGAAUAGAACGAUCAGAGAAUUACUUCAGCAAGUUUAUUGUUAUCGUUCUUGUAACCCUAAAAUCCUCUACAGCGGAAGUUCUUAGUCGAGCUCUGCUGAGGAUUGUUUGAUCUAAUCAUUCGACACAUAUUGAUCCAUACUUGUGUUAUUUACUGCUUUUACAUCCAUCNAGACAACUCUAUAUUCCCAUUUUGACUACCACUUCUGAACAAGAGUUGCCUCUUUUCAGACUAUGUCAAUAUGGUCCUUCCAAUAUUAACAGUAUACUUCCAACUGUCCUUGAGCAACCAAUCUUUGGUAAACCUUAGAUUGUCCUCGACAAUUGCUUAAUCGCUUUAGUCAUAUCCAAUUCUAGACAUUUUCCUCUUAACGCCCCAAGGCAUUUGGAAAAUUCAGAAAGGAUAAAAAUUAUAGCACCUGUAAUCGAUCUUGUACCCAAAGCAAAUGGGACACGAUUCAUGAUGUCUCGCAUAAAGACAUGAUUCUAGAUCAGUCUUUUGCUACAAUAUUUUUAUUUGCCAUGUUUCCAAAAUUUGACUAUGAAGAGGGAUGUCGUAAUCAUAGUUAAAUUUUGAGAACAUAAUAUAUAGGGUUUUUCCUUAUGUGGAACCAAUACAACAUGAAAUUCAUAUAUAUAUAUAUAUAUAUAUAUAUAUAUAUAUAUAUAUAUAUUUUUGUCAAUNNNNNNNNNNNNNNNNNNNNNNNNNNNNNNNNNNNNNNNNNNNNNNNNNNNNNNNNNNNNNNNNNNNNNNNNNNNNNNNNNNNNNNNNNNNNNNNNNNNNNNNNNNNNNNNNNNNNNNNNNNNNNNNNNNNNNNNNNNNNNNNNNNNNNNNNNNNNNNNNNNNNNNNNNNNNNNNNNNNNNNNNNNNNNNNNNNNNNNNNNNNNNNNNNNNNNNNNNNNNNNNNNNNNNNNNNNNNNNNNNNNNNNNNNNNNNNNNNNNNNNNNNNNNNNNNNNNNNNNNNNNNNNNNNNNNNNNNNNNNNNNNNNNNNNNNNNNNNNNNNNNNNNNNNNNNNNNNNNNNNNNNNNNNNNNNNNNNNNNNNNNNNNNNNNNNNNNNNNNNNNNNNNNNNNNNNNNNNNNNNNNNNNNNNNNNNNNNNNNNNNNNNNNNNNNNNNNNNNNNNNNNNNNNNNNNNNNNNNNNNNNNNNNNNNNNNNNNNNNNNNNNNNNNNNNNNNNNNNNNNNNNNNNNNNNNNNNNNNNNNNNNNNNNNNNNNNNNNNNNNNNNNNNNNNNNNNNNNNNNNNNNNNNNNNNNNNNNNNNNNNNNNNNNNNNNNNNNNNNNNNNNNNNNNNNNNNNNNNNNNNNNNNNNNNNNNNNNNNNNNNNNNNNNNNNNNNNNNNNNNNNNNNNNNNNNNNNNNNNNNNNNNNNNNNNNNNNNNNNNNNNNNNNNNNNNNNNNNNNNNNNNNNNNNNNNNNNNNNNNNNNNNNNNNNNNNNNNNNNNNNNNNNNNNNNNNNNNNNNNNNNNNNNNNNNNNNNNNNNNNNNNNNNNNNNNNNNNNNNNNNNNNNNNNNNNNNNNNNNNNNNNNNNNNNNNNNNNNNNNNNNNNNNNNNNNNNNNNNNNNNNNNNNNNNNNNNNNNNNNNNNNNNNNNNNNNNNNNNNNNNNNNNNNNNNNNNNNNNNNNNNNNNNNNNNNNNNNNNNNNNNNNNNNNNNNNNNNNNNNNNNNNNNNNNNNNNNNNNNNNNNNNNNNNNNNNNNNNNNNNNNNNNNNNNNNNNNNNNNNNNNNNNNNNNNNNNNNNNNNNNNNNNNNNNNNNNNNNNNNNNNNNNNNNNNNNNNNNNNNNNNNNNNNNNNNNNNNNNNNNNNNNNNNNNNNNNNNNNNNNNNNNNNNNNNNNNNNNNNNNNNNNNNNNNNNNNNNNNNNNNNNNNNNNNNNNNNNNNNNNNNNNNNNNNNNNGAAGUAUGAAUCAUCUUCUUGAUUUAACCACUUCAACAAUUCAUAACUCCUCUUCUUAACUAUCAGAAUGCACUUAGAGGAUGAAUUGUGAUAAGGUCUCAAAAUCAUUAAGAUGAUCUUAAAACAUGAUACUAAAGUACUCUCCCAUCUUUUCAGAUUUGAGAAACUUUUAUCCUUCUGCCUAAUUUGAUUCUUCUUAUUCUUUCUGUCAUACAAUGAAACUUUUACAAUGUCUCAGAAUUAUACUUAAGUUUGUAAGUAUAACCAUAUUUACUAAACUUUAGUAAAUCAUGACGAAUCGUCUUAUCGUUCUUUUGUGGUGGACUCGACCAGUGCACAAGAAUGUGUACUCGAUCCCUUAGUCCUUCACUUGCUCACAUAUACAUGUGAACACACAACUAGUCUUAAUUUUCCAAAGUUGAAAAUUCUCACACAUCACACUAAACACCUUGUAUGAUUCCAAGUUUCGGUCCAAUUGAAACUUGGGUGAUGAGAAUCUUUCCUUAUUUGGUAAAUUUAGACACUACCACAAAUGAAAGAAUCAAAUUCAUAUUUCCAAUAUUGCUAUAAACAUACAAACAUCAAGUUUUCAUGAAUGCCAUUGUAAGGAGAUAAAAAUAAAGUAAAACACACUUUUAUUUAUUUCAAAAUGCGGAAAAAACUUUUUCCUUACAAUGUAACUUGAAAUGAAAACUAUGCUAUUACAUGUUUCCUAGCAAUCUAUCAUAACUCCUAAGAGUAGCUCAAGAAUCCGAUCUUCAAUCAAGCGAUAGAAAUCCAUCUUCGCGGUCAGAUUCAACAUACUCUUUCUUUAAGUUUCCUUCACUUUUCCUUUGAUUCUUAAAACAUCAACAUGUGAACCAGUCAUAACAUGUAAUAAGAAACACAUAAUAGAAACUUAACCGAGUUAGAUUGUGGAUUAUACCUGAAGUAGAGUCAAACUUAUUGACUUUACUAGCCUUAUGAUCUUUCAGGUAAAAUUGACAACUUUGCAACCAAUCCUCUUUCCUUUUGGCAAUAGAACCAUAUGGACCCUUUGGGAAUGGUACAUGGGACAAUCUCAGACUUAGCCUUUCUCUUUACCAUUUGGUCAACCGAGUUGACUAUGGCCAAUCCCUUUCAAUUGGGAAGAGAAUGCUUUUUCUGGAUUUCCAAUGUCAUCAUUGUCAGUGUCCAUAAAGUUUUGGGAAGUCGAUCUUCUAAUCAAAUUUGCUUUACUAGCCUUCCAAAUCAUUGUUGAUUCAGUAGUACCAAGCAAACUGAUAAGAUCAUUAAGGGUCUUGUCAAAGUCUGUCUCAUAGGAGUCCCAAAGGAACUCACUAUGUUACUUAGAAAGUGAUUAACCACCAACUUUCUCAAGACGUUGACACCCAACUCUCCCGGUUUGUCAAUAUGUGACUUCAUCUCCAAGAUGCAACCACACAUAGACCUUGUUUGUCAAUAGGGCUAGAGUGACCUUGAACUUGUGGGAUAGGAAGAAUAAUUAGAGGAGGUGGAGGAAGUGAAGUUCCAAGAGAUUUGGAAAGAUCAUAAAUGUCUGAAGUAGACAUCUUUUUGGGAGAUAUUAAAGAUAGUUGAUUUAAAGUCCUUAAUAUAACACCCCAAUAUCAAAUAUUAAGGCUAGGACCCAACACAAUAUUUUAUAACUUGGAAGAGGGAUGUCGUAAUCCAAGCUAUAGAAUAUUUGAAGGUAGGUGAAUGACGAUUCACCAAUUUCCACCAUGAAAACAAAAUAAUUUAAUUAGGUUUUACUUGGAUUUGAAACUCUGAGAUCUUUUGAGAUUCAUUGAACUAUUCAAUGGCAUGUUUCAAUCUCGAGUGUGCCCUUCAGGUUUUGUGACUGGGAUGUCGAGGAUCACAAAACAAGGUGUGAAGUAACCAUGCAAAUUACUUGGUACCCUUAAGUGUUUACCCCUCAAUCGAUGUGCCGGUUAACCACACACGCUCCAUCGAUACUAUGAUAAACAUUAAUUUACCCUUUGCCUACCUUGUUAAAUAUGAGUUAGUGUGUCGGUUAACCACACACGCUCUACUAACCGACUUAAACAAAGUGCAAAGUGUAAUUUCAUGGAUUAGCACCUUAUUCACAUUUUCCUAAGUAACUAAGAUUGGGUAUUUAUAAAAGGUUUAGUUACUUAGUAUUUAUCAUUAAUACUUUUAAUGAAGGGAGAAUUUAUAGUCUUUGUCCUACCUGUUCGGCUAACGACCCUCCACCAGUCAAGCAAGCGGUGGGUGAGAGUGGACACCCAUUAAGUUGCCAUUUUAUAGGCAACAACCUUAUACCCACCUUAUAGACCGGCUUCGUGAAUGAGGCGUACUAGCGGUAAGANUAUAUAUAUAUAUUAACUUAUAAUAUUAUAAAGUAUAAGGGUUGAAUUUUAACUUUUAAAAUUCUAAGGGCUAAACUUGGAAUUAAAUUAUUCAUAAGAGAAAAGCUUUUCAAAUUCCAAAACUUGAGGGCAAGUUUUGAAAAUAUUCAAAACUAAUUAAUUCCAUAACUUAUGUGUUUAAAGUAGUUUUCAUUAAAAAACUCAAGUUCCAUAACUUGAGGACAAUUUAUGGAAGAGUUUAAACUAUUAAAGAAUGUAACUCUUCUUAUUUGUAGCUUAUGGAACUAAUUAAAGUUACACAUUUUAAUGAUUUAAUGAAGUGAAUCUUGAACCUCCAUAACUUGAGGACAAGUUAUGGAGUCAUAAAACCAUUUAAUGAUUACAAGACUCUUCAUUUUGUAACCAUUGCCAACUUUUAUGAGUUUUAAGAAACUUUAAUGUGACUUUUCAUGUAACUUGAGGACAAGUUACACACACAUUUUAGAAUCAAUUCUUAGAUUAAAAUGGAUCAACAACGCAUAAUCAAUCAACAUUUUCUUUUAAUCUAAGCAACUCAUAUGAACAAGAUAAUUGGAAUCAAACUUUUUCAUGUAAUUAGCAUAACACUUAAACUAAUACAAAACAUGAAUCUAUUGAUAAUUAUCUUUGAAAUUGGAUUAGUAUGAACAUUACCACAUCAAAAAUAGGUUUACAAAUCCAAAAACAACUUUUUGUAAUGUUCCUAGUCCAAUUCCAGCCAUGAAACCCGAAAAUAUGCUGUCUGGAGGCCAAACUCGUCGAGUUCUUUAUGGAACUCGUCGACUUCAUGCUCUAAUACAUGAACUCGUCGACUUUUUCUUCCAGAUAUUAUCGAGAUUUUGGCCAUGACAGAUUCUUGGCUUCAAAAAAUCUAUUUGCAUUUGGUAUAAGACAAAGCAAGCCUAGGCUCUGAUACCAAUGAUGAGUUUUGAGCAUUCUAACACUCCUAUGGUGUACAUGCAACCCUAUAGACUUUGGAUCUAUGUUUUCUCUAUCAUACAUGCAAAUAAUAGCUUUCCAAGGCUUUAACCUUAACUAGCAUAUUAUGAAGCUCUUAUACUACAAAGUACUAGUUAGAUGACAUACCUGUUGAUGUAGCUUGAUGUCUUCAAGCUUUAAGAGCUUAGUCCCAAUAGUGUGGAAGCCUCAAGUGGAAUAAAAAAUCACCAAAACACCUUGGAAUAACCUUGAGAAUAAGAAUACUUUGGUUCUCUCUAGUGAAAUCGGCUAGCCCUUUUAGUGUGCCCACACUAGUGCCAAUUUUACCAACCAAGGACAUCUUUAUAUAGUGUGGAGACUAGGGUUAAACCCAUGACCUUUCAUUUCAUAUGAUCCAUGGGUUAAACACUCCAUGGACUAUCCAUGAAAGCUUAGCCCAACCUAAAUGAACUUGGCCCAUCACACACAUAUAUCUAAGAGUCCAUAUUUAAUUGGUUCAUUUUGAUCACUUAAUUAAUUCUAAAUUAAUUCUUGAUCAAUACUAAUUAGAUUAUAUUACUCCAUAUUAAUAUAUUUGAAUUUAUAAUAUAUUAAUAUACUAUUCUCAAAAGAUUAUCCAUAUAAAUUAUACUGGUGAAGUGCAACCCAAAUGGACCAUGCCGGGUCGGGUCAAAUACAUACGAAAUAUAGUUAUGGACUUAGACAUUAAUCUAACACCUGGAACAUAGUCAGAUGGCGUAAAUUCUUGGCUAAGUUGAAUAGAAAGCCUGUUGAUGCUGGUCAGGGUCCUGUAGAGAACAACAAGGGAGAAAAGGGAGAGACAAAGAUGUCCCCAACAAAAGCGUAGGUUUGAUGUUUUUAAAAACAACUUCUAAAUAUUUUGGUUUGUAGAUAAUGUUUCUCUUUUUUGGGGGUUGGUAGGCAACCCUUUUUUAUUUUAUGCACAUGGUUUUUGACAUUUAUAUCUCUUUGCUUUUUUGUUUUAUGUGAUUGUAGUAGUAGGAAUUCUGAGGAUCUUCAGAUGGUUAUAUGCAUCUCUAUGGAAAGAGGACAAAAAAUCAUUAACAAUGAUAUAUUCGAUGUUUUUCUAUAAAAAACAUGGCCUAAAAAAAUUAAACGAAAAAAAAUAGGUUUUGUUAUAAUCUCAUGCAUGCGCAUCCAUUAUAGAAGUCUACAACUUUUCUUUUUCUAUUGAUCGCUUUAAAUUCCGACGAUUUAGAUUGGUUAUUUGGUUCCUUGACUAAUAAUAGUUUUCUAUUGCACUUUUCUCUAUGUGUACUUGGUAUCUUCAUACUUUUUCUAAUGAAAAAAAUGGUUGUUGUUAAAAAAAUAUUAUUAUAUUAUAAUACUAUUUUAUAGUCCGUGGAAACAACGGUUGACUUUUAUAAUUAAAUUUUUAUAAUAAAAACUCAUAACUAUUAACCAAUUAUUUAAAAUAAAAUACUAAUUAGAAGAUUUAUGUUUUUUAAUUUAUGUAAAUUAUAAUCGUUGAUUCAAAUAAAUAUGUGAAAUUAUUUUUCAAGCUAUAUUAGAAAGUUUUUUAUUUGUGGAUUAAUGAAAAAAAUGAUAUUGUCUAAUUAAAUGUUAGAUUAAUUAUAAAAAAUAAAAGACCAUGAAAAGUGAAGUAAAUUAAAAUUGAUGUAUGGUAAAUAAGAAAAUUAAGUUGUUGAAACAAAAAUAUUAAAAAAUAUAACAAAUUACAAAUGAAAAUUAACAAUAAAGUUUUAUUAAAAAUAAUUAAAAAAAAUCAUUAUAAUAAAUAAUAUUCUACAAACUACUUACAAAUUUCGAAAAACUUCUUUAUACACAACAUUAGAAGUUUUAUUUGUAUGUCUACCAUCCAUAUCUAAAAUUAACAAUUUUAAUCAUUCUUUACUUUUAACUUUAGAUAAAACAACAUACAAUUGGUCAUGUUUAAAAACCGGAUCUUUGAGAAACAAACCAAGCAUAGAUAAAGACUGUCCUUGACUCUUGGUAAUUGUCAUUACAAAACAAAUUGCUAAUGGAAAUUGUCUUCUUUGGAAUUUGAAUGCGAUUUUUUUUUUCUAGAUGGUGUUAAGGACAUUCUUGGAAUAAAGGUCUAAUUUCCAAUAUUAUUUCUUGAUAUAAUAACUACCUCAAUAACAUGUUUGCCCAAAAAUAUAACUUGUAGUCUAGUUUCAUUACAUAAACAAUUUUUCUGAUCAAUAUUUCUCAGCAACAUAACUGGAACCGCGGCUUUCAAAACUAACUUAUAAUUAGGUAGACCUGAGACUUUGAGACCAUUUAAAACAUCAUGUGAGUAUAAAUUGGCAUCAAACUAAUCAUGGAUAAACUCUGAUUGGAAUAGUUUAUCUGAACUUAAAUAUUUGACUUUACUUCCUGGAAACAAUGAUAGUAAUCAAUCUAACAACUUCAUUUUUGGAGCAAGUAUCGCUCUUUCUUGAAAAUAUCUCGAAUUGUUAGAAUCUUCAAGAAUUGAAUAAUAUUUAAAGUUGAUUAAUGAACCUGUAGGAGCACACGAAUCAUUGAUGAGAUAAUCAUGCGAAAUAUAAAUAAUCGUUUCAUCAUCGUGAGGACCACCAAGUUUGCCUUCUCCUAUAUCUAAGAGCCAUUUUGCAAAAUCCAUUGUUUGCUAAAUAGCAGAUGUAUCAUUUUUUACAGUUAGCCUUAUGAUUUUGGUUAGUUGAUGGACUUUGCAUUGAUUCCAUAAAUAUAAAGAACUUAGAGAAGCAUUAAUAGUGUCUUGUCUACUACCAAUUGGGAUAACAGGCAGAAUUCGUCUGAAAUCUCCUCCAAAAACAAUCACUUUCCCUCCAAAUGGAAAAUUUGAGUUUCUAAGUGAAACAUCCCAAAAAUAUAGUCUAAAAAUUUCACUUUAAAUCAUUAAUAAAAACAUAAUUAUCAUUUGACAUAUAAAAAUUAUAAGUUGUGUAUCCCAAAAAUAUCAUAACAUCUGUCAAAUAUAUAUGAGAGUAUGAACAUCCCAGGCUGAACAAAUGGUGUGUACACUGCAAACAUCUCGAGCUCUCCUUUUGAAAACCAAAGUACCUGAAACCAAAAUUGAAAACGGUAAGCACAAAGCUUAGUGAGUCUCCCCAAACUACCACAUACCAUACACAUAACAUGAAACUAGGAGAUACGGGCCCCACCCACUCUCAUGGAGAUUCGGGCCCCGCUCACACUCUGCUGUCUAGAAGAUUCGGGCCCCACUCAUAAUCCGUUGUCUAGGAGAUUCGGGCCCGGCCCACACUCCGCUGUCUAGGAGAUUCGGGCCCAACCAAAACUGAAAACUGUAAGCACGAAGCUUAGUGAGUCUCCCCAAACUACCAUAUACCAUACACAUAACAUGCAACUAGAAGAUACGGGGCCCACCCACUUUCAUGGAGAUUCGGGCCCCGCCCACACUCCGUUGUCUAGGAGAUUCAGGCCCCACCCACACUCCACUGUCUAGGAGAUUCGGUCCCCGUCCACACUCCACUGUCUAGGAUAUUCGGGAGCCGCCCACACUCCCCAACUAACAUGCAUACAAAUAUCACACGGACGACAAGUAUAUCUACUCCUAUCAAGCAGUCAUAUAUCUAUACUUAAAUAAUACUACGAGAUUCGGGCCCCGCCCAAACUCGACUACUAUGAGAUUCGGGCCCCACCCACACUCGAACAAUAAUGAGAUAUGGGCCCUGCCCACACUCACAUACAUAAACAAGCACAUACAAGUAUCACACAGACAACAAGUAUAGCAAUCCAACAAUCUGACUGAUAUUUAUACUCUGAUAAUAAUAACAUACGGGCCCCGCCCACACUUAGCUACUAACAUAUCACAUAUACGGACCGACCUUGGUGCCUUAGACCCUUUUCUACUGAAAGAAACUCACAUCGCCAUGCUGAAGUCCUGCGAAUAAAUCUCGGGCUAUUGGCUGACAUAUCCCCAAACAGUCAACAUCAAAACAAAACCUAAAUAAACAUUUGGGCUUCCUAUGCAUUACUCUAAAAUCCCCACUUGGGGUAAAACGACCAUUUUACCCCUAACCUAGCUUGGUCCAAUAUUAAGGCCCAAACUCAUACUUUGAAGGCCCAAAGCUCAAAUAAUCAACCAAGGCCCAAUAUGACCCAUCUAUGGCCUAAUUUUCCAAAUUGGGCCCAAGAUUUCCAAUGGGCCUUAUCCUAAGGCCCAAUUCAAUACUCUAGUCCUUAUACUUGUUCUUGGAUGGCCCAUCAAUAGUCCAAUCAUCUAGGCCUAACAAAAAAGACCCGACUCAAAACCCAACACAAUUAGGGUACAUGAAAUGACGAUUAGGGUUAAGUGUUUCUUACUUAACUCAUUAAACACUUAAUCCAUUAAGUCCCAUUAAUUUGCUAGGUAAAUCAUAUAGUGUAAUUAGCCAUAAGCCAUACAUUUAUCCACUGCUCCAAAUGAACGUCCUGACAAUCCAAAACUAACAUUUUCUAAAAUUAGGGUUUUCUAAACCCUAAUUAGGGUUUCUAACCCAAGCACAUGCCAUUGAAGUCCAAGAUAAAGCUAUUGGGCCGAUUAGGGUUUCACCAUGUUGAGCACCACCCACUGCUACCUCGGUCGGUGGUGGUCGAUAGCGGCACACGGCAACAGCCACCACCUCAUGGUGGCGAUGGUGGCUUUUCCUUCAAUCCUUACACCAAAAAACGUUUAUAAAAGUCCAAAUUUACUACACAUACUCAUAAUACCACAUCAUACUGUAACAUCCAUCCCUCGAGGUAUUAUUUAAAUUAUGUAGCUUAAUAUUAGCUUUGAACCUUUAGGGGUGGACCUUAGCAAAGAUGGGCCAACAAGUUGGGCUGCCCAUAAGCCAUAAGUUGGGCGUAACUUGGCAUACGCGGGGCGUAGUGGCACAUUGGAUUCGAGGGACUCGGGGGCGUACGUGCAGCGUGCCAAGAGGUACGCCCAACGUACGUGGGCAGAUGCCAAUCCCUAAUUUUUAGGGUUUAAGACAAAUAAAUACCCCAUUAUAUCCUCCUCUCUAGCCUCCUCACCAAUCGCUCACCCUCAAGAAAAACCCUAAUUCGCCUCUUACCCCAUUGUUGUGUGUGCUUGACCUUUUUGAGUUCAUUUUUGUGAAGAAAGGCUUAGAAGAAGUGAAGAGAAGUUGGAGGAGAAUCACUUGAGUAUCUUAAGCUCAAGGAUCUGUAACAAGUUCAUCUUUUGGCACCCAAAGGAGGUAUAAAGCUCCUACCUUUCCUCUUAGAAGUAUAGAUUUAGUGUUUUGAAGCUUUGGACCUUUUUAGGUCCAAAAAAUGGAUCUUGUUCAUGCAACUUUGUUUUUGAGCUUAGGGUUGCCACCUUGAAGUUCAAAGUGUCCCUUAAGUAGUAAAGUUGCAAGCUUAAAAGCUUUAAUGUAACCAUGCAUGAGAUCUAGCCAUCUCCAUGGAGGUUUAUUACUAUUUUUAGAGUUGGGUUCAUUUGGUGGGUUGCAAGCCAUCAAGUGAUCAACUUUAUGGGUCAGGAUGAAGUAUUAGACUCAGAUCUAUAGUGUAGACGUAGUGUCUUAAGGGAUUAAGCAGUUUUGGAGGAAAUGUCGUAACAGGAGAGUACGAUGGGCAUACACGCCAGUACGCGCAGCGUACAAGCCAUUCAAGCAGCACGUGCAAUAGUUGGGCCUUGUUUUGGGCCACGAUUUGGAUCUAGCAGUAAUUGGUCUGACGUUGGACUUCAGAAGUCAUUCAAGGUCCUAAGGACUUGUUGGGCUUGUGAGGAAAAGCCAAUUUGAGAAGUUGGGCCCAAUUUAGAAAAAUUGGGCCAUUAUUGGGCCAUAGUGGGCCAUGAGUGGACUUAUAAGAACUUGUUGAAAUUGGGUCUUGGAUAUGGCCCAAAGUUAGAGCAGGGGUAAAAUGGUUAUUUUACCCUUAGUGGGAUUCUUUGUUUUUGACUAAGUGUUAUUUGGUCAUAAUAGCCGAAGAGUAGUUGGAGCAGCAGACAGAGUUACCUUGCAUGAGUUUUCAGCAGCCAGGUUGAGAGGUGAAUUUCUCUCCAGUAGGAGCGGGUCUAAGGCCACAAUGUCGGCCCGUUUAGAUGUUAGUAGUUCCAGACUUCGGUCCGAUGCCGGGGCGGUCCCAAGAAGAGUAUAUGUAUGCUUGAUGUCCUUGUGAUUCAUGCAUGUUAUGUAUUAUGUGUUUCGGGCUUCAGACCGAUAUCGGGGUUAGCCCGAUGCAGUUUAUAUGUUAUGUUAUGUUAUGUGUUUUUGAUAUAUGUUAUGAUGUGUAUGUGCCGGGGUAAGGCCGAUGUCAAGGCAAGUUGAUGCCAGACGUAGUCUGAUGCCGAGGUAAGCCCAAUGUCGGGCAGGAGUCCGAUGCCGGGUAAGCCGAUGUCGGUUUCGUCCCGAUGCAGUUGGGAGUAGUCCCAUAGUUAUGUUAUUUGUUAUAUGUUAUGUGGUUGGUAUGUGGUAGUUUGGGGGAGCUCACUAAGCUUCGUGGUUACAGUUUUAGUUUUGGUUUUAGGUACUUAAUUUAACAAAGGGAAGGGCUCAGGUUGAUAGCAUGGAACACACCACAGUCUUUCUGGCCUGGGAGAUUACUCUUAUAUUUUAUCAUAUGUUUUUGGCACAAUAUUUGAUCUGAUGUUUUGUGAUACAUGAUACAUGGUUUUCUCUAUGAUUAUGGAUGGUUUAUGGUUUUAUAAUAAUUUUCAAAAUGAAAUUUUUGGACUGUAUUUUUGGGUUGUUUCAAGUUAGUAUCAGAGCCUUGAUUUGAGGGAUUUGGGCACACUCUCGGAUGAGUCUGAACUCAAACUAAGGAAUAGGUAUGAAAAUUUUCAAAAGAAAAUCGUUUUUAUAAAAAGAACUUUGAGAUAAAGAAAAGAAUUUUGAAAAGAGAGAAGGGUGUGGUGCACAUGAUCAGUCGAGCUCAAGUAAGUACUCCCAAAUUACCCAUACAAGUUAUUGUUAUGUGAUGAUUAUCAGCUUUAUGAGAACAACAUGCUAGAAUUACAACUAAGGAUCUAGGGAGGAUGCCUUAUGUGCCUAUUAUAUGUGUAUCAGCAUUAUGAGAAUUGCAUGCUUGUUUAGGACUAAGGAUAUAGAAAGGAUGUCUGAUGUGUCUGUUAUAUGUAUCUCAGCUUUAUGAGUUGUAUGCUAGUACAUAUUAGUCAGGGGUAGCCUAAGAGAGAUAUUGUUGAUUAUGUUUACUCGAUGCUCGAAUGCUGCUUGCUUUGUGCUUUAGGAGUUCUAGUUAUCUUUUACUAAAUAGUAAGUGAAUAUGUUACGUUACAUAUUGCAAGGAUUAAAUAAUUUCAGAAGGUUAGGUCUAGCUCUAUUGCGCAGCUCUUGUUUGAGUCCAACCGUUUUAGGGUAGGAUCUCUCAUUCGAAGUAUUAUCUAUUCUUAGUAAUAUGUAAUAAUAUUCACGAACUAGUUAGUGGGUAGCAGGGACUUCUUAUACAGCUGAUAGCGGAGAGUGGGUUGGUGAUUACCCUAGGACACGCCUAGGAAGAGUUUAGUAUGAGAUCAGCAGUAGUAGUGGUAAAAGGGACUUGUUGGAGUCGAAGCAGUUCUUGAGGAAAGUACGGAUAGAUGUGGAAGGUAGUAUGGGCCCGUACUACUAAAAGCAGAGGACCCGUACUCGAAACAAGGAAGGCUGAGAUAAGAUCAGGGAACUAGUAGUGUAUGUGAUCCCUCGAGUUAUGAUAGUAUUCUGACGUUUGUUAUGAUGUGUUUUUCAGAAUUGUGGUUUUGCAGCCUAGACCAGUGGUUGGCAGUUCAGGUGCCGGAGAGGGAUCGGGCUCAGGCUCUGGAUCCGCUCAGCUAGAUGAGCUGACUAGGGAGUUCAUCUCCUCAGAGAUUACGCGUAGCAUACUAGACCAGAAUCCGGUGAUUUUUGGAUCGGUCAAGGAGGGUAUCUUAGAGCUUCUGGAUGAGAAGCUAAGCGCCUUCUGCACCGAGAUAGCGGCCAUGAUGGAAUCGCGCACAUUGACUUUCAAGGAGUUCAAAUCUUGUGGAGCUCCCGACUACCCUGGGGCUCGGGACCCCAUUGCGAGUACCAGAUGGUUGGCAGAUGUCUCCAAUGCAUUCCGCACCAGUCAAUGUCCCGAGGGGGACAAGGUUAGGCUUGUGUCCUGUCUUCUGAAGGACAGGGCACGUGAUUGGUCGGAGGAGGUUGGGAGAGCCAUGGGUGAUGACACAGUGUUGGAUGCGAUAACCAGGGAUGACUUCAGGACUAGGUUCAGAGCCGAUUUCACACCUAUUAUUGAGGUGCAACAGCUUGCUAGGGAGUUCCAGGGUCUCCAGCAGACGAAGGAGAUGGUGGCGAGAUUACUGCCAACUUUAGAGAGAGGGCCCUACUUGUUCCGUAGUAUCUGGUGGAUGAGGAGAUGAAGAAAACUAGAUACCAUGAGAUGCUAAGGAGUAACAUUAGAUAGUUUGUGAUCCACUCUAGCUGCAAGACGCUGGAGGACAUGAUUGAUAGAGCUCGAGAGAGGGAGUUGGAUUUAGAGAUGGAGAGGAAGAGGAAACCAAAGGGGGUUCAGUCAGGGGGUUCGGGCUAGAAGCCCAAGGUAUUAGAUCACAGAUCUUGGAGCCAGCAGAGCCAUGGCCGUUGUGGCAAAUGCGGCAAGAUACACGAGGGGACGUGCAAGGCGGGGAGUUCGGGCUGCUAAAAGUGCGGCCGAACUGGUUAUAUGAGUCGGGAUUCAAAAACCACUACCACCACCACGACAUCAUCAGAUCUGAUUUGCUUCUAGUAAAAUCAAAGGGGACACAAGCGGUCCCAGUGCCCGAGUUUAGCAGUAGCAGGGAAGGUGGCAGUGCCUUCUCCUGCCACAUUGAUGAUUACAUAUGGUCAUCAGGUCCGGGCUGAGGCACGUACGUUACGGAGUAUGGCUUUUCAGCUUACUGUAGAGGAGGCACGAGCAGCUCCAAACGUAGUGAUGGGUAUGUAUCUUUCUCUCAUCUCUUUAUUGAUAUUUUUUGUUGCUUAUGUUUACAUGUUUAAUUAUAGGAUCGUUCCUCGUGAACGGUAUAUCAGCUUUAGUAUUGUUCGAUUCGGGUGCCACCCGAUCUUUUGUGUCUCUCGUGCUCAACAAAUGGUUUGUAGGAUCUCCGGGGGAGUUGGGUUGUCCACUUGAUGUAGAGAUAAUGGAUGACUGGACCAUUAGGGUCACGAGGGUUCACAAAGGGUGUACACUUCAGUUACUUGAUCAGCAGUUUUUAGUAGAUCUGGUCCCUAUUCCCCUGCAAGGGAAUAAGGUUAUAAUGGGUAUGGAUUGGUUGAGCCCCAAUGGGGCAGUGAUUGACUGUAAGCAGCAGCUGGUUAGGUUUCGCACUCCUAGUGGGGGAGAGUUAUGGAUCCAGGGUGAAAGGCCACAGCGCGGACUAACUUUCUAUUCAACAGCGAGAGUGAGGCGCCUCAUUCAGCAAGGUUGCGCAAGAUACGUUGCUUAUGUCAUGGAUACCCAGGAUAAGGGUAACGCGACGGUGGAUGACGUACCGGUAGUGCGAGAGUACUUAGACAUAUUCCCGGAGCAUUUACCUAGAAUACCUUUGGAAAGAUAGGUUGAGUUUCGGAUUAAUCUGGUCCCUGGUGCGGUUCCGAUAGCCAAGGCACCAUAUCAGUUGACUCCUCCCAAGAUGCAGGAGUUGUCUACGCAGCUACAGGAGCUGCUAGACAAGGGUUUCAUCAGGCCGAGCAACUCAUCAUGGGGAGCCCCGAUCCUGUUUGUGAAGAAAAAGGACGGGUCACAUCGUUUGUGUAUCGAUUACCGGGAGUUGAAUAAGGUAACGGUGAAGAACUGUUACCCACUUCCGAGGAUAGAUGAUUUGUUUGAUCAGCUGCAGGGAGUAUCCUGGUUCUCCAAGAUUGAUCUACAGUCAGGAUAUCACCAGAUGCGAGUCAGGGAUGAUGACGUGCAGAAGAUAACUUUUAGGACUCGAUAUGGACAUUAUGAGUUUGUGGUGAUGCCAUUUGGCCUCACCAAUGCCCCAACCGCGUUCAUGGGCCUCAUGAACCACAUGUGUAUGUCGAUGUUGGAUCGGUCUGUAAUAGUAUUCAUUGAUGACAUCUUGGUUUACUCUAAGAAUCAGGGGCAGCAUGAGGAGCACCUGAGGGAAGUGUUGGAGACACUGAGGAGGGAGAGAUUGUAUGCGAAGCUCUCCAUGUGUGAGUUCUGGUUGCGUGAGGUGUAGUUCCUUGGGCACCUUGUCAACCAGAAGGGUAUUCUUAUCGAUUCGGCCAAGAUAAAGGCCGUGAUACAGUGGGAGAUUCCGAGGACUCCAUCUGAGAUUCGGAGUUUGCUGGGUAUGGCAGGGUAUUAUAGGAGAUUUAUCCAGGACUUCUCCAAGAUUGCAGUUCCGUUGACCCGACUGACUAAGAAGUCGGUGGUUUUUCGUUGGGGAUCUGAGCAGCAGGAAACCUUUGAGACACUUAGACAACGACUGUGCGAGGCACCGAUUCUCACCCUGCCAAAAGGUGUAGAUGACUUCGUAGUUUACUAUGAUGCAUCGAUCACAUGCAUGAGAGCAGUGCUGAUGCAGCGAGGACAUGUGAUAGCUUAUGCCUUGAGACAGUUGAAGCCUCACGAGGCUUACUAUCCGACACACGAUUUAGAACUGGGGGCAGUGGUGUUGUCCCUCAAGAUUUGGCGACAUUACCUCUAUGGCGUCCGGUGUACCAUUUACACGGACCACAAGAGUUUGAGGUACCUCAUUGAUCAGCCAAAUCUGAACAUGAGGCAGCGUCGGUGGUUAAUGUGGUGAAGGAAUACAAUUGUGAGAUCCUUUACCACCCCGACAAGGCCAACAUGGUGGCUGACGCCCUGAGCCGCAAGGCGGUAGCGGCCCCGAUUCAAGACAUCUGCCUGAGGAUGACAGUGAUUACUCCACUAUUGAAGCAGGUUAGAGAGGUGCAGGUUGAGGGCUUGAAGGAAGAGCGUCAAAAGUGAAAAAGGAUUGUAGGUUGGGUGGCCUCCUUUGAUUAUGACAGUCGAGGCUUUGUUGACCCUGCAUGGAAGGGUCUAGGUACCAUAUUCGGGCAGAGUACGACAUGUAUUGAUGGAUGAGUCCCACAAGUCCAGAUUCUCCAUCAAUCUGGGGGCGACGAAGAUGUACAAAGAUCUUCAACCUGAUUACUGGUGGCCCUGCCUGAAGCGGGACGUAUCUUGGUACGUGGAGAGAUGCCUGACCUACAGUAAGGUCAAGUCGGAGCACCAGAGGCCGCAUGGCAAGAUGCAACCGUUAGACAUCCUUGUGUGGAAGUGGGAGGACAUUACUAUGGACUUUAUCACUAAGCUUCCUAGGACCGCACAUAGGGUCAAUUCGAUAUGGGUCAUCGUGGAUCGGUUGACCAAGAGCGCCCACUUUAUAUCGAUCCAGGAGAGCAUCUCAGACGAGAAGUUAGCCGAGAUUUACGUACGAGGGGUGGUGACACAGCAUCGAGUGCCUGUCUUAGUAGUGUCAGACCGAGAUGUCCGUUUUACUUCCAGAUUUUGGAAGCAGUUUCACAACGAGAUGGGUACUCAUCUCCACUUCAACAACGCUUUCCACCCUCAGACGGACGGACAGAGCGAGAGGAUGAUUUAGACGCUCGAGGACAUGCUUCGAGCAUGCGUGUUGGAUUUCGGUGGCAGUUGGGAUACGUACCUUCCGUUAGCGGAUUUUUCGUAUAACAAUAGUUAGCACUUUAGUAUAGACUGUCCUUUCUUUGAGAUGCUUUAUGGGAGGAAGUGUAGGACCCCAAUCUAUUGGGGUGAGGUCGGUCAGAGGGUCAUGGGGAGUAUGGAGGUAGUACUCAAGACUACAGAGAGGAUCCAGCAGGUUUGAAGCAGGCUUCAGACAACCUAGUGUCGGCAGAAGAGUUACGUCGAUAGAUGGCGUUCGGACUUGGAGUUUUAGGUGGGUGAUAUGUCCUCGUGAAAGUGUCACCCAGGAAGGGUGUUAUCCGGUUUCAAAAGUGGGGCAAGUUGGGCCCUAGGUACAUCUUCAUGGUCGUAACCCGGGUGGGCAAGGUGGAAUACCGAUUGGAUCUUCCAACCGAGCUCAGUUAGAUCCACAACACUUUCCAUGUUUCUCAGCUUUUGAAGUGCUUAGUAGAUCAGACAACGAUUAUACCCUUGGAGGACAUUCAUGUUGAUGACAGCCUGAACUACAUCGAGAAGCCAGUGGCGAUUCUGGAUCACAAGACGAAAGAGCUGAGAUAUAAAAGAGUCCAGUUAGUGAAGGUACAAUGGCAACACCGGAAGAGUUCAGAGUGGACUUGGGACUCCAAGGAGGAGAUGAGGGAGCACUACCCGGAGUUUUUUUUUUUGGAUUUAGCAGCAGCAGGCUUUGAGGACGAAGUCUGAUUCAAGUGUGGGUGAAAUGUAAGAUCCGUCUCUCGAGGUAUUAUUUAGAUUAUGUAGCUUAACAUUAGCUUUGGACCUUUAAGGGUGGACCUUAGCAAAGAUGGGUCAAGAAGUUGGGUUGCCCAUAAGUCGUACAUUGGGCGUAACUUAGCGUACGCAGGGCGUAGUGCACAUUGGAUUCGAGGGACUCGGGGGCGUACGUGCAGUGUACCAAGAGGUAAGCCCAACGUACGUUGGCAGAUGCCAAUCCCUAAAUUUUAGAGUUUAAUACAUAUAAAUAACCCAUUAUAGCCUCCCUUCUAGCCUCCUCACCAUUCGCUCACCCUCAGAAAAACCCUAAUUCGCCUCUUACCCCAUUGUUGUGUGUGUUUGACCUUUUUGAGUUCAUUUUUGUGAAGAAAGGCUUGGAUGAAGUGAAGAGAAGAUGGAGGAGAAGCACUUGAGUAUCUUAAGCUUAAGGAUCUGGAACAAGUUCAUCUUUUGGCACCCAAAGGAGGUAUAAAGCUCCUACCUUUCCUCUUAGAAGUAUAGAUCUAGGGUUUUGAAGCUUUGAACCUUUUUAGGUCCAAAGAAUGGAUAUUGUUCAUGCAACUUUGUAUUUGAGCUUAGGGUUGCCACCCUUGAAGCUCAAAGUGUCCCUUAAGUAGUAAAGUUGCAGGCUUUGAAGCUUUCAUGUAGCCAUGCAUGAGAUCUAGCCAUCUCCAUGCAGGUUUAUUGCUAUUUUUAGAGUUAAGUUCAUUUGGUGGGUUGCAAGCCAUCAAGUGAUCGACUUUAUGGGUCAGGAUGAAGUAUUAGACUUAGAUAUGUAGUUUGGACGUAGUGUCUUAAGGGAUUAAGAAAUUUUGGAGGAAAUGGCUUAACAGGAGAGUACGUUAGGCGUACACGCUAGUACGCAUAACCUACAAGCCAUUUAAGAAGUAUGCGCAACGUACGCUCAGACAGUGGGCUUUAUGCUAUUAGGGCGCAGUUUGGGCCAUGCUUUGGAUCUAGCAGUAAUUAGGCAAAGAUGAGCCUUUAGAAGUCAAUCAAGGGCCCAAGGACUUGUUGGGCUUGUGAGGAAAAGCCCAUUUGAGAAAUGGGCCCAAUUUAGAAAAAUUGGGCCAUUAGUGGGUUUUAGUGGGCCAUGAGAGGACUUAUAAGGACUAGUUGAAAUUGGUUCUUGGAUAUGGCCCAAAGAUAGAGCAGGGGUAAAAUGGUCAUUUUACCCUUAGUGGGAUUCUCGGUUUUUGACUAAGUUCUAUUUGGUCAUAAUAGUCGGAGAGUAGUUGGAGCAGCAGACAGAGUUACCUUGCAUGAGUUUUCAGCAGCCAGAUUGAGAGGUGAGUUUCUCUCUAGUAGGAAUGGGUCUAAGGCUACAAUGUUGGACCAUUUAGAUGUUAGUAGUUCCGGACUUCGGUCCGAUGCCAGGGCAGUCCCGAGAAGAGUAUAUGUAUGCUUAAUAUCCUUGUGAUUCAUGCAUGUUAUGUGUUAUGUGUUCUGGGGUUCGGCCCGAUGUCGGGGUAAGCCCGAUGCAGUUUAUAUGUUAUGUUAUGUGUUUAUGAUAUAUGUUAUGUUGUGUAUGUGCCAGGGUAAGCCCGAUUCUGGGGUGAGCCCGAUGCCAGACGUAGUCCGAUGCCGGGGUAAGCCCGAUGUCGGGAAGGAGUCCGAUGUUGGGUUCGUCCCGAUGAAGUUGGGAGUAGUCCCAGAGCUAUGCUAUUUGUUAUAUGUUAUGUGUUUGGUAUGUGGUAGUUUAAGGGAGCUCAUUAAGCCUCGUGCUUACAGUUUCAGUUUUGGUUUCAGGUACUUCAGCUAGCAAAUGGAAAGGCUCGGGUUGAUAGCAUAGCACACACCACUAUCUUUCUGACCUGGGAGAUUACUCUGAUAUUUUAUCAUAUGUUUUUGGCAUAGUAUUUGAUCUGAUGUUUUGUGAUAGAUGAUACAUGGUUUUCUCUAUGAUUAUGGAUGGUUUAUGGUUUUAUAAUAAUUUUCAAAACAAAAUUUUUGGACCCUAUUUUUGGGUUGUUUCACAUACACACACAACCACCACCAUACGGCAGUUGGUGGCGGCAAAGCGGUGGCAGGAGGCGGCAACCACCACCCCAUGGUGGUGGCAGUGAAUUUUCGGCCAAAAAUACACAUAUCUCACACCAAAAAUAUUGAAAACAACCACUACACUCUAACAUAUGCAUAUUCACCCACCUCUUAGGCGGCGAACGUCGCUGGAAAAAUGCAACAGCGGCCCUUCAUGACCACCGACGACGGCAGUGACGAUUCCAGCGUCACACCCAUAAAGAAUGAGAAAGAUAGAGGAAGGAUAGGUUAACGGGGACUUACUGUGCAUUCCAGGUGGCUCACGACUUGCACAAAGACGGCACAUCGGGUUUUUCCCCGGUCCUCGGCGGUUCUUUGGCUGCCCAUGACGUUUUUGGCAGAAGACAUCGCGAUGGCGAUCAUCAUUGGCACUGCAGCGGCGGCACUCAAACUUUGCUCGCCCACUCAUAUAAUGGAUUUUAAGGCUACUAAUCAUUUAUUAAUUUUAUCUAUUUAUUUAUUUAAUAAACAGGGUGUUACAAAUCUCCCCCACUUAUAUUAGAUUUCGUCCUCGAAAUCAUUCGUCACCAUCCCUUACACGCCAGACAACUUGAACGCCAUUACCAGAAUCCUGAGCAUAACCUAGCCUUUCCAAGGAAACCAAAACCAUCCCUCGCAGGGUUCUUAAAACCCGAAGAUGCACGAAUUCCUGGCAUUAUUAUCACAUUACUCAAUCUGAAAUCCGAAGUUUCGAUAUGGUCUGACUCCCUGACAAACCGCCCAUAUAGAUUCAUUAUAGCCGAAUCCAGUCCACUUAUCUCUCAACUGACUACUUAAUUUCUGAUAACUCGAGGUUCCCACUAGAAAAUGGAAUUACGUACCCAAUUAUCCCUGCAUAUCACUUAUACUUGGCCAAGGCUCAGAUAAUCCCGGUGUGAGUGACUUAGCAUAACCCAAGCUAUUUGUGACUCUAUCCAUACAUGAAAUCCUAAAAUACCAUUACUGCUUGAGACACCGAGAUUGUCCGGAGCACUGAACUGCCUGAAACAGUGAACUGCCAGAAACAAUAUGAUGCGCCAUGGCUGCCUUCUAAAACCUACCGAGACCUCCCUGGUCUCAAUUCGUUCACCAGUCAUCUGAAAUAUCGGGUUCCGGCCCGGUUGCGGAGCCAAAGGACUCCCACGUGGUCGUUCCAUACAAUUUUCGAACGAAAUCCUUGUCUGUUAAUAGUUGCCAUUAGUUAUAUUGCCACUAUAGAUCUAACGACCUCCUGAUCCAUACGAUCAGGUCCAUACGUUGACUCCUAAAUUUACCAAAUCCAAGGCUAAAAGUGAUUGCUACAUAACCAAGGGUAGCCUUAUAUCACAAACGACCUUAAACAGUCCAUCGCUUCCUUGAUCCCCUGACUGCAGUGAUAUUCCUACAGUCUUAUCACCGGCUCAAGCAGGUCUAAUUCAUCUGGGGAAAUCCGUAAACCAAUAUGUGGAUUUGCCACGCCCUUACCGCUGCACCCGAACUAGUGGGUACCACUGUUCCUUCUGCGAUCUAACAACACUCCCAUGCUAUCUACCAACCUAGUGAAUGUUACGGCUACACCUGCAGUCUCACAACACUCUAGCUCUAUCUGCCAACCUUGUGAAUGCUAUGGCUACACCCGUAGGCUUACAACACUCUAGCACUAUCUGGCUACUAGUGAAUGCUACGGCUACACCCACAGACUUACAACACUUUCUCACACUAUAUGGCUGCUAGUGAAUGCUACGGCUACAACCGUAGACUUACAACACUCUAACAAUAUCUAGAUGCUAGUGAAUGCUAUGGCUACCCCCGCAAACUUACAACACUUUCUCACACUAUAUGGCUGCUAGUGAAUGCUACGACUACACUCGUAGACUUACAACACUCUAACACUGUCUAGCUGCUGAUUACUAAUCUGAACACAUCCAACGUUGAGCGUACACCUGACCUCUCAUCCCAAACUGAACUCAUAUCCUGACAGGAUUCACCAACUUGAUUCCCUAAGGCUUGCUAUCAAACAUUCAGAGAACGCAAUCUCAUUAUUGGCAAAUUUUUCCGAACUUCCAACUCACACUAUCCUCGAUCCAUAUAACUGCUCGGGCUGUCUUCCUUGAUGACAAGGAUGCGAAACUUAUCCCAAUUUCAAAACUACUACUACUUCUGAAUCCCUGGACGAUUCUCCCCCACUUAGAUUUGACUAAGUCUUCGUAAUACAUGAAAAUUGGAAAAUUCCCCAUCCUUCUCACUUUCCAACAAUCAAUCCAAUGACAACCAACUCUUACCAACUAGUACUCCAUUACUAGUCAAUCAAUAACGGUUACUAAGACAACUAAAUCCUGUCGAUGUUGGAUAACCAUCCUGCGGAACCCUGACUGCAGACCUUCCAUAGAACACUCCUGAUCCGAUCUCGACCAUAAACUAAGCUGACACUGUACACUCCCAACCCCACAAUUAGGGAAAUAACCUUUCGCUACCCACUAAUAAUUCUCGGUAUGCAAUUGGCAUAUGACAUCUCUUGGAAAUAUAAUUCAAACACAGACAGGGGAUAAACCCAGAGUGACACUUACUCAAACCCUCGGAACGAAAGGCAUCCAUCGUGCAGUUUCCCGCAAGUGUUCCACCGAAUCUGGCCCUGCUGGCCUCUUUAAAGUUGAUCCUAAAUCUUGGCUCUAUUUCCAAGGCCCUUCAACAUAUGCAACUAAUCUGGUUCCCUCUUCACAAUGUGCUCCAAGUCAAUAUCCCAUUGUAACGACCCAAAAAUUCUUCUGUCAACGAGAUUAGUUUCCGUCCCACGAAUAUUUAUUUGUGUAGGAUUAUUUUGGUUUUAUGAUGAUAAAAUAAAAUAAGGAUGCAUAAAAAAAAAAAAAAAAAAAAAAAAAAAAAAAAAGAAAAAAAAAAAAAAAAAAAAAAAAAAAAAAAAAAAAAAAGCGAGUAAUGGUUAAAAUAAUUAAUCGGUAAAAUAUGAAGUUGCUUAAUAUAACCUCUAAGUUGAUAACGUGCGAGAAAUUUGAUGGAUUCUGAUUAUUUUUUCCGUCCCUUUAACUACGUGCAACUUAUGAAGGGUAGGUCGGUUUUGUUUUGGUGGGCUGCUAUUACUCGCUCGAUUUAGUGCAACUAGGUAAAAAAAUAGAUUUUUAAAGAGGUAUGCAAGGAAACAGAUCGGGAAGCAAAGGCAAAGCCAUGGCUGGUGCUUGAAGGUUUCAAUGAAGCAUCGAGGUCCGGAAUUCUCUGGUAAGAUUCUCACUUCCUCUCGUAAAUGGGGUUAUCAUGCAUGUAGUUGUGGCCGAUUUUGGGAAGCAAACUCGAGUGUACGUGUGCGAUUUUCUGAAUUUUGUUCCAUUCUUUUCCAUGAUUUUCUGUGGGUUUUCUUGCAGUUCAAGGGCUGCUAUGAAUCAUCCAUACGGCUCUCUAAACAUCCCCUAGAGGCCUUGAUAUGUGGGUAACUAUGAUGUUGUUUGGACUAACAAAGAUUGUUUCAAAAGUCUAGCUUGAAAUUCCUCACAACUCUUGGUAGUAUUGUUUGUAUCUUUGGUCUCCAAAACCAUGACUUGGAGGUUGAAAUAACAAUUGUGAAUACUACAUAAUGUGUGUCUAAAGUUCACUCAAAGUUCAUCCCUACAUGUAUCUUGAUUUUGAACUAAUAAAAGUCUUUAUUGGUGUAUGUAGAUUUUUGGUGUUUGGUGUAUAAGGGCAUCCUACAUUCAAUAAUCUUUUAGUCAAUUCUUGGUCUUUUCAUAAACCACUUAAUUGAUGUUUUAAUACCUUCAUUCAAUCUUUUGGUGUGUUAAAUCGUGUGGCUUUAAUCCUUUGUCCAAGGUCAUGAAUCAUAUGGUGAUUUUUGGCAAUUAUUAGAAAUCUGCACAGCAACUUUUCCCCAUCUUGCGAGGGCUGUAGCUGAGAAUAUGACCAGAAUUGGCCGAUACCCCUCUCUGGAUAAAAUGUAGGAAAUCGAGUCUAGUUUUCAAAAAGUAUAGAUUGAGAUCAAUUGGAGUUACGGAUUCUGUUUUAUGCCCAAAACACUGAAAAGUGGUCAAGAUGUGAAACUUUAAAAAAAAUAUGUAACCCAUUAAGAAAUUUAAAGGUGUUAAUGAAACUUGGACCCUAUUUUGAUGAUUGCUUGGUAUGUGUGAUUAUUAGGUGAAAAAUUGACAACUUCAAGAAGGGUCAAGGCUUGAAUUAAAAAGGAGAACUCGCUUCAAACAUAAGGUGAGUCGACAAUUUUUGUUGACUUUAGUGCAUAACCGAAAACCACAUCUCCUAGGUGGAUUGUUGAUGCAAAUUAGGAAUCAUGCUAGAUUUAUAAAUGCUUGUGAUAAUUAUCGAAAAUAUGUUGUUUGUAUCUUAUGUGUUGUUAUUCCUUGGUAUCAGUUGAUAUGGUGAUAUUCACGUUAUGUGAUAGUUGUAAAUUGCAUGCGCAUAUGAUGUUUCAUGAAUUGGUAGUUGUAUGCUAAAGUAUGGUGACAACUUAAUGAACUUCAUUAGAUGAUAAUUGCUCGUUUAAACUGUAUGUGAAACAUGAUUAUUUUGGUGUAUGCAUGCUUUUGUGGGGUAUAAUGGUGAUAUGGGUAGAACCUUGCAAGUCUAAUCGGUUGAAAGAGCUUAAGCCAUAAUGGUGAUUACUUACACGGUCUUUGUAGAUGGUCGUGUGACACGUGGUUCGUGUGCACCUCGGUGUACAGGAACUAGAGUGGUGUUGGCUUUAUGGUGUGGCCGGAUCAAACAUCACGUAGGAAUCGGGAGGUGUAUCGAUAGAAUUGACACCGUUUGUACCGAUCCUGAACGACACCAUAAAGUACUUGUACUUUGCAAGUCGGAGUAGCGAAAGUGGAAGUCUUGGGGUUAUUGUAUUCGGGUGGAAGUCAUGAGCCACUUAGAGCACUAAACUGGCUAAGCACAUGAGUAGUGAACGGGGUUAAGUUGUUGGGUAGACUGUCCCUAAGGAACCCCCAAAGUAGUUAAUCAGUUGAAUUAAAAAUUACAUAUAAUAAACAGUGAAUUAAAUUAUAUGUAAUAAUCGGUUGAAUUAAGUUGAAAACUAUAUGAUUGAAAUAAAUUAUGAUACCAUGUUAUUUGUUUUUCUGGACUAUGUUAUUAUCACAAUUUGCAUGGAUGACCCUUAUGAGAAUUGUGUGUUUUCUUUUUGGUUGUGUACAACUUGUCGGCUCACGUGGCGGUUGCUAACAUUUGUUUCUUUGCUGGAUGCCUUUUGAUUGGUACAGGUAGCUUAAGAGCAUGACUUAGUGAGUUUGGGUUCCUUUGGGUAGUUAGUUUUAAUAAAGAUGCCACUUGAGCACGUUUGGUGUUUAUUUUCCUUUGAACCUCUUUUUUCAAUAAUUAAAUGGUUGAAUGCUUGGUUAUGAAAAUGGUAACGUGUGGUUUUGAAAAUGUUUUGAAUUAAAAACAAAGUCUUCCUCUCACGUAUUCUGUUAAAUAAAUGUUUUAAAAAGAAAAAAGUUAUUGUGGUGAAAAUCAUGACAUUAUACCCAUUCCCAGGCUCCAGAAGUCAUAUCAUUCAGUGUCUCACACCCCAAGAUACUCACAAUCUCCCUGCUAUCAUUCUGAAGUAUGUCAUGAUACUUUACCUUCUUCAUUUCCUCAUCUGUUGCAUACUGCGGUAGCAACUAAGCUCUCUCCCGAGACUUGGCAGUGAUCUCUGCCACAGUCUCAGUAGUAUGGCGGAGAUCUAACAACUCGCACGCCAAUUGUUGCGCCUCAAUCGCCUGAGCAAACUCCACCCAGAAUUUGGUCGAAAAGUCAUCCCAUGACACAGCGUCGACCGCAUCAUCACCCAACUCACUACCAACCUCUUCCCAUCAAUCACGCCCCUGUCCUUCAGGAAACAUGAAGUAAAUCGGACCUUGUCCCUCUCGUGCAACGGUUGGUACGAAAAGUGUUAGCGACAUCUACCAAUCCCUCUGUUACUAGCUAUGGGGUCCCUAGCCCCAUGAUAAUCUGGAGCUUCACAAGCUCUAAAUUCCCGAAUCAUCAACGUACACGUCCUUAUCAUGGUUGCUAUCUCAGUGCAGAAUGCACUCAACCUCUCAUCACAAAUCUCUAAAGUUUCAUCCUUGAUCAUACCGAAGAUCACAGGAGUCUGGUAAAUGAUAUUGUGCGUACUCUCAGAUGUAAUUAGCUCCCUCAUCUAACCAUCAAGCUGCCCGGUUCCAGAGUCCGAGCUUGAUCCCUUUCCGGCACCAAAUCUGACAUCUGGUCUACCACAUAGCAUCACCAUACUCAAGUAUACUAUAACAAUAUCAGAAUACUCAUCAUAAAUCAAGGGAUUACACACACUACAAGUUCCCUGGGUUUGUCUCAGCCUUCCUUGAUUUGAGUAUGGAUCCCCUACUUUCAGUAGUACGAUCCCAUAUUGUUGGAUUAGUGUCUAAGGCUGUAACUAUAUUUGGUAAAUACUUGACCCGAUUGUGCAUGGUCCUUUGGGGUUGCCUUCACCAUAGCAACUUGACAGGGUGAUUUGUAUAGAGAGAAGAGAUAUUAUUAUUAAUGUAUUAUAAGAAUAAUAUGUUAAAGGAAUAAUAAUAUUUUUUUGAUUAAUAUAUAAGUCAUAAAUUAAUUAGGAAUUAAUUUGGUGACUUAAAGAGAUUAAUUGAAUAAAGGGGCAUAAAUUGUCAAAUGUGUGAUAGUUGUAUUUUGGGCUAAGGAUCUUUACGGAUAAAGGGGUGGACGAUUUUAGGGAUAUGGAUCUCCUAGAAAUCGUCCAAGGCUUAUCUAGAAUGAUUUUUGGAUUGCUUUGAGGCUAAGUUAUCCAAUUAGGGUUUAAAGUGAAACCCUAGGAGCUCACAGUAUAAAUAGGCCCUUAGGGUUCAAGAAAUCGGCCAUGUUUGAGGAAACCCCUAGAGCCGAUUUCUCACCUCUCUCCUUCUCUUAAAUCAUCUUCUUGAUAGUUGGUGUUUGUAAGCCAUUAGAGGAGUGACAUUUGUGACUCUAAGCUCCAAGAAGAAUAAGGUUUUCAAGCAAGUAACUCAAGGUAUUAUUCUAGAUCUGUUUUCAUAUGUUAUGAUUGUUAGUUUACAUUAGAUCUAGCCAUGAAAGUCUUGGAUAUAUUUCAUGUUCAAUUAGAGAAACCUAGAUCCAAGCUAUAGGGUUGUAUGUGCACAUAGGAAAGUUCUUAUGUCUAAAACCCAUUAGUGGUAUCAGAGACAUGAUUGGUUUCAAUUGAAUGUGAUGCUUAAUUGAUUUACUUGCUGAAAAUAGUUUUUCCUCACCUGUGUCCGACCCAACUCGGCGAGUCAGUGUCUAGACUCGGCGAGUUGGCCCUACUCGACGAGUCCAAAGCUUGAGUCGGCGAGUCCCAGCGUCAGACAGAGGAUAAUUCGGGAUUUUAUUGCUGUUUUGUCUUGGAUUGAUACCUAAAUCGUUUUAUUAUGUAAAAAUCCGAAUUUUAACCUAAUUUAAUGAUUAUCCUUGACAUAACAAUAGAUAAUUUCAAAUCUUUUGAAUAUUAAUUAUUUAUAUGAUAAAUAUGGACUAUUUAAGAUUAUUUGGUAAUUAUCUAAUGACUAAAAUUGAAUUAGGUCAAAUAUAGAUAAUUAUGAAAUUAAUUGUUUAAUUUGAAUUAUUUGUUAUUUGAUCCCUAUUGUUUUGAAAAGUUCAAUAUUUAUCCCGAAGUUUUGAAAUUUGAAUUUGGUGAUUAAUAGUUUAAUUUAGAAGAAUUUAAAUUUCAACCCCUAGAAUUUUACAAGUUUAAAAUUCAACCCUAUACUAUUAUAUUAUUAAAAGCUUAAUAAAUAUAUAAGUAAAAUUAAAAUGCUAGUCUUACCGUUAGUAGGCCUCAUUCACGAAGCCGGUCUAUAAGGUGGGUAUAAGGUUGCUGCCUAUAAAAUGGCGCUUAAUGGGUGUACACUCACACCCACNNNNNNNNNNNNNNNNNNNNNNNNNNNNNNNNNNNNNNNNNNNNNNNNNNNNNNNNNNNNNNNNNNNNNNNNNNNNNNNNNNNNNNNNNNNNNNNNNNNNNNNNNNNNNNNNNNNNNNNNNNNNNNNNNNNNNNNNNNNNNNNNNNNNNNNNNNNNNNNNNNNNNNNNNNNNNNNNNNNNNNNNNNNNNNNNNNNNNNNNNNNNNNNNNNNNNNNNNNNNNNNNNNNNNNNNNNNNNNNNNNNNNNNNNNNNNNNNNNNNNNNNNNNNNNNNNNNNNNNNNNNNNNNNNNNNNNNNNNNNNNNNNNNNNNNNNNNNNNNNNNNNNNNNNNNNNNNNNNNNNNNNNNNNNNNNNNNNNNNNNNNNNNNNNNNNNNNNNNNNNNNNNNNNNNNNNNNNNNNNNNNNNNNNNNNNNNNNNNNNNNNNNNNNNNNNNNNNNNNNNNNNNNNNNNNNNNNNNNNNNNNNNNNNNNNNNNNNNNNNNNNNNNNNNNNNNNNNNNNNNNNNNNNNNNNNNNNNNNNNNNNNNNNNNNNNNNNNNNNNNNNNNNNNNNNNNNNNNNNNNNNNNNNNNNNNNNNNNNNNNNNNNNNNNNNNNNNNNNNNNNNNNNNNNNNNNNNNNNNNNNNNNNNNNNNNNNNNNNNNNNNNNNNNNNNNNNNNNNNNNNNNNNNNNNNNNNNNNNNNNNNNNNNUUUGCAUGUUGGAUUACAGUAUCCCUUUUCUAAUAUGUAAAUAAUGUUGUUGGGUCCUAGCCCUAAUUUUUCAUUUUGGGUGUUUCAUUAGGGAUCCAAUUCUAAUCAGACUUCGUCCUUUUUAUUUGUAGAUUCAAACGCAANNNNNNNNNNNNNNNNNNNNNNNNNNNNNNNNNNNNNNNNNNNNNNNNNNNNNNNNNNNNNNNNNNNNNNNNNNNNNNNNNNNNNNNNNNNNNNNNNNNNNNNNNNNNNNNNNNNNNNNNNNNNNNNNNNNNNNNNNNNNNNNNNNNNNNNNNNNNNNNNNNNNNNNNNNNNNNNNNNNNNNNNNNNNNNNNNNNNNNNNNNNNNNNNNNNNNNNNNNNNNNNNNNNNNNNNNNNNNNNNNNNNNNNNNNNNNNNNNNNNNNNNNNNNNNNNNNNNNNNNNNNNNNNNNNNNNNNNNNNNNNNNNNNNNNNNNNNNNNNNNNNNNNNNNNNNNNNNNNNNNNNNNNNNNNNNNNNNNNNNNNNNNNNNNNNNNNNNNNNNNNNNNNNNNNNNNNNNNNNNNNNNNNNNNNNNNNNNNNNNNNNNNNNNNNNNNNNNNNNNNNNNNNNNNNNNNNNNNNNNNNNNNNNNNNNNNNNNNNNNNNNNNNNNNNNNNNNNNNNNNNNNNNNNNNNNNNNNNNNNNNNNNNNNNNNNNNNNNNNNNNNNNNNNNNNNNNNNNNNNNNNNNNNNNNNNNNNNUGUGACAUCCCCAAUUUCACGGCCAGAAAAGACCGAUUUGUUUAUGCUUUGUUUUUAUAAAAUCAGAGUAAUCUUUUGAUUAAAAGAGUUGCGGAAUUUGUUCCCAAAAUAAAAUAUGAUAAAAUUUAUCAAAACGUUUCUCAAAGAGAAUGUAUUUUCAUUAAAUAAUAAAACCUCGGGAUGUCAUGUUCGAUACAGACCAAAAGCAUAAACAAUAUAAAAUAAACCUUACAACAGUUAUUUAUAACUAUUGAUCUAUAAUCCAAAAUCUCUACUCAAGUCAACCAACUUAUACUCUUGUGCCAUCACCUGUAAUGUAAAGAAAACUGAGUGGGUCAGGCUUGGGAGCCUGGUGAGCAUAUAGGGUUUUCAAUCCACAAUAAUAUAAUUAUUAUAUUUAAUCAGCAAACAAUCAACCCAAUUACCCAUCCCGAUUAUCUUGUUAAGGUUUUACCCUAAGAACCAACUAUCCUUCACACAUUUAUUCCUAAGGAAUUGGCACGAAAUCCAUUGCUGCCAAAGUUUAUUUAUCAAGUACUAAAUCCAUAGUUAUCAGGCGCUAACUCCAUAGUCACCAAGGUUCACUUUAACAAGCGCUAACUCUAGUCGCCAANACAAGCGCUACCUCCAUAGUCGCCAAGGUUUAUUCAACGUGCGCUAACUCCAUAGUCGCCAAGGUUUAUACAAUAGGCGUUAACUCCAUAGUCACCAACUAUCCCAUCUACCCAAGUUCUACCCAACAUUUUCAUAUAUAUAAAUACUUACACAGUUUACAUCAUUUAACACUAGUAUACAACAUCAAUUCCACGUCCAUCUCAAAUAGACAAAUAAUAUAUAAACACAUAGCACGUAUUUCAUAGCAAAUACUUCAUAUUUAUGUGUUAGAAGAAAGUAACUACACACUCACUUGAUCAGAAGAUGCUCGGACAGCACUACGGCUUAUAGAAGUAUUAUUCUUCGAUAGAUCUGGAAGAUCUUCACAAAAACCGGACUCCUCGCGGGCAGAGCUUCGGCUUAGGAAUUUCACUUCUCGGGAUCUUCGGGGCCUCGGGACUUGCUUCGGGGCUCAGGAAUGAUACCGGGGCUUCAGGAUAAUUCUUGCACGAAAAACGAUGCAAAAACGCGAGAUAAAGGGAAGAAAUGAGCAAAGAAGUCGGUUGCCCUCGACACCCUUUUAUAGGGGGAUGGAAACCCAUUUACGCUGAGCGUAAAUUUACAUUACGCUAGGCGUAAUGUGGAUCAGAUCGCUGACUCCCCCCAUGGAUAAUACCGGUUAAUUUAUAAUUAAAUUAAAUAUCGAAAAUAUUUAAUAAACUUCAAAAAUUCAUAUCUUCCUCAUACGAACUCCGUUUUUGACGUUCUUUAUAUCCCCGCGUAGGUGAGACUACGCUCUGCAACUUUCGUUUAGACUCCAUCGGCUAAUUUUGAAUUUAUUUUUAUUAUUUAUUUUUAGUAGGCCGGGACAGGAAAAUUCCGUUAUAAAUUUAUAACUUCUUCAUCUGAUGUCCGUUUUCACCUAUCUUUUUAUCGUUUCACUACUAUUAAUGAGAUCUUCGAUUCUCAUUUAGAUUGUUUCGGCUAAAAACCGCUCGAUCUCAAAUCGAGUAUUCGGGCUGCAUACCGCUAAGUCAAAACUUAGAAAAAUCAUAACUUCCUCAUACGAAGUCAGAUUUGGACGUUCUUGUUAUGCAUGCUCACGGUUUAACAUAUUCUACAACUUUCGUUUAGAUCCCUAAGGCUAAAUAUCGCUCUAACGUAAAUUCACCUCGCGUUGUGUCGUGUCGGUUCUGUCGUGAAACUUCGACGGGUCAUAACUUCUUCGUUAUAACUCGGAUUUUGGCGUUCUUUAUAUGUACGGAAUCCUUGUAACAUAUACUACAACAUAGUUAAGAUUAUUCAUUCUAAAUAAUAUUUUAUCAAAAAGUCAUUUUUGACGCUUAUCGUCUCUAAAUUGACUAGCCCUGAUCUACGGGCGUUACAGUCACCCUAAGCAAAUUCCAAGGUCUCCUGUGGACUGCUGAGAGCAACCUUAAGGAUAAGUCUGUUGCACCAACUCCUGCACCAACCGCUGCUCCUGUUUUGGCUAUAGGGCAGGGAAGGGGAAAGAAGAGGAAAGCUCCGUCAAAGAGCCACCGCAAGGGAAAGUCUCAAGAUGGUUCCUCUUCUAGUGGGACCAAGGUUGAUCCUGCUAAGCACAACCUUAACCCGGAGGAGGCAGAGUGCCAUCAUUGCCACAAAAUAGGGCAUUGGAAGAGAAGCUGCCUAGAAUAUCUUCAAGCCAUCAAGUAUGGAAAGAUCAAGCCAUCUUUUGUAGGUAUAUACACAAUUAAAUCUAAUAAUUCAUCUCAUACUAUUUCUUGGGUCCUUGAUACAGGAUGUGGUUACCAUAUUUGUUCUGAUUUGCAGGGACUAAGAAGAGAUAGAGAUGUGGAGCAAGGAAGAAUAAAUCUAAUCAUGGGAAACAAAAGAUCGUCGCCUGUCACCAAGAUUGGAGUGUAUUCUUUAGUGCUUAGUAAUGGAUUAGGUUUAGAUUUAAAUAAUUGUUGCUACUCGCCAGAUAUGGCAAGAAACAUCAUUUCAUUUCAUGGUUUGUUUAGACAAGGAUUUAGAUAUUCAUUUAACAAUAUGAAUGGUUCUAUUUAUGCUUAUCUAAAUGGUGUUUUAUACUUUCAAGCAAUGCCUUGUAAUUGAAUUUAUGAAACUUUUAUGGUUGUAGAUAACCUAGGAAAUGAUGUGUUGUGUAUAGAUUCUUCCAAUAGUAUGGAUAAAGCAUCUUUGUGGCAUUGUCGUCUUGGACAUGUCAACAAGAAACGCAUAGCCCAACUCCAAAAGGAUGGAGUGUUGGAGUCAUUCGACCUUAGGGAAGAUGACACGUGCGAAUCUUGUUUACUUGGAAAGAUGACCAAGUCACCCUUCACUGGCACUUGUGAGAGGGGUGAGGGUUUAUUGGAUCUCAUACAUACCGAUGUAUGUGGGCCCUUUAGAUCCACCACAAAGGAUGGAAACCGCUUCUACGUGACUUUCACCGAUGAUUAUAGUAGAUAUGGGUAUAUUUACUUAAUCAAGCACAAGUCUGAAACGUUUGAAAAGUUCAAAGAGUUCAAGAAUGAAGUGGAGAAUCAAUUGGGCAGGAAAAUCAAGAUGCUUCGAUCCGAUCGAGGAGGAGAGUACCUAAGUCUUGAAUUCCACGACUAUCUCAAGGAAUGNNNNNNNNNNNNNNNNNNNNNNNNNNNNNNNNNNNNNNNNNNNNNNNNNNNNNNNNNNNNNNNNNNNNNNNNNNNNNNNNNNNNNNNNNNNNNNNNNNNNNNNNNNNNNNNNNNNNNNNNNNNNNNNNNNNNNNNNNNNNNNNNNNNNNNNNNNNNNNNNNNNNNNNNNNNNNNNNNNNNNNNNNNNNNNNNNNNNNNNNNNNNNNNNNNNNNNNNNNNNNNNNNNNNNNNNNNNNNNNNNNNNNNNNNNNNNNNNNNNNNNNNNNNNNNNNNNNNNNNNNNNNNNNNNNNNNNNNNNNNNNNNNNNNNNNNNNNNNNNNNNNNNNNNNNNNNNNNNNNNNNNNNNNNNNNNNNNNNNNNNNNNNNNNNNNNNNNNNNNNNNNNNNNNNNNNNNNNNNNNNNNNNNNNNNNNNNNNNNNNNNNNNNNNNNNNNNNNNNNNNNNNNNNNNNNNNNNNNNNNNNNNNNNNNNNNNNNNNNNNNNNNNNNNNNNNNNNNNNNNNNNNNNNNNNNNNNNNNNNNNNNNNNNNNNNNNNNNNNNNNNNNNNNNNNNNNNNNNNNNNNNNNNNNNNNNNNNNNNNNNNNNNNNNNNNNNNNNNNNNNNNNNNNNNNNNNNNNNNNNNNNNNNNNNNNNNNNNNNNNNNNNNNNNNNNNNNNNNNNNNNNNNNNNNNNNNNNNNNNNNNNNNNNNNNNNNNNNNNNNNNNNNNNNNNNNNNNNNNNNNNNNNNNNNNNNNNNNNNNNNNNNNNNNNNNNNNNNNNNNNNNNNNNNNNNNNNNNNNNNNNNNNNNNNNNNNNNNNNNNNNNNNNNNNNNNNNNNNNNNNNNNNNNNNNNNNNNNNNNNNNNNNNNNNNNNNNNNNNNNNNNNNNNNNNNNNNNNNNNNNNNNNNNNNNNNNNNNNNNNNNNNNNNNNNNNNNNNNNNNNNNNNNNNNNNNNNNNNNNNNNNNNNNNNNNNNNNNNNNNNNNNNNNNNNNNNNNNNNNNNNNNNNNNNNNNNNNNNNNNNNNNNNNNNNNNNNNNNNNNNNNNNNNNNNNNNNNNNNNNNNNNNNNNNNNNNNNNNNNNNNNNNNNNNNNNNNNNNNNNNNNNNNNNNNNNNNNNNNNNNNNNNNNNNNNNNNNNNNNNNNNNNNNNNNNNNNNNNNNNNNNNNNNNNNNNNNNNNNNNNNNNNNNNNNNNNNNNNNNNNNNNNNNNNNNNNNNNNNNNNNNNNNNNNNNNNNNNNNNNNNNNNNNNNNNNNNNNNNNNNNNNNNNNNNNNNNNNNNNNNNNNNNNNNNNNNNNNNNNNNNNNNNNNNNNNNNNNNNNNNNNNNNNNNNNNNNNNNNNNNNNNNNNNNNNNNNNNNNNNNNNNNNNNNNNNNNNNNNNNNNNNNNNNNNNNNNNNNNNNNNNNNNNNNNNNNNNNNNNNNNNNNNNNNNNNNNNNNNNNNNNNNNNNNNNNNNNNNNNNNNNNNNNNNNNNNNNNNNNNNNNNNNNNNNNNNNNNNNNNNNNNNNNNNNNNNNNNNNNNNNNNNNNNNNNNNNNNNNNNNNNNNNNNNNNNNNNNNNNNNNNNNNNNNNNNNNNNNNNNNNNNNNNNNNNNNNNNNNNNNNNNNNNNNNNNNNNNNNNNNNNNNNNNNNNNNNNNNNNNNNNNNNNNNNNNNNNNNNNNNNNNNNNNNNNNNNNNNNNNNNNNNNNNNNNNNNNNNNNNNNNNNNNNNNNNNNNNNNNNNNNNNNNNNNNNNNNNNNNNNNNNNNNNNNNNNNNNNNNNNNNNNNNNNNNUUUGAGCAUGGUCAGUAGAUAUCAAGGGAAUCCUGGUAGAGCGCAUUGGAUUGCGGUCAAGAACAUCCUUAAGUACCUUCGGAGGACCAAGGAAUGGUUUCUAGUCCUCGGAGGGAGUGAUGACUUAAAGGUGCGAGGGUAUAGUGACGCCAUUUUCCAGACUGACAGGGACAACUACCGUUCGCAGUCGGGAUAGGUCUUUACCCUUAAUGGAGGAGCGGUAACGUGGAAAAGUUCCAAACAGGAAACUGUAGCCGAUUCAACGUGUGAAUCAGAGUACAUUGCCGUGAGUGAAGCGUCAAAGGAGGAAAUAUGGUUGAAGAACUUCAUUGGCGAUCUUGGAGUUGUGCCUGCUAUAAAGGAGCCCAUGGAAAUUUUCUGUGAUAAUAAAGGAGCGGUUGCCUUGACCAAGGAAGCGAGAGAUCAUGGUAGAUCUCGGCAUAUCGACAGAAAAUAUCACUUUAUUAGACAUCGAGUAGAAGAAGGACACCUCGUGGUUAAGAGGAUAUCAUCAGAAGAUAACCCAGCAGAUCCGCUUACAAAGGGACUGAGCAGGGUUAAGCACUUGUAGCAUGCUAGGAGUAUUGGGCUGAAGGAUGAUAUUAGUUUAGAUUAGAUAGUUUUAGAAACAUGUAAUAGGUAAUUGUAAUUGACAUUUGAUGAUUAAAUAAAAGAGUAUUAUUUAUAAGUAAAGUUACUAUCUUAUGUUAAUCGUUUAGCUAUUGUUUCACUUUGCAUGUUUUGACUUCCAGAAUAAUUGAGUUUAUUAAGAAUAAUCGAAUUAUUCAAACUGUCCACAAUCGUUCAUAUGUUGGAAGUAGGUAUGAAUGAAGAUUGUCAUGAAUUGNNNNNNNNNNNNNNNNNNNNNNNNNNNNNNNNNNNNNNNNNNNNNNNNNNNNNNNNNNNNNNNNNNNNNNNNNNNNNNNNNNNNNNNNNNNNNNNNNNNNNNNNNNNNNNNNNNNNNNNNNNNNNNNNNNNNNNNNNNNNNNNNNNNNNNNNNNNNNNNNNNNNNNNNNNNNNNNNNNNNNNNNNNNNNNNNNNNNNNNNNNNNNNNNNNNNNNNNNNNNNNNNNNNNNNNNNNNNNNNNNNNNNNNNNNNNNNNNNNNNNNNNNNNNNNNNNNNNNNNNNNNNNNNNNNNNNNNNNNNNNNNNNNNNNNNNNNNNNNNNNNNNNNNNNNNNNNNNNNNNNNNNNNNNNNNNNNNNNNNNNNNNNNNNNNNNNNNNNNNNNNNNNNNNNNNNNNNNNNNNNNNNNNNNNNNNNNNNNNNNNNNNNNNNNNNNNNNNNNNNNNNNNNNNNNNNNNNNNNNNNNNNNNNNNNNNNNNNNNNNNNNNNNNNNNNNNNNNNNNNNNNNNNNNNNNNNNNNNNNNNNNNNNNNNNNNNNNNNNNNNNNNNNNNNNNNNNNNNNNNNNNNNNNNNNNNNNNNNNNNNNNNNNNNNNNNNNNNNNNNNNNNNNNNNNNNNNNNNNNNNNNNNNNNNNNNNNNNNNNNNNNNNNNNNNNNNNNNNNNNNNNNNNNNUUGUGCAUGGUCCUUUUGGGUUGCCUUCACCAUAGCAACUUGACAGGGUGAUUUAUAUAGAGAGAAGAGAUAUUAUUAUUAAUGUAUUAUAAGAAUAAUAUGUUAAAGGAAUAAUAAUAUUAUUUGAUUAAUAUAAGUCAUAAAUUAAUUAGGAAUUAAUUUGGUGACUUAAAGAGAUUAAUUGAAUAAAGGGGCAUAAAUUGUCAAAUGUGUGAUAGUUGUAUUUUGGGCUAAGGAUCUUUACGGAUAAAGGGGUGGACGAUUUUAGGGAUAUGGAUCUCCUAGAAAUCGUCCAAGGCUUAUCUAGAAUGAUUUUUGGAUUGCUUUGAGGCUAAGUUAUCCAAUUAGGGUUUAAAGUGAAACCCUAGGAGCUCACAGUAUAAAUAGGCCCUUAGGGUUCAAGAAAUCGGCCAUUCCAUGUUUGAGGAAACCCCUAGAGCCGAUUUAUCACCUCUCUCCUUCUCUUAAAUCAUCUUCUUGAUAGUUGGUCUUUGUAAGCCAUUAGAGGAGUGACAUUUGUGACUCUAAGCUCCAAGAAGAAUAAGGUUUUCAAGCAAGUAACUCAAGGUAUUAUUCUAGAUCUGUUUUCAUAUGUUAUGAUUGUUAGUUUACAUUAGAUCUAGCCAUGAAAGUCUUGGAUAUAUUGCAUGUUCAAUUAGAGAAACCUAGAUCCAAGCUAUAGGGUUGUAUGUGCACAUAGGAAAGUUCUUAUGUCUAAAACCCAUCACAUACUACCUUCCACAUGUAUAUGUACUUUCCUCAAGAACUGCCUCGACUCCACCAGGUCCCUUCUACUACUACUGUUGAUCUCAUGCUAAACUUAUCCUAGGCUUGCCCUAGGUUAAUCACCAUCCCACUCUCCCCUUCAGCUACAUAUGAAGUCCCUGUUAUCUCCCCGUAACUAGCUCGCAAAUACCAUUACAUAUCCCUAAGACUAGAUAAUUCUUCAAACGAGAGGUUCUACCUUACAACAGUUAGACUCAAAUAAGAGCUGCGAAAUAUGGCUAAACCUAACCUUCUGAAAUUAUUUAGUCCUCGCAAUAUGUAACUUAACAUAUUCGUUUACUAAUUAGUAAAAGAUAACUAGAACUCCUAAAAGCACAAAGCAAGCAAUAUUCAAGCAUUGAGUACACGUAAUCAAGCAUAUUCUAAUCAGGCCAUCAGACCAUUGACUAAUAAGUACUAGCAUAUGAUUCAUAUAGUCGAGCAAGAUACAUAUAACAGACACAUAAGGCAUCCUUCUUAGAUCCUUAGUCCUAAUCUUGCAUGCAAUUCUCAUAAAGCUGAUACACAAAUAAUAGGCACAUAAGGCAUCCUCCUUAGAUCCUUAGUCCUAAUCUAGCAUGCAGUUCUCAUAAAGCUAUUACACACAUAUAAUAGGCACAUAAGGCAUCCUUCAUAGAUCCUUAGUCCUAAUCUAGCAUGCAAUUCUCAUAAGCAUAUCAUAACAUAAACUUGUAUGGGUUAUUUGGGAGUACUUACUUGAGCUCGGCUGAUUCCAUACAGCACACCCUUUUAUCUCUCUCAAAGUUUUUCUCUUUUCAAAAUUCUUUUAUUUUUCUCAAAGUUUUUUUCAUAAAAAUGACUUUCUUUUGAAAAUUUUCAUACCAAUUCCUUAGUUUGAGUUCAUACACACCCGAGAGUGUGCCCGAAUCCCUCAAACCAAGGCUCUGAUACCAACUUGAAACAUCCCAAAAAUACAGUCUAAAAAAUUCAUUUUAAAUCAUUAAUAAAAACAUAAUUAUCAUUUGAAAUAUAAAAAUUAUAAUUCGUGUAUCCCAAAAAUAUCAUAACAUCUGUCAAAUUUAUUAGAGUAUAAACAUCCCAGGCUGAACAAAUGGUGUGUGCACUGUCAUCAUCCCGAGCUCUCCUUUUGAAAACCGAAGUACCUAAAAACCGUAAGCAUGAAGCUUAGUGAAUCUCCCCAAAUUACCACAUACCAUACAUAUAACAUGCAACUAGGAGAUACAGGCCCUGCCCACUCUCAUUUGAGAUUCGGGCCCCGCCUACACUCCGUUGUCUAGAAGAUUCGGGCCCCGCCCAAACUUCGUUGUCUAAGAGAUUCGGGCCCCGCUCACACUCCACUGUCUAGGAGAUUCGGGCCCAACAAAACCUGAAAAAUGUAAGCACGAAGCUUAGUGAGUCUCCCCAAACUACCACAUACCAUACACAUAACAUGCAGCUAGGAGAUACGGGCCCCGACCACUCUCAUGGAGAUUCAGGCCUCGCCCACACUCUGUUGUCUAGGAGAUUCAGGCCCUGCCCAGAAUCUGCUGUCUAGGUGAUUUGGGCCAUGCCCACACUCCGAUUUCUUGAAGAUUCGGGCCCUGCCCACACCCCACUGUCUAGGAGAUUCGGGCCCCGCCGACACUCCACUGUCUAGGAGAUUCGGGCCCUGCCCACACUCCACAAGUAACAUGCAUACAAGUAUCACAUAGACGACAAGUAUAUCUACUCCUACUAAGCAGUCAUAUAUCUAUACUUAAAUAAUACUACGAGAUUCGGGCCCCGCGCACACUCGACUACUAUAAGAUCCGGGCCCUGCCCACACUCGAAUGAUAAUGAGAUACGGGCCCCUCCAACACUCACAUACGUAAACAAACACAUACAAGUAACACACAAACAACAAGUAUAGCAAUCCAAUAAUCUGACUGAUAUCUAUACUCUGUUAAUAAUGAGAUACGGGCCCCACCCACACUCAGCUACUAACAUAUCACAUAUACGGGCCGACCUUGGUGCCUUAGACCCGUUCAUACUGAAGGAAACUCAUCUCGCACUGCUAAAGUCCCGUGAAUAAAUCUCGGGCUGCAAGUUGACAUAUUCCCUAGCUAUCAACAUCAAAACAAAACCCAAUUAACCAUUUGGGCUUCCUAUGCAUAACUCUAAAAUCCCCACUUGGGGUAAAAGGACCAUUUUACCCCUAACCUAACUUGGCCCAAUAUUAAGACCCAAACUCAUAUUCUGAAGGCCCAAAAUUCAAAUAAUCAACCAAGGCCCAACUAUGACCCAUCUAUGGCCCAAUUUUCCAAAUUGGGCACAAGACUUUCCAAUGGGCCUUAUCAUAAGGCCUAAUUCAAUACUCCAGUCCUUAUACUUAUUCAUGGAUGGCGCAUCAAUAGUCCAAACAUCUAGGCCCAACAGAAAAGGCCCAACUCAAAACCCAACACAAUUAGGGUUUUCACAUGAAAUGACGGUUAGGGUUAAGUGUUUCUUACUUAACCCGUUAAGGACUUAAUCCAUUAAGUCCCUUAAUAUUCUAGGUAAAUCAUAUAGUGUAAUUGGCCAUAAGCCAAACAUCUAUCCAAUGGUCCAAACGUGGGCCCCGACAAUCCAAAUCAAACAUUUUCUAAAAUUAGGGUUUUCUAAACCCUAUUAGGGUUUCUAACCCAAGCACAUGCCAAUGAAGUCCAAGAUCAAGCUAUUGGGCCGAUUAGGGUUUCACCAUGUCGAGCACCACCCACUACUACCUCGGGCGGUGGUGGUCUACGGCGGCACACAACGUCAGCCACUACCUCACUGUGGUGGUGGUGGCUUUUCCUUCAACCCUUCCGCCAAAAAACAUUUAUACAAGUCCUAUUUUAAUAAACAUACUCAUACUAUCACAUCAUACACACACAACCACCACCAUACGAAGGUUGGUGGUGGCGAAGCGGUGGCAGGAGGCGGCAGCCACCACUACAUGGUGGUGGUAGUGGGUUUUCUGCCAAAAAUACACACAUCCCACACCAUAAAUAUCGAAAACAACCACUAUACUAUAACAUACACCCAUUCAGCCACCUCUUAGGCGACAGGCGUCACUAGAAAAACGCAACAGCGGCCCUUAAUGGCCACCGACGGCGGCAGUGACGAUUCCGGCAUCACACCCACAAAGAACGAGAGAGAAAGAGGAAGGAUAGGUUGAGGGUGACUUACUGUGCAUUCCCAGUGGCUCGCGACUUGCACAACAACGGCACAACGGGUUUUCUCCCGGUCCUAGGCGGUUCUUCGGCUGCCAUGACGUUUCCGGCAAAAGACAUCGUGAUGGCGUUCUUCAUCGACAUUGCAGCGGCAGCGGUCGAACUUUGCUUGCAAGCGGCGCUGAGAAAAUUUCCAAAAACGGUGGUGGUGGAUGAACUCAUCUAGGUUUAAGGUUAGAUGGUGCAACGAGAGGGAACGAAUGGUUCCUGUUUAAUCUUGUGUUCAUACAAACUCAAUGCAUGUUUUACACUUCCAGUCCCUCCUUCUCAUAAACUCUUCAAAACAGAUCCAUAAGUUACCAUUUAGCCCCCAUCACUCCCAAGUCCUUUCAAUUUAGGUCCUAAUAAUUACCAAGCAGCGCCCACUUCUAAAAUCCGUUUUCAAAUUAAAUCAGAAAUUACAUUUUAACCCCAAAACCAACACCCACUAAAUAUUAUAGAUUUUAGGGCUACUAUUCAUUUAUUAAUUUUACUUAUUUAUUUAUUUAAUAAACGGGGUGUUACACUAAGUUUAUGAUACUUUAAUAGAUUUUUGAAAGUUCGAUCUAAAGCUUCAAAUGCAUGUUUGUGAAUCAUGGUUGCUUUAUCCCAAAUGAUCAAUGAGAUUUUUUAUAAUAAACUGGCGAGUUCACUAUCUGGUGAUAUGGAGCAAACAAAAUCCACAUUAAGAACCAAAACAAUUAUAAACCGGAAGUGUGUCGUCUUGCUGCCGGUUAAUAAUAAAGAAGCAAUCCUACUUGAAGCAAUAUUUAAAACAAUUUGAGCAUUACAUCUAACUACGGCAGAUAAUGUCUUCUAAAGAUAGGUUUUACCUGUUCCACCGUAACCAUAGACAAAGAAAACACCUCAUUUAUUAUUCUGAAUUGCAGUCAUGAUGUCAUCAAAAGUGCUUCGUUGCUCAUGUGUUAAGGCAAUGGAAAGCUUAUCAAACUCGUUCUUUGAAACUAAUAUGUCAUAAUCUAGCUCCUUAAUGAUAAGACGAUGGUUUGAAGAAGAUAGAGAAUCACCAUCAAGGAAAUGUAUCCUUAUAUAUUUUUUGAGACUUGAAUUGUUACCGAGUAAAAUUUGUUCAAUCUGAAACAAAAUUAUGUUCUUAAUUUAAUUUUCAUUAAGUGAUAAACCUGCAAAGAAAAUGAUAUAAUAAUUAGAAUCAAUUAAAAAAUAAGUUUGUUUAGAAAAUAAUACUAUUUUUUUAUUAGCAAGGAUAAAUAUAAUUUUAAUUCUGAAAAUAGAUUUAAUAGAAAUAUAUAAUGUGGCAGUCCUAGGAUUAAUAGGUGUUCAUAGCAUACCUUUUUUUUUUUUUUUUGGCUAAAUUUGCUCACUAUUUAAGCCUCUUAAUUUUUUUAGAACGGCAUUUACGACUCUUAAUGACUUUAAUGGCAUAGUUAAUAUCAGUUAAUACGAAACAUAGAUUCGCAUGGCAUUCUUGAAAACAACCCCAUUACAUAAUCUCUCUCUCUCUCUCUCUCUCUCUCUCUCCCUCUCUCUCUCUCUCUCUCUCUCUCUCUCUCUCUCUCUCUCUCUCUCUCUCUCUCUCUCUCUCUCUCUCUCUCUCUCUCUCUCUCUCUCUCUCUCUCUCUCUCUCUCUCUCUCUCUCUCUCUCUCUCUCUCUCUCUCUCUCUCUCUCUCUCUCUCUCUCUCUCUCUCUCUCUCUCUCUCUCUCUCUCUCUCUCUCUCUCUCUCUCUCUCUCUCUCUCUCUCUCUCUCUCUCUCUCUCUCUCUCUCUCUCUCUCUCUCUCUCUCUCUCUCUCUCUCUCUCUCUCUCUCUCUCUCUCUCUCUCUCUCUCUCUCUCUCUCUCUCUCUCUCUCUCUCUCUCUCUCUCUCUCUCUCUCUCUCUCUCUCUCUCUCUCUCUCUCUCUCUCUCUCUCUCUCUCUCUCUCUCUCUCUCUCUCUCUCUCUCUCUCUCUCUCUCUCUCUCUCUCUCUCUCUCUCUCUCUCUCUCUCUCUCUCUCUCUCUCUCUCUCUCUCUCUCUCUCUCUCUCUCUCUCUCUCUCUCUCUCUCUCUCUCUCUCUCUCUCUCUCUCUCUCUCUCUCUCUCUCUCUCUCUCUCUCUCUCUCUCUCUCUCUCUCUCUCUCUCUCUCUCUCUCUCUCUCUCUCUCUCUCUCUCUCUCUCUCUCUCUCUCUCUCUCUCUCUCUCUCUCUCUGUAUAAAAAGGUACAUUGAGCCGUGCCAUUGUAUCCUGUAUCGAUAUACAUAUCGAUCCCUUUGUGGAAGUACUCAGUUUAUCAAGGAUCAUGGGUAAAACACCAAGCUUAAACCUUCUUAAGGGUACAAAAACCAUCGAAGAUACAGUAAAAUAUGUGUGUUUGAAAGAGGGAGAAGGCGAUCAUGAGCAUGAGCCAUUGAGUGCUGGGGCUAGGUUUUUUCAUGAGCCAGGUUUUAAUGUCUACAUCCUCACUAAAAUUGGUUCAAAAUCGUCAUUCGAUAUCGACCGAACUAAAGCCUAUCUGAUUCAGAUGAUUGAUAAAUAUCCUUGCUUCUCUCAAGUGGUGGUAUACUACUAAACUACAGAAUGAUGUUUUUACACCUUCAUAUGCAUUAUAAGCUAGAGUUUAAGAAUUUAACUAUCAUUCAUGAAAGUUCUUUUUUCAGUCUUUCAAUUGUCUGAAAUACUAUUCAUUGGUUGUUAUACAGGUUAAAGAUAAAGAAAGUGGGAGCAUGAAGUGGGUUCACACACAUGUUAACAUAGAUGACCAUCUUAUUGUACCGGAUAUCGAACAAAACAUGGAUUCCUCAGACCAAUUCAUCGAAGAUUACAUCUCAAAUCUUACUGUAUCUUGUAUUGACAACUUGAAACCAUUAUGGGAUGUACACAUCCUCAACACAAGGACCUCGGAUGCACAAGGCACAUGCAUCUUUCGUGCUCAUCAUUCACUUGGAGAUGGUCUCUCAUUUAUGAGUAUGUUGCUUUCUCUUAGUCGAAAGGCCUCCGAUCCUGAGGAAUUGCCUACACUUCCCAUGAAUAUGAAGGCUCAUCAUCAUACCACCACAGCUACUAAUGUUAUUUCCUUUUGUAUGGUUCUUUGGAACACUUUUGUCGCACUUAUGUUGUUUGUGUUAACUACCAUGUUUCUAAAAGACACAGAAACACCUAUGAAAGCCUCACCUGGUGUUGAAGAUAGACAUCGGCGCAUUGUUACUCGAAGUGUUAGCCUUGCUGACAUAAAGUUGGUGAAAAACGCUAUGAAUGCUGUAAGUACGUAUAUAUUUAUUCUUAAAUUAACUUUGCAUGUUGAUGCCCUUUUGGCAAUGAUAUUAUCACAAAUCUUAAUUAUCGAUAAGUUUGUUCGGUUAGCUCUUUUCUGUAUAUCAUGAAAGCAUUAUAUUCUUUUUUGUUAAGCACGAUUAUUUGGGAGAUCUAAGAACACCAAUAUUAAGUGCGUCUAAUGAACAAACGAUCUUUAAUAUUAACAUACGAAAACUUAUAAUGUGUACGUAUUACAAUAUUACAUGUUCACCGAUACUUGUUUUAUAGACUGUGAACGAUGUAAUAGUUGGAGUUAUACAAGCUGGUUUCAACCGUUACCUAAAGCGGAGAUAUGGUGAGCUUCUUUUUAUAUAAAGUACAAAACUUACGAGUAAGAAACUAUGUAGCUGCACAGAGAAUAUGAACAAUAACAAAAUAUGAAACCCUGUUACAGAAGAGAUAAAUAGUCCUGUUCCAGAAAACAUUCUCCUUCGUGCAAUGAUUUCUUAUAACUUGCGAGCUUCUGUGAAUGUUGAUGUGAGUAUUUUCCCUCCUUACUUUUCCUGUAUGUGAAAGAAUGUCUUAUUAGUUGUUGCGUAAUUGCUGAACAGUUUUAUGUCUGUACGAUAUAUACUAGGCUUCUGCGAAAAAUACAAAUGAAAACGAAACAUGGGGAUACAAGGUAGGUUAUAUACUACUUCCAUUCAACGUCAAUCAUAGAAGUGACCCGUUAGACUAUGUACGGGAAGCAAAGUCUACCAUGGAACGCAGAAAAGCUUCUUUAGAACCAUUUGCCACUAGAUUCUUUGCGAAGUCAUUGGUCAAUAAGUUGUUUGGUAUGAAGGUACUUGAUCUAUACAUGUACAAUUGCUUUGCCUAGAGAAAGUAAUUUAUUGAGAUUAAAUAUCCUCUAAUAUAUAUUUCCCUCAUUGUAUAUUCAACAUUACACCUCAUUUGAGCCAUUCUUUUUCAUUAUCUUCCCUUAGUUUCCUCUCUUCUUUUUUCAUUGUCUUUUCUUUUGACCGACGUUUUGAUAUAUAUGAGGGGCUGCAACAAAUAAGCCCUCUAACAACGACAACAAAAAAGAAAAGAAUUUGGAUAUGUAAACAAUGAACAAAAAGAAGAUUCAACCACUUUUCUUCGCUUUCGUUUGUUCCUUUUUCCCAGUUAGUUAAUCAACCUCUUGCGAACGCCCUUGCUCUUGUUGACUGUAAAUCUAUUUUUUUACUUCCCAUGUCUGUGUUGCACGUUGGUUCGCCAUGCAUGGCACUCGUAAAAUUAUAGUUAUAGGGCCAAUGUGUGCAUGUAAUGGUAGUCUAUCACUGAUGCGAAACAGCCAACGACAACCCUUGCUAUAAUUAUCGUGACUCUAACAUUAUACCCUAGCAUACAUAAUCUAAAAAGCUUAUUAAUCGGUAUUAUUUACAAUUUAUUUGUUUUAUUUUAUUGAAUAUAUGGUUAGCAUUCAUUUAUCUAAUUAUUAAGUUAUUUUUAUUAUUUGUUUUCACCAUAAUAACAUAGCUAAUUUAUCAUUUGAGUUAUUUAUUAGUUCUUUUUUUUUUAUACUUAUUAUAAUUUUAUUAUAAUUAUUAAGUUGUUGUUUUUUAUUAUUUUAAUUAUUUGGGUUUUAUUUAUAUAACUAACCUUAACAACCAACAUUAUUUUAUUCCUUAACUAUGAAUCAUUCAGCACUAAACCAUUUAAAAGUUACAAAACAACCACUAAAAAUUAUUACAUAUAUAGAUUGCAGGAAAGUUGAAUCGAAAUGUUUACUACAACACAACAUUUUGCUUCUCCAAUAUGCCUGGACCAAAAGAAGAAAUAUGUGUCCUUGGCCAUGAAGUUACCUAUCUUGCUCCUAGCCUUUACGGGAUACCCAGUGUGAGGACGAUUAAUUAAUUCUUUAAUAGUCACUAAAAUCAAUCUAAUUUGUGAAAGCUUGAAAUUCAUGAUUUUUUUUUUGUUUCAUACAGGGAUUGAUGAUUCAUGUGAUCAGUUAUGUUGACAACGUGACAUUUGUGCUAUCAGCAGAUGAAAAAACUAUACCUGACCCCCGAAGGUUAUGUGACGACCUUCAACAAUCACUGCACCACAUCAAGUGUUCAGUUUUAGCUAAACCAUGUGUAGAGAACUAGGUUUCGAGACAUAUAUGAUUACAACAUUGUGUAUGUAUAAGUGUGUGUUAGAAUGUGUAUGCAUAUUUGUUUGCUUAUUCACAUAUAAGGAUCUCUAGAACAUAUCAAUAGUUUAUUGAGUAACUUACAGCCUUUACCCUUGUGGUUUAUAUGAAAUAAUAGUCUUGCUCCUACUUAUGGAAAAGUAAUGCACACCACUCAUCCUUAUGGAGGGUUUUGGUAACAUUGAUAGUACUCCCUUUAACAACCCUAAAAGAUGGGUUUUCAAACGUUUCAAAAAGACAAAAAUGAUCUUCUACCAGUGCUUCCACCACCACCACUCAUCCACCGUAACUACCACCCACCUACUGUUGGAACUUUGUCCUGUAUAAUACAAUGUGGGACUUGUCCCACAUAGGAAGAAGAGAAAACAUUCUCCCUCUUUAUAAGACUUUUCUCACCCAUUUAAUCAAAUGGAUCAAGUAAUGGGUUAAACAUCUUGGGUUUAGGUUGUGGUGUUGGCCUAAUCAAAUUGAGCUAGUAGAAGGCUUGAAUCUAUUAUAUAUUAAUGGUCAAAGAUAUGGCAAUGGAUGUUGGAGGUUUUCUUGGAUAAUUAAUAUAUUUUUAUUAUUAUAAAUCCGAAAUUAAUUUUAAUUAAUUAAUUUUUAUUUAGUAAAAUUAUGUUAUUUAGAGAGUUAACUGUUUGACAAUUUUUAGCAGUUAGUUUUGGUUGGUAGUUUACAACCACCAUUAGAUGGUUAUAAAUACAUAGAAUCGGACAUAAUUUGAAGACUAAUGAAAACAUGCACUUUCUCUCAAAAAUUCCUUCUUCAUAUCACAAGGGAUCAUGGUGAUGUUCGACAUAUUCAUGAUCUUGUUCUUUAAUUGAUUGUUGUAUCCUCAAGACAGAACCAUUUCAGGGCAAUUUCUGUCUUAGGACACUGCAAUUCGCAGGCCUCUCUCUCUCUCUCUCUCUAUAUAUAUAUAUAUAUAUAUAUAUUCAUAUUUGUGAUUAUGUUGUAAACAUCAACAUUCAAGUAUGUUUUCUAAUUAUGAAUUACAUAUAAAUUUGAUUUAUUUGUGUUUAUGUUUGUUGUAUUUCGUGUUUUGAUUACUUUUGUCAUAACACCUACCACCAUCAGCCUCAUCGCCGCCAAUCACCGUCAACACCACCACUAUCACCAGCAUCACCAGUCACCACAACCAUCAUCACCAAUCACCACCACCCUUAGAACUACCAUGCCACUGCCAGUGGAAAAAAAUCGAAAGAAAAAUAAGUAACUUUUGCCUAUUUCCAUCCACCAUUACAUUCCCUCAUUUUGGAAUUCGUCAACAAUCUACCCUUUAUUCUAGAAAUUUUGUGACUCGAAUUCAUUUUAAAUGAAACCCACUUGGAUAUUGUGAAAAAUAGUUUCAAGCAUUAAAGAGGAACAAUAGGAAAAGUCAUCAAGUACCAAAAGCAACUCGUAUUUUACUAAUGGAAAGUAACAUAGUGCCUUCAGAAAUUGAACAUGGAGUAUAUAAUGAUAAUAAAAUCAAGAGAUCAUAACUCAUAACAGAAAGUAGCAUAGUGUUUUCAUAAAUCAAAUUAGGGAAAAUAUUAAGCCUAUUCAUGAAGAUCACGGGAGUUCUUAAAUAUAUAAAAGUAGAAAAAAAAUCAAUAUAAACUAAAAAUGGAACUCCUAAGCAGCUUUCGUUGUACACGGAGUAUGAAGAAUUGAUGAUUAGUCAUCAUGAUCGCCACAAAUUUUAUUAGAUCUGAUGAUCUACGGAUAAGUUUACUUUAUCUUACCUUUCUGUCGAUUACAAUGUGAUAAAUUCUAGUUUUCUAUAUUGCUAGCUUCAUUGCCUUUUGUCUCCGCUAUGAAACCCUGUUGUGGAAAAGCAAAAUUUAAGACAUAAAAAAUGCAUGAAAUGCGUCGAAAAGAGAGAGAAAGGGAUACAAGGAGAAGGAUAGAUUGUUUAGAGACAGAAGGUGUUAAUGAUAGGUGACUUCGAAGAGGAAAAGAAAGAGCCCAUAGGUGGUUCUGAUGGUCCCGAUAGACUGCUUCUAUGGAAAUAAAUAAAACCUCCCUUGACUGUACAGGGAUGAGAUGAGGAAAAAAUUUUCAAAAUAUUUUAGAAAUCAUGCUUCAGCUUAUCAAUAAUAUCAAUAAAGGGAGUAAAUUAGAAAGGGGUAUAUUGGUAUUUUCAUGAGGUUAAGUCCUACGGACUAUGAGUAUUACCAAAACCAUCCAUAGGGAACAGUGGUGUUACUUUUCCAAAAAAUAGGACCAAGAUUGUUAUUUCGUAUAAACCAUAGGGACCAAGACUAUAACUGUAACGACCUAAAAAUCACGACUAAAAAUUUCCUUUAAAACAUUACUAAAACCAUAUUUAUAUAACCAUAUCAUAAGUCAUAACAUAAAUUCGGAGUAUCAAUUCAAAACAUGUUCUUAUUAUCAGAGUAAAACAUCACAGGCCGACUAACUAUGGUGUGUGCCAUGCGAUCACCCCGAGCUCUUCCUUCCACUACCAGAAGUACCUAAAACCAAAAUUGAAAACCGUAAGCACGAAGCUUAGUGAGUUUCCCAACCUACCACGUACCAUACACAUAACUGCAUACUUCAAAUACUGGGCCUCGCUUGGCUUCGAGCCCCGCUCGGUGUACAUAUCUAUUUCUCGUAGGCCCUGCCUGUCUUUGGGCCCCGCUCGCUAAACAUAUACAAACAUAUAACAUAUUGCAUAACACAUAACUAUGACUACUCUACUGCAUUCCUGUACUAAGGCCUCACCUAUCUUGGGCCCCGCCCCUGUCCUGCUACUGAUGAGUCAUAGAACCCCGUCCACACUCCUACUGAUAGUGAGAUACAGGCCUAACCCACACUGACUCCAUUCCUAACUUGGGCCUCGCCCCUGCUCGGCUACUGAUGAGAUAUGAAACCCCAUCCAUACUCUGCUAAUAGUGAGAUAUGGGACCUCGCCCACACUCACCUCCCUACCAGGCACAUACAGGUAUCACACAGACAACAAGUAUACUCUAUCAUGCAAACCAUUCCUUGGGCACUCGCCCGACAUUAGACAUUGGUCCUGAAUAUCAUAGUAGCAAACAGUGCCUAGGUCUAACCCCCGGGUCUUCCUACUAAUAACUACAUGGGCCGGCAUUGUGGCCGUAGACCUAUUCACACAAAGGGAAACUCACCUGCACUACUGAACUUUGUUGAUAACCCUCUGGCUGCUAUCCGACAACUCUCUGAACCGUUGCUCCACUAGCUCCUCGAACUACCACUACCAAUGAUAGCAAUUAGCCUAACUGUCCUCUUGAAGUCAACUAGGUCAACUCUGGUCAAGGUCCUUCUCAAGGUCAAAGUCAACGGUUAGAGUCAACUCCCAAUUGACUCGACUCGCCGAGUUGUUCUGCCAACUCGUCGAGUCCAUGCUCCUCAAAUCCCAAAACAACCUAGACUCUACUCGUCGAGUCUAGCAACAACUCGACGGGUUCUCCUUCAGCUAUACAUUCGGGACCAUCUUCAACCGACUCGUCGAGUAGUUCUACAACUCGUUGAGUCCAUCUUCAUAAGAUAAGGAGAUUGCCUUGGACUCGUCGAGUUCCUCCUUGAACUCGUCGAGUACUAUGAUCUUCAUGUCCAUUACGGACCCAGUCUGGUUGAAUCCUUUACUAACUCCACCCACUGAUCCGAAUCAUAAACAGGAGGGUUUGGGUUAGCGACCUGGCUCGCCGAGUCCACCUUGUGACACCUCUAUUCUGUCGAUCACAGUCCAUUCCAACACCUUCAACUCAUAGAUACGGACUUCUAAUUCUAGCUUUGCAUGUAAAGUUGCUAACUUUACGUGCAUGCCAGGUGUUAUGAGGCUAGAACCCUUAAUCCAAGCUUCAAAGAAGGCCUAGGUCAUGAAAUGAAGCCAUAGAUGGAAAAAGCUACCCCAUCAGAGCUUCUAAAGCUCAGAAAUGCAUAGAUCUUAAGUCCUUUUUUCCUCAAUGGCUCAAAGUUCGGAUUGACCUUGGAAAUGGUCCAAAUGUGACCAAAUCUAUAUUAGAAAGGGGAUCUAGAUGAUUUCCAGCCAAGGUAUAAGCUUUUUACCUCUAAAUGGAAUGAAAUGUCACCCCAACUCUGGAUCUCUAACUUCUUCUUGCACCACCAAGGUCCUUCUUCCUUCUCCAAGCUUCAAUUCACUCUCAAGCCAAGAACUAGCUCAACAAUGGAGUUGGGUGGCUAGGGUUUCGAGUUCUAGACAAUAGGGGCCGCAAAUGAGCCGUAGGGAAGAGAAUGAGAUGUUUAAAUAGGGCACCAAGUCCCGAAAUUAGGGUUUCCUAACCCAGACCUGACUCGAUGAGUCCACUCUCCGACUCGUCGAGUUGGUCACUUAACCUUGCACACAGAUCCCGCUCCGACUCGUCGAGUUCUUCCUUGGACUCGAUGAGUUGACCCUUUUUGACUUAGGGUUUCCUUUCAUUUUUUAGUCCUUGUGAUUCUGGGUGUUACAAUAACUUACUCUAGUUUAUUUAUUAUAUGAAGUCGAGGAGAUGUUCAAGCAUCUACUAGGAGAAGUAUAUAAAUAAUCAAACUUUUAUAACCUUGUUUCUUAUUUAUAUUCAUUAAAUAAAAACUAAAAUGCAAAUAUGUUGUUGUGUUUUGCUNNNNNNNNNNNNNNNNNNNNNNNNNNNNNNNNNNNNNNNNNNNNNNNNNNNNNNNNNNNNNNNNNNNNNNNNNNNNNNNNNNNNNNNNNNNNNNNNNNNNNNNNNNNAUAUAUAUAUAUUAAGGGUGAUGGGUGACCAUCCCUCCUAAUCUCACAACCUUGAUGUAACACAUGCUCUACAUUAACCUUUUCUCUCUCCUCUUACUUACAACCCUAAACACAAGGAAUUCAACAUUCUCAUCCUAGACCGUUUGGUACAAAUAUGGAUACAUAUGGUACAAGUUGAGUGUAGAGAAAAGAUAGAAGGAGCAUCAUCCUGCUUAACCCGUGAUGGAUGCCAUUUUAUGCAUCCUUUAGGAUAGUUUUUAUUAGCAUUUAGCAUCAUAUUUUACAUAUUUGCAUGUGAUUAGCUUAAACAAUGUUUAGCUCGUAUCUUUUUUCGAAAUUCUCAUACCACUAGCGUUUUUGUGUCACUUUCAGAUAAUCCGAGAGGAGCGGUACUUUGGGAGUAGUUGGAUGCAUCUUUCGAGCCUAAAUGAAGUUGGAACUAAAGAAAGAUGUUAAGGGAUAACUUGGAAUGCUGAAACUGAAGAAUCACAACCAAAUUGUGCCGAAAAGCCAAAAAUGCAAUUGUAUUUUUGGGCAUCUGCGACUGCAUUUGUUGAUCGAGGAUUGUUAAGGUCGAAAAAGUCAUUAGGAGGGAAAGUCACAAAAAAUGUGAUCGUAUUUUACCUUUCUGCGGUCACAUUUCCAUGUCAUAACUAAAAAAUGUCAGAAAUAGUGUUGUACUUUAUUAAACGACGAUUCGGGAGAAAAUCAACAAAAAUGCGAUCGCAUUUUUGAUAUAUUCGAUUGUUGAUUUAGCUACCUUGCUCCAGAAGGUUCCUUCUUGCAUAUAAAUACGACCCUCCUGGUCAGGUUAGAAGGUGAGAUGAUUCCAAACGAUGAAAAACCCUUCUAAAGUCACUUUCUAAUACUUUUUAGCACUUUCUAAAGAUCUAAAGGUUGUGAAUCAUCUCCUACAUUUAGUUUAACAAGAUUAAUCAGUUAGUUUAACUUUUUAUUAGUUUUAAUUCAUUUUUGGCCAUGCCUGGCUAAAAACCCUAGUUUUCAGUACUAUGUUAGACUAGUAUUUUCAUGUGAUCAGUUAUCAGAUUUGGUUUUCAUUGUGUUCUUUUAUCAAGUUGUUUCAGUUUGACUUUAAUGAAUGUUUGGUUUUUAAUUCUUGUUAGUCUUAUGACAUAGUUAGGUUUUAAUCAUUCUAGUUAAUCAGCUAAUAAAAUUCAUAAAUGUUCUUGUCAACUGGUAAUAAGUAACAAAUAUCAUAAUGGCUCCGGGUUGGGAUUUAACUCAAAUAUAAACUGAAAUAUCAUACAUUUACGCUUCCAAGUUUAUGAAAAGUAUUGGGUACCGUUGGGAAUUUUACACAGAUUUUAAUGCAACUUUCCUGAUCUUAAUUAAGAGCUUUUUUAAUUCACUACUAGAAAAAUAGCCUUUUACGACGCGCAAAUUACGACACUCAUUAAUAUAUGUUACGCAAACGAGAGUGACAUUAAAAAAGUGUCAUCUCUUCAGAAAAUUUAAGGAUUUAGGUCACGCAUUAUUGCGUGCCUUUAAAUUAGUGUCAAAAGAAAAAAAAUUAAAAACACGGAGGGCGCUGUACCUUAAAUGCGCGCCCUCUAUAUGUGUCGCUUUAUAAUUUUAAUGAACGCGCAUUCCUUAGUUACAAGCGGGAAAAGAAAUAGCCAAAAAAUUAGAAAAGCCCGCUACCCUCCCUGCCCUAAGCAUUUUCACGCAUCUUUCAUUCUCCUCACACUGUUGUGCACUCUCUUGUAUCUCCCUUCCUUCUCUCUGUAAACCCUAAAUUGCCACCACCAUUGAACCCUAGAAACUCAAUCCAUACUUCACGCUUUCUGUGAUUCUCUCCUCUUCGACUCUCUAAUCUACGAUUUCAGUCUGAAAACAUCUAUAGACCUCCCUGCUUCGAUUAGAAAGCCAAAAAAUUAGAAAAUGUCACAUCAUCGAGCAUGUUGGCGCCGGUACUCUGGUGUGUACCUUGUCACCGUUUUAUAAUUUUUCCAACCCUUUAAUUUUAGCAAACCCACCGGAACCCUAAGUCUUGCCUUUUAUGCAUUCACAUCUUUCAUUCCCUAACCGCCGAUAUUUAACUCACUAUUAGGGCAUUUGGGUAAGAACUUAACGAUUUCACUAUGCCCAUGGCAAGUCUCGCAAAUUCUGCCAUGGAAGCAGCCUCUCGCUCGUUAGCUUCUAAUGAUUGCAGUACCAGAUUCACUUUUUGGAAAAUGGCUACAAAUCGUUUUAGUCAGAGAUGUCGAUGGAAAAAGCCUUUUGGGACGCCUUGAACAACGCAAUUUCAUCCAGAAUUAAAUCAUGAAACGCAUUUGAUGAAACCUUUCUCUCCGAUUUCCUUGGUAUCUUUCAAGAAUGGUGAUUUCACCCAUAAUCUAAUCACUAACGUCUCACAUUCUCUCCUCCCCUCUCAAUUCUAAUGGCGAUUUUGGUUUAUAAUUGUUUGUUUUUAGGCGAUUUCACCCACACCAUCAAUUUAAUGUUAUUUUUUUCGGUGAACAAGCUAUGUCCCGAACAAUGUAAGUGUUUUCCUAGUAAUUUCUUAUUUUUAAUAUUUUCAAUUGUUUGAUGGCUAAUAAUCAUACUGCUUCUACUUAAAAUUCUUGAUUUUAGGUUUCUCGUUCCCAAUAUUAUUUCGGUCCAUAUGACAAAUGGUCGGUUAAAUGGUAAUUUUUUUUGCUUUACAUUGUAUACGUAUCAUCAAGUCACUUGUUUAAUUGAUUUGUGGUAUGAUUUCAUUACCUCAGAGAGUUUAAUGAGACGAGUUAAAUAAGUUGUAUCAUGUUUGAGUAUAAAAUCCCAUAUCGACUCUCUCUAUUCAUGGAUAGCUUGAAGUUUAUACAUCUUUUGUAUAUUCUCUAAAAUCUUGCAGCUAAUUUACUUUUCUUAUUUUAAACCAAGGAUUUAAAUGGAUAGAUGGUUUCAUUUUUUUUAAUUCAAAAAUUGGAACUCUUAUACUCUGUAAUAUUUUUUUUCAGCUGAUUUGAUACAAGAAAUUGACAGCAAACUACCUGUUGUACAGCUUGCUCUUGAGCUCACUCACAAGAUCUUUGGUUCUUGUCCACCUAUGCAAAGUUUUGAUCCAGCCAAGAUGCUCACAGUAAGAUUUUAUUUAACUAUAACAUUGAUGCAAUUUUCCCUUUUUCCUAUUCCUAAAAUGAACUGAUGGUAUAGUAAUUAGGACUACGGGAAGCUUCAAACACUUGAUAUAACGGUUGCAUGCAGGAAAUCAUCAUGUUCUCCUGUUUGCUCGCAAAUCCCAUUUUGGCUCUGUUUUUUUUAAUCAAGUGCUGUUAAAAAAAAUAUAUUUUAUAAAAUGAAAAUGCACUUGAAAAAUGAAAAUGUUUGAUGCUUUCAAGAAAAGAUACAAACAUGUUUGAUGCCUUUUGUCUUUGCCUUUUCUCCUCGUGAAACCAGGGGCUCACAUGUACACACUUCAACUAUUCAACACACACUCACAUACGUAUUUUUAUAUGUAUUUCAACACGUCUUCCCGUUCACACCCUCCAACUGUUUGAUUUAAUGUCCCAGUGAGUUUUUAUUUUCUAUCACUUUUAUUAUUGCUUCUCUCUCUCUCUCUCUCUCAGAAGAAAAAGAAGGGGAGACUCAAUUCAGUGUUUUGAAUUGAGAAGAAAGAAGAAGAUCAAUAUCUGGAUCAAGAUGGGUUUUUGUUUCAGUGUUAGAUUGAAAAUUGAAAGUUCACGUUGUUAUAACUUUUAUAUUUUUGUGAUGAAUUUUUAUAUGUUUGUCUAGAAGAACUUAUACUUCUCAUUUCAUUUUCUUAUCGAUAAUCUGUGGAUGCAUUGUGUAAAUAUAAAAAUAGAACAUAAUAAAGUUGAAUUUCUUCACAUUUUUAUAUUUUUGUGAUGUAUCCAGCUGCAUAAAAUUAAGCAGUAUAGAGAGUAAUAUGGUCUUUUUGAUUAAAAAAAGGGUGUUAUGAUCUUUUUGAUGUGUUUAAACUUCAACAGGUAAAGUUACAUCUACAUCAGUACCUCCAAGCUCUUGGACUCCUAGAAGUCAAACAGAAAUCUUACAAUUGGGAAAUUUAAAGCCUUUUAGCUUCAAUGUACUUAAAUUGGCUACAAGAAAUUUCCGACUCGAUAAUGUUCUUGGAGAAGGUGGAUCUGGGUCGGUUUUCAAAGGAUGGAUCGAUGAACAAUCCGUUAAGAGAUUAAAUCAAGCGAUCUUCAAGGUCUUCAAGAGUGGCUCGCAUGUUCUUAUACAUAAGACAAAUUCAUUCUCGAAUCUUCUUUAUUUAAAUCAAUGAAUUACAACUCAUAAUUUAUUUUUUUGAUCAUGUUGCAGGCAAAAUUAAUUAUUUAGGGAUGUUAAAUCAUCUCCCCCUGGAGACACGAUAUUGAACUUUGGAUCAAAGACAUCAAUACCAUGAAAACUUAGGACAUUUACGUUGGCUUCUUCAUAUCACUUGACUCGUCCUUAUUUGCAAAUCUCUAUUCUUGGCAACAACAGUUGGCUUCUUCAUAUCAUGCUUCCGAAAUUACCCCUGCAUAAUCCUUGGCAGCUAGUAAUAACUUAACAUUUAGUACUUUGACCUGAAAAUUUAAAUAGAAUUUGUGAGCGGGAUGAAUAUAAAGAAAUUUUGAAAAUUAAAGGGCUUUAUACUUGAAGUAAUUGUGAACUAAACGCCCAACUUCAAAUCAUCAAAAUUAUUUAUAAGAUGAUCACAGCCUGUUGGUAUACGAGUUUUUUCAACUUGUUUUUGUCCUCUCCGUAGGCUCCUUUUUAUACUUUUUUAAACUUGUUUUUUUUUAUCAAAAACUUUCCUAACAUAUUAUUUAUUUUUACGUGAAGGAGUUUGGAUUGGGAAUUGUUACUUAAACUAUCAAUGAAAAUAAUGAAGCUUCAAGUUUCCUUUUAAGGUUUUGUAUUACAUUUUUUUAGGUUUGUGUUAUUAUAUACAAAUUGUUCUACUCAAUAAACAAGAUGUUUGCCUAAAAGAAAGAGAAACAUUUGGGAAGGUCUAUGGAAGCUCAAAACAGGCUGAUCAGGCUGUUGUAAGUCCCCUGUAUUUUACAGUUCCUUUGAUAGAUUCAUUCAUAUAAAUCAAACAAAAGCCCUUUGUUACAUUGUUUCUGAUUUGCAGCUGACAGAAGCAUUUGGGAAGUUCUAUGGAAACUCAAAACAAGGAACCAGCAAUGAUAAAUCUCAUGGUGGUGUUCAUGAGAACUGCAUCAAGUAUAUAUCACCAUUCUUACUUUUUUUUUUAUUUAAUUUAUUAUUCUUAAUGUUAAUGUUGUGAAGGCAUAAUGACAUAUAUAUAGGUUCCACUUCAAGUUUUGGUUCGAAGACAAAUAGCUCGGUUGUUGGAUCAUUGUCUUCAAUGUGUUAGACUUGUAUACAAUGAAUUAGUAAAGGUAUUAUCUUUUUUUCUUUUUCUUUUUCUUUUUUUAUAAUUCAGAAUAAAUAAAUAUUUGGGAAAUAUUUCAGAUCACCCAUAGUUGUCUAGUGCAUGAACUACAAUAGUUUCCUGUUCUUAAGAUGCACAUUAAUGACAUUGCUGGGAGUUUUUUGUUUGAAGGUCUUCAACCUUCACAAACAAUGAUUGGACACUUACUAGAAAUGGAGGUAUUAGACCAAAGUACUUCAAUUGCGAUUUUUAUACAUACAUGUUCCUGUUUAUUAAACCAAAGUAUUUAUGGUGUCAGGUUACUUCAAUAAAAACUUGUAGUUGGUAUUCACCAUUGACUAUUGAUUGACUUACUUUUUUCUGUUUGAUGCAGAGUCAAUUGGUAGGGAAAUUGUUAAUUUUUCAAAGUAAAACAAAGGGUUGAUUGAACGAGAGAAAAGAAAACACCAACACUCCAUGGCUAAUAAGAAUAAAAAAGAUAAAGAUAUGAGGAAAAAAGGUAAAACAAACUCGUAUGUAUGAAUAUGAUUUGUAUGGUAAUUAAAUUUAUAGUGUAUGUAUGUUUUGGUUUGCAUGCAGUCUUUGUUUGGCAGCUUGGACAAACUUUGUAGCACCUGAUCGUCCAUGCCACUCUUGGUAAAACAAAUUUAUAGUGUACUUCUUCCAAUUCAUGUUAGUAAUUUCUCAUUAUGAUGUGUUGUUUCUUGUGCAUUUUUAUUUUUAGGAGGUAUUUUACUUUCUUUAAUAUUUAAAGUUACAGGACAUGAGUAUCGGCACAUCAUGGAACAUUUAGGUUAGUUGUUGUUUUUCCUCUUGGUGAUCCAUCAAUGAAGUGGCCAACAUCAUGUAAUAACAUUUUAGGGGAAGAUGUAUGUAUAUGUUUUUUUUAAUGAAUAAUGUAAUCAUAUGUAUGAAUAUAAAAUACAGUUUGUUAUUUGUAUGACAAAAAAUUUUAUGUAAUGGAUAGUAUUUUUUAUAUAUGGUAUUUUAUUUUCUUGUUAUGAGACAUUAAAUGCAAAUUUAAUUUAAAAAUUAAUAAAUAUAUAAAUAUAUUUUUUUUAGAACAUUUAAAAUUAUGAUACGCAAAAAUGUGUGUCAUCUUCAUUUAUGACAUGGCCUUUCUUGACAGGGGCUUCCUUGAUACGCAUUGCGUGUCAUAAACACGCGCGUCGUAAGGUUACGACACGCAAAUGCGUGUCGUCUUCAUUUAUGACAGGGCCUUCCUUGAUACGCAUUGCGUGUCAUAACCGCGCGUCGUAAAUGCGCGUCAUAAAUGAGCGUCGUAAAUGCGCGUCGUCUAUAGAUGACGCGCAAAAGCGCGUCGUCUCUCUUUAUGACAGGGCCUUCCCUGUGUUAUCCAUUAGUGCAAUCCAGUAAUGAUAAAUAUUAUUUGCUUAAAUCGUGCAUGGCAACGGUUUAACAAAUUGGCGUCAUUGUUGGGGACACAGUGUUUCUAAUAGUUUGUAUGUUAAGAACUUUUUGUACAUGUACACCUCUAGUUUUUAUCUAGAAAUUGAGAAAACUGUAAGGAAACUAAAGAAAGAGGCAGGAAAAUGAAAAUAAUCAGUUAGUUUCUUUGGUUCAUUAUCAUCCUCCCUACCACCUGAAAUCACCACACCACAAGGUAGACCCUUGUGGAAUGAAAUAGAAAUUACCAUAGCAUCCUUCCCAAAAGUACCCUCGUAUUCUCCUUCUAACAGCCCCUUUAAAAAAUACUCGCCAGCACCCUCUGAAAUUUCAUAAACACCAGAAUCUUCAGAAUCUAACUCCAGAAAAUCAACCAUCAGUGGAGACGAUGCAAAAAAGACUCUCAGAGAGUAGGUCACCCAAUAGGUCAAUCAACAGCCUCUUUGUAUCACUUUUACAGAAAUCCAAAACUUUGAGCUCAAAUAUGGGCUUAUACACCUUCCCCCUAUUAUGUUUAGAGGCUUAGAAAACGAAGAUCCAUAUAAAUUUCUUAAGGAAUUUCAUGUGGUUUGGUCCAGAAUGAAACCACAUACCAUAAAAGAAGACCAAAUAAAGUUAAGGGAAUUCCUUUUUUCACUUCAAGAUUCAGUGAGUGAAUGGUUGUAUGAGCUCAUCUCCGGUUCGAUCACUCAUAGACUGACCUCGCAAAAUUAUUUCUAAGAAAAUAUUUUCCAGAAACGCAAGUUCGACUCUUCACAGAUAAAUCCUUGGUAUCAAACAAAGAAGAAGAGAAGCCUUACGUACAUAUUGGGAGCAUUUCAAAAAGUUGUUGGUUCAUUGCCCCCAACAUGGAAUCAAUGAUUACCAGCUCUAUAAUUGUUUAUGUGAAGGUGUGAGACCCAUGGAUAAGCGUUUGAUAAAUGCUUCAAGUGGUGGAUCCUUAGGUGAUAUGACACCUACUAAAAUAUGGGAACUGAUAGAAAAAAUGGUGAUUGAGUCUAAACAUUUCGAGAGCGAAUAUGGGUGGUAUGCAGAUCAGCUAAGGGGAGUAAAAGAAGCCAAGAAUGAUUAUCUGGAGUCCCAAAUUUCUAAGUUGACGAAAGUUGUUUUAUUAUUAACAAAGGAAAAAGCAGCUGCAAAGAAACAGUGCAGAAUCUGCCUGAAGACUAGACAUCCAACAUAUAUUUGUCCAUUACUACAAGAGGACGUGGCUUCAGUGACAACUGUCGGAGGAUACCAACAACAUAAAAUUUUUAACUAGCCUCCAAACUUUUAUCAAAAUUGAAAUUAUCAACAGAGACAGCAAUUUCAGCACCCUCUGGGUUUUCAACAACAAAUUUUUUAGCUGAACUUUCAUAAUUAUCCCAAUUAUUAGAAUCAUCAGCAACAGUAAUUUCAGAACCAUCCACUAAAUCAACAACCUAGUAGUUCUAGCAUGGCCUUGGAUGAUAUAAUGAAGAUCCUUGCUACCAACACUCAUGCAUUUCGAAUGAAACCAAAGCAAGUAUAAAAAAUUUGGAGCAUCAAAUGUCUCAGUUUGUCGCUUAUGUGAGUUGAAUGGAGUCUCAAGGAAAACUACAUGCACAAACUGAACACGAUCUGAAGCAUCAAGUGAGCACAAUUUCCUUGAGAAGUGGGAAGAAUUAUGAAAGCCUAAGCAGAUUUGAGCCUGACAGAGAAGAAGCAGAAAAAGAAUCUGAAGAGAUGGUGACUAUAAAUAUGGAAGAAAAAACAACUCCUAAGUAGCUCAAGCAAGUUCUGAAGGAGUACAGGCCAUUUCCAUAAUUCCCAUCACGCCUGAAGAGUACGAAGCGAGAGCGAGAGGAUGUGGACAUCAUGAAAAUCUUUCGUAAGGUGGAGGUAAAUCUUCCACUUUUAUAUGUUAUAAAAGACAUCCUUCGUUAUACCAAUUUUUUCGAGAUCCCCAAAAUGAAACAAGUAAAAAGAAGGAUCCUUACCAAUAGACAUCAGAGCAGUGAUGGAAGAACCUUCUUGGAAGAUAGAGUGGUCAGACUUCAAAGAUCUUUUAGCCUCAAGCAAAGCGAGAAAGCUUUCAACCUUCUCCUCAGUAUCUUUAGCAGGUGGAACAACUUCCUCGAAUUUCAAAAACAUGUCAAAACAAAACAAAUAAGGAUGUGCGAAUUUUGGGAUAUUUAUCAUAAGUAAAUAAAAUCCUAUCCUUUUUAACCUAGUUUAUUGGCAAGAGAUAGUCGUUGGGGAUAGAUUUGUGUUUCAAAAAGAAAAACCUUUCUUUUCCAGACACCAUCUUUUUUUGUUUUGAUUUCAAACUUAAAUGUGAUUUAUUGGUUUUGACUUUGAGCAGGAAAUGAGAAGAUCCAAAAUUUUGAAGAUCAUAAACAUUGUCCAAUUCAGCUAACACCAUGGCAUUGUUUUUAAAUUGAUUCAUCCGAUCGAUCCAAAAAAGGAUCCUUCAGAUCACAUGCAUAGUUUUAAAAUAUAUUUUUUUAUAACUUCUAAGAACUCAGAGAUGAUGCCAGAGAAAGGGUGUGUCAAGCCUAGGGAGAAAGGAUAUUCAGGAAAACAAACCCAAAUAGGAAAGAUAAAGCCAUGUUUGGACUUAAAAUCAAAAGGAUUGAAAAUGACAUUGGCGGGAAAAAUUCCGAUCAAUUUCAAGGACUCAAUGUCGUUAUCAUCAAAAAGAUCAAGUAUCUUCGUAAUAAAUGAUCUUCUUAUCAACGCAAUCCUCGUCGGGAAGAUUAGGGAUGCUCGAGCACGAACGAAGUCCCUUUUUACCCAUGAUCAUCAAACAAGAAAAAUGAUUAGAAAGGAACAAUAACUUUACCUUCGAGGUAACUGAUAACACUUGAAAGAGAUCUAAAAGAAGUAAAAGAAGAUCAAUAACCAUUAACCCAUAUAUAUGCGGAUCAUAGAGGAUAGAAAAGUGAUUUGAAAUACUUGAAAUUAAUAAAAUUAUACACUUUACAUACUUCAAAUUAAUUUAAUUAUUUUGCAGGUUUAAUUUUAGGGGUCAAGAUACUUAAACCUAUACUGGAUCCUAGAUCUUAAAGGAGUCUCAGGAUCCCAAACAUACAUCAGGAUCUUGAUCAUCACCAUUAUUAUUUCGAAAUAAGUUUAACGGUUAAAUUUCUUGUUUAUUUCUGACAUGUGCAGAAAUGGUCGACAUAAGACUCAUUCACAAUGAAGAAACGUUUCAAUCAAGCUUAAGACCCGGAAAAACAAGGUCAUAGAAAGUGAAAAUACCAGUUCAACAAGAUCCCGAAAAUAUAGGAGUUUUAGUAACUUAACCUAGACUAUAUAUACAUCAGAAAAACACACACAACGAACACAAUUAUUUGACACGUUACAAACCUAGAGCUAGGAAAACACUUUGCAUCAUCAUCUCUGUAAUUUACAAUCAAAUCAAUAAGAUCAAACAAGGCAGGUGAUCAUUAUCACCUUCCAAGGUCUUAUAUCGGAGAUGCUAUCAAGGAUCAAGAGCUUUCAUUUUAAACCAAUUGUGUAAUUUUUUCUAAUAACGAUAAUCACUUAACCAACACCACCACCUCUCAUUCACCUUGGUUGAUAUUCAUUUGAUUGAUUUUUUAACCAAAACAAUAACCAAAUGAUAUUCACAUUAAUAUGUACAAUAUAAAAGUACAUUGCCUAAAAUGGUGGAGAAACAAAGUUUGAGCACAUAUAUACUCAUUAUUUCAAAAAUAUCAAAAAUCAACUCUUUAUAUAUAUAUAUAUAUANNNNNNNNNNNNNNNNNNNNNNNNNNNNNNNNNNNNNNNNNNNNNNNNNNNNNNNNNNNNNNNNNNNNNNNNNNNNNNNNNNNNNNNNNNNNNNNNNNNNNNNNNNNNNNNNNNNNNNNNNNNNNNNNNNNNNNNNNNNNNNNNNNNNNNNNNNNNNNNNNNNNNNNNNNNNNNNNNNNNNNNNNNNNNNNNNNNNNNNNNNNNNNNNNNNNNNNNNNNNNNNNNNNNNNNNNNNNNNNNNNNNNNNNNNNNNNNNNNNNNNNNNNNNNNNNNNNNNNNNNNNNNNNNNNNNNNNNNNNNNNNNNNNNNNNNNNNNNNNNNNNNNNNNNNNNNNNNNNNNNNNNNNNNNNNNNNNNNNNNNNNNNNNNNNNNNNNNNNNNNNNNNNNNNNNNNNNNNNNNNNNNNNNNNNNNNNNNNNNNNCACACAUAAAGUUAUGUAAAAAUGAACUUAAAAACAAAUUAUUAUAUUUUUUUAAUUAUUAUAAAAAUAUAACUCAAUUUUACUCAAUUACGAAUUUUAUUAGAUAUGAUAGUAUAGUUGUUUCAUGAUUUAAUAAUCGUAUUAUCGUAAAGUUUUCGUCUUAUUGAAUAUGUAACUUAUUAUCUUUAUUGAAAUUAUCCCUUUCACUUUGGUUGAAACUUGAAAAUUGCUCUAAAUAGAGUCGUUAUGUUGCACAAAUUUUGUCAUGACAAACAUUCAAAUUUGGAAAUAUGAUAAGUCUUGUAAAUCCUAAACAUUAAAAGUCUUUAAUCAAUACUUGUUCGUAAACGACAAAGAAUUGUAAUGUUCUAAUAAACUUAUAAUGGAUAGUUUAAGACUAGAAUGCCUAAAUACAUUGAAAGUAUCGAAAACUCACAUGUUUUUCCAAUAUGAGCAAUGUUCGUUUCUAAAUAAGACUGUAAAUCAUAGUAAAAACCCUCUGCAUUAUAACCAUGUUAAUCCAUAUGGCACGAGAAACGACAUGUAUAUGAUCGAUUGCUUAGAUUUAUAAGGGUAGACAUCCCUGCCAACGAUUGCUAGCUACAAUUAUCAUUUGACGAGUCGAUUUGGGUGUUGACAUUUCAGCUCUACUUUUUACACGGCGUUGAUAAUGCGUUGAUGUGGACUUUCAACAUGCCCCUUUUGUAGUACUAGAGUAGGGGUUUCAUGUCAUAGUUCAGUUAUUAGCUCAUUAUAGACCCUUAAAUCAUUUGGUUGCCGUAGAGAAAUAAAAUAUGAUUUAUACGUGAUUUUGUUCACUUAUACAAGUUGAAAGAGAUUGUAUGUACUGAAAAAUUUGUGACUAAAAAAGAUAAGUGUCAAUUUACAAAUUAAGUCAUAUAAUAGUUAAUUAAUAUUAAGACACGGCUAGAAAAUGUUCUUAAACUUAUAAUUAAUAAGUUUCGUAUACAAAGAACUCCAUUUUUGUACGAAAUCAUUUUGGUGGACGGAUCAUUUUUAACAUAAUUAGAAAGGUACAACAUGAUUUCUUUUUUAAUAUUCAAAAAGCUUUUUAUAAAAUUAUACUUGUGGCUCUAAAAAUAAAUGGAGUCUAAACAUAUAGAAUUCACCAACAAUAUGUUGUUGACGUAUCUCAAUACAUAUAUUAGUAAGGCACAAAUAUUAGUAAGGCGCAAAUAUCUACAUGUGGGUUUUAUGGCAUCCUUAUUUUAUAUAAAUAAUAUUUUACUGCCACUUUGCAUCAAUGGACAUUUGUAAUGAUACUUGAAUUUAUGUAAGAUACAUUUGGUAAUCCUUAAUAUUGAUACUUUUUGCCAUUAUGUUCAUGUAUAUUUUGAUUGUGAUAUUCAAUUGGUGUCGCUCAUCCCGGUGAUUCCACGGUCAGCCAGUGUGACAGUUUGAUGUUGACAACAAAUACAAAUUUCGCAUGUCACCAAAUGUGAAAAUAAUGUCUAUGUUUGGCAAUAUUGUAUUUUUAGCUAUGUUGUAGAAAAUGUUUGAGGAGAUUAGAUAUUAUGGACAUUUUAUCGUAAAUAAAUAUUUCACUACAAGAAAGCUUGGCAUUAUCGGCGACGCCUUUAGCAGCGACAAGGGGCAAUAGCGGUGACAUGUAAUUGACGCGUCACAUGUCGCCGCUAUUGCCGCAUGUCACCGCUAAAGGAGUCGCCGGUAAUACUCGCAAACGACGAUCCACGUCAAAUUACCCCCAUCCGUCCGAUUUGUUUUCAAUCCACUGGUUGUACAGGAAAGCGAAAACGCACCGACUUUUCCCUCCAAGGUGUCGCCGCUAUUGCCCUAUUGUCGCCGCUAAUACCCUAACGUCGCCGCUAUUGCCUGUCGCCGCUUAUACGAAGCGCUGAUAACCCCCUUCCAGUUCCCUUUUCCGCGACAUUUCUGUUGUUUCUUUGCUUCUCUCGCUCUCGUUUCUUGUUACUGUUUCUCAACAAAUAUUGGACCAGUCGAUUAAGUGGAGGAACAACAUUUAAGGCGGUGCUAGCCCUCCUGUCACCACAAGACCGCCACUCCUUCCCCCGUUACCGGCUACCAUUGAGCUCAAUUCCAAAAUUGCCCACAUUCAAGGUCAAAUUCCGCCUAUUUGCUAUUAUUUUUCUAUUUUGGAUGAUAAAUUGGUUUGAUAUGUCAGAAACUGCCUCUUCAAUUGGUGUUAUAUUACUGAUAAACACAAGACUCAUUCGUAUUUUUUCUUGUUUAUUAUAUGUUCAUGAAUAUAUAAAUUGAUGCUAUAUGUGGGUAAUUGCCUCUUGAAUUGUUAUUAGAUCACCUAUAAACACAAGACCAUUAGUAUUUUUUUUCUUGCUUCUCUGCUUGCUUCUUGCACCAUGAAGGAUCGAUGAGGAGGAAGCAAGAGGUAUCAAACCUCCUGAAUUAACCAAACUCUAUUACAAAGUAUAUAUGAUUAGCCCCUUAACUUUUGAUUUGUACAAUUUUAGUCCCUUGCUCUAAAAAAUAAUUAAAAGUCUAGUCUUAAACAAAGAAACUUCAAUUAAAAUCUUCAAAGUUUACCCUAUUGAAAUUUGGCAUGUUUUUGUAAUUUUUGUUUAUACCACAUUGGCUUAAAAAUAAAAUUUGGCAUGUUUUUGUAAUAUUUGUUUAUACCACAUUGGCUUAAAAAUGAAAUUUGUGUAUGUUUUUGUAAUUUUUGUUUAUACCACAUUGGCAUGAAAUUGAAAUUGAAUAUUGAAAUUGGAUGUGUGUGUGUGUAUANGUUUAAUUAGAAAAUCAAAUUAACUUAUCUUUAGAAUCAAAUUAAGUUGCCUUUAUAAAAUCAAAUUAAAUCAAUUAUAAAACCAACUUAAUAGUAAGAUACUUUUAGUGACUUAAUGUUGGUCAUUACAAAUUUAGCUUAAUUAGGUUAUUAAUAGCAACGUACUUCUAGUAAUUUUAAUUUAAUUAUACAAAAUGCUUUACUUGAGGAGAUCAACCAACGAACCCAAGUAACAUAUGAAGCAAGCGGUCUAGCACUAACUGAUAAAAAAGAUUGUUUUGAAAGAAUAUUAGGUGUUCGACGCGGACAUAUCAGAGGCAUUAGGCGUAAACCCCCUACCGUUGUAUCCAUGUACGAUCAGGAACAACCAAUGACAUAAGAACAAUCACAAUCACAGGUAAUUGUUAGUAAAUGCUAUAAUGGAAAGUAGAAUGCUAUAAUGAUAUGUUGGUUAUGAUUUGAUAUGUUGAUAUUUUGUAGUUUGGUAAUUUUUGGAAAGUACAAUGCUAUAAUGGAAAGUAGAAUGGUAUAAUGAUAUGUUAGUUAUGCUUUGAUAUGUUGAUAUUUUGUAGUUUGGUAAUUUUUGGAAAGUACAAUGCUAUAAUUGAAAGUAGAAUGGUAUAAUGAUAUAUUGGUUAUGGUUUUAUAUGUUGAUAUUUUGUAGUUUGGUAAUAUUUUGGAAAGUAAAUGCUAUAAUGGAAAGUAUAUGUAUGUUUAAGUGUAUUUGAUAUGUUGAUAUGUUGAUAUUUUGUAGAAUGGUAUAAUUAAUUAUAAUGUUAUUUUGAUAUGUUGUUAAAUAUUUUGUUUUUCUUUAUAGUUGGAAAUGCUGCAAACAAUACUAAAGGACCCGACCUGUUCUGCAGCAUUGAAAGAGUGGUUUCGCUCAUUGCUGCCAACAAAUAAUGAAGGAAAUGAUGAUGAUGACGAGUAGUUACUUUAGGAUUUUAUGAAAUAUUUUGUAAUCUGGAAGAAUACUUAAUGUGGUAUGGAUUAAUAUUUUGGAUUGAUUGUAUAUGUAUUAAUAUUUCUAUAAAAAGUUAUCAGAUUUUAUAAAUGAUAUAUGGACUAAUAUUUGGAUUGAUUAUAAAUUUAAUGUUAAAUAAAUAAAUUAAAAAAAAUAAAACAGUAUUAGCGGCGACAUCUUUUGUGGCGACAUGUACUUAUUAGCGGCGACACAUAGUAUUAGCGGCGACAGGAAAUAUUAGCGGCGACAAGAAGCGUCUUAGGGACGAAGCAUUACCGGCGACGCAUUUGCAGCGACAUGUCACCGCUAACCUUUAGCGGCGACAAGCGUCACCGAUGUUGCCCAAUCUUCUUGUAGUGGUUUAGGUUAAUAAAUGGUUNNNNNNNNNNNNNNNNNNNNNNNNNNNNNNNNNNNNNNNNNNNNNNNNNNNNNNNNNNNNNNNNNNUAUAUAUAUAUAUAUAUAUAUGAUAAGGCUAGUUUUUUGAGGUAAUAUAUCGAGACAAGGUCUUCUACGUACCCUUUUAUUUUAUUUUUAAAAUACACUUUUUUAUUGGAAGGCAACUUGUUUUUUCAUAUUUUUAAGUCUUUUAUAAUAGACAAAAAUAUAUACUAGACAAAAAUAUAUUUAAACUUAACAAUACCCAUUUAGGUAUUGAUAUUGGUAUUUAUAUCUCGUGUCAAAUGUGUCCAACACGUAACGGAAGGUUAGAGAUCGAAGAAAGUGAAAAUCUAAUGUUUUGAAAAACGGUCCGGAGAUCGAACCGUUUGUCUUAGUGGUUCAAUAGUUCAUAUAGCUCAAUUGAACUAGAUGGACCAAACCUAAAAACUGUGUGCUUAUAUAUAUAGACAAUACCCAUUUAUACUAGACAAAAAUAUAUUUAAACUUAACAAUACCCAUUUAGGUAUUGAUAUUGGUAUUGAUAUCUCGUGUCAAAUGUGUCUAACGCGUAACGGAAGGUUAGAGAUCGAAGAAAGUGAAAAUCUAAUGUUUUGAAAAACGGUCCGGAGAUCGAACCGUUCGUCUUAGUGGUUCGAUAGUUCAUAUAGCUCAAUUGAACUAGAUGGACCAAACCUAAAAAUUCUGUGUGUGUGUGUGUGUUGAAAACCAAAUCGGAUCAGGCUGUUCCAGGAGUUCAACUGGGAACCAUUAGUGGUUGUGAUUUUUUGCUUCCAAAAACCGCUUGCGCAACAAACCAUAAUAAACAACGGUUUUGUUUGAACCGUGGUCCAAGCGGACCGGUUGAAAUGCCUUCAGAACCCGUUUUUUGAUUUUUUUUUUUUUUUUUGUUUUUGAUUUUCUUAAAAUUCAUCGGACAAAGGAAAUUCUCAAACUUGCAAUCAAAAUGACCAGACACACACCGAAACGUUAAACCUAAUGUCCACUUCUCAAGUUUAGUAUUUUAUGUUAUUCUAUCAAUAUUAUUGUUAUUCUUCUAUUUAAGUUUAAUUUUUGCUAAAAUUAUAUCAUUAUUUGGUAUUGAAGAUGAUGAAGGAGAUGAUGCCGGAGUUAUGCUUAGAAAUUGACAUAGAUUUCCUUAGAUGAAGAUUAAUUGAAUGUAAUGAAGUUUAAUUUUUUUUAUACAUUUUAUGGUAUUUUGAUGUUGAUAUAUUUAGAAUUUUGUUCCUUUUGAAGACUAUAAAAUCAACAUCCAUCAACUUUCAUGAAUUUGUAUGUUUGAUAUUUUUAUUUAACGUUGAAGACUUAUAUUUAUUGGUAUUUUUGUUUUGUAAUUUAUUUUUGCAUAUUUUUGAAUAUUUUAUAAUUUUAAGUAUAAUAAUAAUGUAAUAACGAUGUUAUCCGGUUUUUUGGAUUGGGUGACCCAUCGAACCGGUAUGCCGUAUGGUUCGGUGCCCGGUCCCAUUUUCAAAACUUUGGUAAAAAAAGCAAUUAUGUUGAAUAAAAUAUUUUGAUAAAAAGCCAACGAAAAUUAGAAUUUUUGAUGCCUUUUGUUUUCUUGUUCCCAAAAAGAAAUCUACCUUUAAUCAAUAGGAGGAACGUAAAUAGAUGUUAGCGAAAACUACAAAACCUUCCCACAUCGGUGCAAAAUAAAGUCAAUAACUUUGUUUGCUUAGAGCACCUUCCCCAUGUGUUAGCAAACUCAAUCAAUUCUCCCGCACUAUUAAUUGUCUUCAUACCAUUUACGCCUCUUAAUUUCUUUAGGACGGCGUUUACAAUUAUUAAUGACCUAAAUGGCAAUAGCUAAUAUCAAAUACUACAUUUUUUUUUUUUUUUACAACGGCACAAUUAUUGCAAGCAUAGGGGUACCUCCCUCAUUAUGUGAGGAUUUCUUAAAUAUUGUUCUAACUACGAAACAUAAAUUCGCAUUACAUUCUUGAAAAGAAGCCCAUUACAUAAUUUAUUAUGCUAUAACAUUGAUCUCUCUCUAUGUAUGUGUAUAAAAGGGUUCAUUAUGCAUAUAUUGAGCCGUGCAAUUGUAUACUUAUAUCCAUAUACAUAUCGAUCCCUUUGCAGAAGUACUUGAUCUAUUAAUUAGAUCAUCAAGGAUCAUGGGUAAAACACCAAGCUUAAACCUUCUUAAGGGUUCAAAAACCAUGAAAGAUACAGUAAGAUAUGUGGAGUUGAAGGAGGGAGAAGGCAAUCAUGAGCAUGAGCCAUUGAGUUCUGGGUCUAGGUUUUUUCAUGAGCCAGGUUUUAAUAUCUACAUCCUCACUAAAAUUGGUGUAAACUCCACAAUCCAUAUCGACGCAGCUAGAGACUUUUGUAUUCAGAUGGUUGCUAAAUAUCCUUGCUUCUCUAAAGUGGUGGUAUGCUACUAAACUAAAGAAUGAUAUUAUUUUAUCCACCUUCAUAUGCAUAAUGCAUUAUAAGCUCGAGUUUAAGAACUCAACUACCAUUCAUGAAAGUUUUUUUUUUUCCGUCUUUCAAUUGUCUGAAAUACUAUUCAUUGGUUGUUAUACAGGUUAAAGAUAAAGAAAGUGGGAGCAUGAACUGGGUUCGCACACAUGUAAACAUAGAUGACCAUCUUAUUAUACCAGAAAUCGAUCAAAACAUGGAAUCAGGAGAUAAAUUCGUGGAAGAUUACGUCUCAAAUCUUACUGUAUCUUGUAUUGACAACUCGAAACCCUUAUGGGAUAUACACAUCCUUAACGCAAGAACCUCGGAUGCAGAAGCCACAUGCAUCUAUCGCGCUCAUCACUCACUUGGUGAUGGUCUGUCAUUUAUGAAUAUGUUGCUUUCUCUUAGUAGAAAAGCCUCGGAUCCCGAGGCAUUGACUACACUUGCCGCGAAUAAGAAAGCUCAUCAUCAUACCACCAAAGCUGCUAGUUUUAUGUCCUUUUGUAUGGUUCUUUGGAACACUUUUGUCGCAUUUAUGUUGUUUGUGUUCACUACCAUGUUUCUAAAAGACACACAAACACCUAUGAAAGCCUCACCUGGUGUUGAAGAUAGACGUCGGCGCAUUGUUACUCGAAGUGUUAGCUUUGCUGACAUAAAGUUGGUGAAAAACGCUAUGAAUGCUGUAAGUAUAUAUUUUUUCUUAAAUUUUGCAUGUGGAUGCUCUGUGGCAAUGAUAUCAUCACAAAUCUUAAUUAUCGAUAAGUACUUUAAUUAAUUUAGUUUAAACACAUAUUGUUAAAAAGGUCCAAAUAAACCAAAAUUAAGCGCGUCAACUGUAAUAAAAAUAAUAACAUUACAUGUUCUCCGAUACUUGUUUUGUAGACUGUGAACGAUGUAAUAGUUGGAAUUGUACAAGCUGGUUUCAACCGUUACCUUAAGGGGAGAUAUGGUGAGUUUCUUUUUGUAUAAAGUAAAAAACUUACGAGUAAUUAAUAACAUAACUUGAACCCUGUUACAGAAGAGAUAAAUAGUCCUGUUCCAGAAAACAUUCUCCUUCGUGCAAUGAUGUCUUAUAACUUGCGAGCCUCUGUGAAUGUUGAUGUGAGUAUCUUCCCUCCUUAAUGUUGUGUGUGAAGAAUGUCUUAUCAUAUAAUUGUUGCUUGCUGAACAAUUUUAUGUGUGUACGAUGUAUAUAUACUAGGCUGCUACAAAGAAUACAAAUGAAGACGAAACAUGGGGAUACAAGGUAGGUUAUAUACUACUUCCAUUCAACGUCAAAAAUAGAAGUGACCCCUUAGACUAUGUACGGGAAGCGAAGGCUAUCAUGGAACGCAGGAAAGCUUCUUUUGAGCCAUUUGCUACUAGAUUCUUUGCUAAGACAUUGGUCCCGAAGUUGUUUGGUAUAAAGGUACUUGAUCUAUUCAUUUACAAUUGCUUUGCCUAGAAAAAAUUACUUACUUAUUUAGAUGCGGGAAUCCGGUAUUUAUUUAUUUAUUUAUUUAUCACAACAAGAAGAAAUUGGUGAAAACUAAUAUAAUUAAUCUAAAUGGUUAAUUAUUAUAUCAACUAAUUGCGAGCAUAACUUGAUAUAUUUAUACAAGUACAAUAUUUCAUAACCUUUAUGAUUAAUGGUUUUAAAAAGAUAACCAUAUAUCAUAGCUCAUUUUUGUUAUUUUUAUUGAUCAAACUUUUAAACAUUAUACAUGCUUCUAGCUUUCUUAAAAACCCUUUAUUGCAAAAAGAAGAAUUUCCAGCAAUUAGUAUAUCUUAAUUAGAUUACUUUAUAGUUUUUGAAAUGGGCAACAAUAUUAAAGAUUUAUAAUUAAGAUUUAAAUAAUAGAUAUAAAAAGAACUAAUUAAGAGGUCGUUUGUUUCAUCUUUUAAUAGUUUAACAUUCAAGCUGUUCGGUUAACCAAAGUUCAUCAUAAGGGUCACAAAAUCCUCUGAAAGAGUUCAACAUUUACACCUCAUUUGAACCAUUAUUUUCCUUUUCUCUUCGUUAUUCUUUGUCUUUUCGUGGGACCGAUGUUUUGAGGGGUUCUGACAAAUAAGCCCUAACACCAACUACAAGAAACAACAGAAUUUGGAUCCGUAAACAAUGAACAAAAAGGAAAAAGUUCCAACCACUUGUCGUCGCUUUCACUUGUUCCCUUUUCCCGGUUAGUUUAUCAUCCAUUUGCGAACGUACAUCCCUUGCACCUCUUGUCCGUAGGUCUAAUUUCUUAUUUCCUAUGUAUUUGUCGCAUGUUGGUUGGCCACCGCACUCGUAAAAUUACACUUAGAAGGACGAUGUUUCCAAACAACCCAACAACAACCCCUUUUGCAAUUAUGGUACAAGAUUAGCUAAAAAGACACCUCAUUUUGCAAUAUAGGAACCCUAAUUAAUUUUUUAAAUAUUUUUAUUGACUGAAAUUGUAUUUUUUUUCCGGAAAAGCUGAUUAUAAGCAGUUUUUAUUGGUUGACUUUUUAAAAAGUGGUCAAUGGGGUAUCCAAGGGGUGUCUUGUUAAUGUUAGUAUUAUUUAUUAUCUAUUAUUUAUUUGUUUUUUUAUUGAAUAUGUGGUUAAGAUUCAUUUUAAUUAAUAACUUGUUUUUUAGCGAAAGAAAAUUUUGGUAUGAAGGUAAAAAGUUUUUUUUCUAUAUAUUUUUUUAGCGAACAUACAAAAUGAAUCAUUAGAUGAUUCAAAGUUAAGAUGAUUUACAAGAAAAAGUUCCCAAAUAAAUAUAUUUAUGAUUUAUUUUUAAGUAAAUUAAGAAAAAAUUCAUUUUUAUAACAAUUUUGGUGAAUAACAACAAAACUAUUGUAUAAAUAAAUCAUCGGUGUGUUUUUUUGAGAUUAUUUUUGAUGAAUCAUGUUAUUUUUUAUUCAUCUAUGGAUUAAUUUCUUUUGUUCGUCUGAAAAGUAUGUAGAAAAAAACUUCUUACCUUCCUACCAAAAAAAAAUUCUUAUCGGAUCUAUAUAUAUAUAUAUAUAUAUUAUUUGGCAUUUAUUAUAAUUAUUAAGUUGUUUUUUUAUUAUUUGGUGUUUAUUUAUAUAUUCAACAAUCUUACCAACCACAUCAAACAACAUGUUUUCAUUCAUAACAUCUAAUCAUUCAAUGCAAAAUCAUUUAAAAGUUAACAAAACAACCCCUAAAAAUUAUUAAAUAUAUAGAUUGCAGGAAAGUUGAAUCGUAAAGUUUACUAUAACACAACGUUUGGCUUCUCCAAUAUGCCUGGACCAAAAGAAGAAUUGUGUUUUCUCCAACAAAAAGUUACCUAUCUUGCUCCUAGUAUUUAUGGCAUACCCAGUGUAAGGAUGAUAAACUUUUUUUGGGAUGAUUAAUUUUUUUAAUAAUUAUUACAACCAACCCAAUCAAAGGAAGCUUAGAAUUUAUGAGUUUUUUGCUUUAUACAGGGAUUGAUGAUUCAUAUAAUCAGUUAUGUUGACAAAGUUACAUUUGUGCUAUCAGCAGAAGAAGAAACUAUACCUGACCCCCAAAAGUUAUGUGAUGACCUUGAAAUAUCAUUGCACCACAUCAAAUGUUCGGUUUUAGAUAAACCAUGUGCGGAGAAAUAAGUUUCAAUACACAUAUUUACGAUUACCAAGGUGUGUGUAUGAGUGAGUGUGUGAUUGUGUGUAUGCAUAUAUGUUUUCUUGUUGACAUAUAAGCAUCUCUACAACAUAUCAAUAAUUUAUUGUUAUAUGAUGUCGAGGAGGUUCUCAAGCAUCAAUUUCGAGAACUAUAUAGACAUGCAAACUUUGAUAACCUUGUUUCCUAUUUUUAUUCAUUGAAUAAAAACUAAAAUACAAAUAUGCUGUUGUGUUAUACUAUAUUUUUUAUGUUUGAUUCAACGUUAGUUUUUGUUAUAGAUAUUUUAUAAGUGUGGUGGGUGUCUAUCCCUCUUAACCUCCCAACCAUGAUGCAACAAAUGCUCCAAAUCUACUUCUUCUUACUCCUCUCACUUGCAGCCCUCCCAACCCUAAACAUAAGGAAUGGAAACUUCCAUGCCCACACAUAAUGGUACAAAUAUUGAUACAAAUGGUACAAGUUGAGAAGAGAGAAUAGAGAGAGGGAGCAUUGUUAAACACAUCGUUAAUGUCUUGACAAAUUAAAAUCACUGCUUGGUUGCACUAAUGGGCAGCACAGGAAAGUAGAGUCGAGUCCAGAGAGACACGACCUAACAGUCAAUGUCUCUUUGUGUAAACCACAAAUUAGACAUAUAACACAAAAUGAAAAAAAGGGGAUUUUAGUUUAGAAUUAAAACAAAAAAAUUAAAGAAAUAAAAUAAAUAAAAUUCAUUAAUAAAGAGCGUUUAUGUAGUGACUUUCCUAAUUAUUCAAUUAUUCUAGAUCUAAUUAUUUAAGAAACAUUCUAUCUAAGCUGGUACUCAAAGCUGCUAACAAACUCUAGUAAGUUCUCUUUUACCUAGUUAGUUAACCAAAAAAAAAUUCUUCGGUUAAUCCUCAUUUUUUUACUAACUUAAUUAAACAAGCUCUUAAUCAAAUAAGAAAUGCAACAUUAUGGACACUGUAAACCUCCCAGGAACAUUCAAUACUUUUCACAAGCUUGUAAGCAAAAAAUAUGUGAUUUUCAGUUUAUAACAUAUUCAAAUCCUAACAUGAAACCGAUCUGUUAUUUGUUACUUAUUACCAGUUGAUUAAAAAAAUUACGAAUUUUAAUAAUUGAUUAACUUAAAUGAUUUAAUCCUAAUCUGGUGAUUAGUCUAAAACGAACUAAAAAUCAAACAUUCAUGAAGAACAAAACUAAAACCACUAGAUAGAAUCACAAAUUAAAAAACAAAUCUAAUGAUUAAUAACAUAAAAAGUAUUAAAUAGAGUUUCAACUCUGCAGCGACUCUUCUAAUUAUGUAUCCAUAUCUAAUUAUUUAAUAUGCAUUCUAUCUAAGUUGAUAUUGAAAACUACUAACAAGCUGUAGUAAGCUCACUUUUACCUAAUUAAUUAAUUAAAAAAGAUAUUCAGUUAACCCUAACUUUUUAAUAACUUAAUUGAAAAAAAAAAUCUUAAUCAAAUCUUAAAAGCAACAUUAUGAAUAAUGGAAAAUUCCCAAUAAUAUUCAAUACCUCUCAGAAGCUCAGAAGCAUAAAAAUAUAAGAUUUUUAGUUUAACAAAAUCAAAUCCCAAAGCAUAACCGAUAUGUUAUUUGUUACUUAUUACCCGUUUAUUAAAACAAUUACAAAUUUUAUUAAUUGAUCAACUUAAAUGAUUUAAUCCUAAUCAUGUGAUUAGCCUAAAACGAGCUAAAAAUCAAACAUUCAUCAAACACACAACUAAAACAACUAGAUCUAAUCGCAAAUUAAAAACCAAAUCUAAUGAUUAAUCACAUAAAAAAUACUGAUCUUUUGCAUAAUUGAAAUCUAUGGUUAUUAUCCAGACAUGGGUAAAAAGAUCUAAAACUAAUAAAAAGAAAGAUAAAAAAAAUUAGAUCUUAUAAAACUAACUGAGAUAGUCUUUUCAAAGUCUUAAGAUCUUUAGAAAUCGAUGAAAAAGUGAAAAUCUCACUCAAAAACCAUUUGGAAAGGGUUACCGUUCGUUUCUCCUGAAUUGGGAUCAAAUAUGGGUAUUUAUAUGCAAGAAAACAUCUUCAGACGACACAUCUUGGAAAACUCACCAUGGGAACGCCGAGCUCUUAUGAAGCCACACCAUGCUUUCAGUAAACUACGUUUGUUUUUCGUGUUUAACGAAGUACAUUGCUAUUUUGGAUAUUUUUUGAAGCACGAGCAUGAAGAAUAGGUCGUACUUGGGGUGUCCAGGUCCAACUUUCUCAUUGCAGCUUGAAAAUUUGAGGAAAUUAGAAAAAAUACUUCGGGAAGGAAGCACGGCCUGUGCUUAGGCUUCACAAAUAUCAAAAUUCAGAAAUUCUCCAGAGGUGGAACACGACAUGUGCUUGGUAUUUCCAGCGUUUCAACUCCAUAUAAGCUCUAGAUAUGCUCCAGAGACUUUCAAACUACCAAUCUACUUUAAAUUACUUGAAAUAUACACCAAGACUAGAGUAGUGUGAGAAUUCUUAAGAAAUACAAGAGUUGUCAAUUAUUUAAAUGAAUGCAAACAUUUAAGCAUAAAAUAUUAAGCAAAAUACUAUUAAAAACUAAUAUAAAAGAUGCAUAAAAUGAUAUUUAAUAAAUCUUCCCAAGUUUAAAACUUACUUGCCCUCAAGUAAUAUGUAACAUUCUGAUGAUAAGGUACUUCUAAUUUUAACCGUAUAAUUUAAUUAUGAUGGAUUUUGGUCCCUAAAUUUAAGAAAGAGUGCAAAAGAGCCUUAGUGGCGUUUUUGUAAAUAAGCCUUGGGAGAGUACGACAUGCGUAUGCGUGUACGUUGGACAUACAUGUUGUACGAUAGGCGUACUUACCAAAUAUGGAACUCCUAAUUUUUAGGGUUUGGCUUGUAUUUAAACCUCAUUAUAGCAUCAUUUCCCGAUACCUCAUUUUGUACCUUUCUCUUAGAUCGUUCUUCCAACCCUAAUUUGCCUUAUAGAUCCAUUUUAAGCUUAAGAGUGUGUGUUUUUGUGCUUUGAAGAAGAAGGAAGGGAGUAAAGCUCACCUUGGAGGAGUAAAGCACUUUGAAUCUGGGAUUUGUAGCUCAUUGGCAACCAUUUUAAGGUAUAAAGCUUAAAACUUUAUCACUCGAUCAUAUAGAUCUAGAAAUGGGUGUUUCAAUAAUACUUUUUGGUCCCAAAAUGUUAGAUCUUGAGCAUGGCAUGUUCUUGACCCAUUAAGUUGUCCUUUGAGUCCUAAUGGUUGGUUUUGUCCCAUGCAAGUUAUGGAGAGUCUUAAAGCAUUAAGAUAUUGGGUUUUUAUGGAUUAAGCACUUAUUGAGCAUGCAUAGCCAUAAAGUUGGAAACUUUAUGACUCCUAAUGAAAUUUUGACCUUGGAUCUGCAUUUUGACAUGUUAAGACGUUAUAUUAAGCACUUAAUGGGAAAAAAUAAAGUAUGGGGUUACGUCGAGCGUACCUGGGUUACGCCCAACUACGCACUCAACGACCCCGAUAUGGUCAAACGGAGGAGUACGCCCAACGUACCUCCAUAUUACGCCAUGCAUAUGCUUGUUGAGUUGAUUCGACUGGGUUGACUAGGUUGGGUUGACUCAGUUGAUUUAUCAACUUUGACCAGCUUGACCUUGACUUUAAUAAAGUUUGACCAUAGGGGUAUUUUUGGUAUUAUGGGAUUUUGAUUGUGAUUGGUCACUUGGAUGGUUAGGUAUCGGUUGGAGCUGAUAUUCAGAGUCGAAACCUCAUCAACUUUUUCCAGUUUGUGAGGUCACUUUCCUCAAUGUACUUACGGGUCGAAGGCACCAAGGCCGGCCUAUUGGUUUGAUAUCCUGCUAUUCUCUGAGAUGAUGGGUAUGGAAUAGAUAGGCAUGGUUAUGCUAGUUAUCGAUAUGCUAGUCUAGUAGAUCUGUAGGACUACCUGUGAUUUUGUCUACAUGAUUAUCUUGUUGGGUUUUGAGCACUAUAACACUCCUAUGGUGCACAUGCAACCCUAAAUACUUUGGAUCUAUGUUUUCUCUAAUUAUACAUGCAUUUUCAAUUUUUCCAAAGCAUUUUCCCUAUCUAGCAUACAAUUGAAGCUAUAUAAUAUAGAACUUAUUUUGGAUGCAUACCUCUUUAGUAGGGUAGAGUUCUUGACCUUUGAAAGCUUGAGCACCUCAAGUGUGAUGCCUCUAUUGGUUCACAAAGAUAAAAAUUCAAGAGGAGGCUUAAGAGAAUAAGUUGUCUAUCUCCAAGAGAUGGUAUAGCUGAUUUUGGAUCUAGGGGGUUCUAUUUGUAGUGUUGCACAUGUUAGGGUUACACUUUGUAAACCCUAAUAACCCAUGACUUUCCACAAUCUCAUGCUCCAUGGGUUUAACCUCAUCGACUAUCCAUGGAUUAUUUUAUCCCACCUAUAUAAUUAUGGAUCAUUGGCCCACACUACAAGAAUGAUUGAUUUACAUAAUCAAUCCCCUUAUAUUUAAUUAGUGUCUUUUGAUCACAAAAUUAAUUCCAAAUUAAUUCUUGAUCAAUACUAAUUAAACAAUAUGAUUUCAUAUUAAUAUCUUAUACUUGUAGUAUAUUAAUAAACAAUAAACAAGGCCACUUUCCACGUAACAGUAACUGACAGAGAGAAUUCUACAAAAUCAACGAAUCCUACAAUAACAAUUGAAUUUGUGACAGUAAUAGUUAAAAAUUUACCAUUAACAUUGGUGUUUCAUAAUGUCAGAAAGACAAGCAUAGCAACGGCAAGAGUCAGUGUAUCAGGAGUUACAGUCAAAGGAGAGUUAAGAUUGUGAUGUCUCCUGAUAACAUAUGAUUUUGCUUUGAAUCAUGGAUAUAGUAUUACAAAGUUUCAUCGACGUAUGGUUUGUUACGUUGGAUCAUAAACUCCUUUUAUUAGAAGAACAAGGACAAGAGAGAAUAGAUACAUGUAAUACAAUUUUGUGUUUUAGUGUACCUGUCAACAUCGAAUGUUGAAGUUUUAUAAUUGUAUGGAAAAUACUAUGAAUCAUUAACCUCUUUGAUAAAAGAUUUUUAGGGCGACAAUGGAUAGGUACGUGUAAAACAUUACGGUACAUGAUGUACCCAUCGGCAUAGAUUUGUCAAGUUCUCAUCAGCGUCUAGUUUCAUACGCUGAAUCAUAAAGCUUUAAAGAAGAUAGGGAAAUAAUGAAUUGGUAGGUCUGAUAAGCUACGAUACAGAGCGUAACCAUCAGCACGGUAUUUUCAAGUUCUCAUCAACGUUUGGUUUCAUACACUGAUUCAUAAAACAAUAAAGAAGAAAUAUGAUAAGAGGGGGUUGGUGUGUCUGAUAAACUAAGGUACAUAGUCUAACCGUCGACACAUAUUUUUCAAACAUUCAUCAGAGUGUGGUAUUUCAUUGUGAAUCGUUAAGUUCUAUUUAGAAGAUUAAUGGGAGAGAAAUGGAAUGUUUUGAUCAUGUUAAGGUGAAAUCAGCAUGAAUCAUAAACAGUGUCAGCUCAUCAACAAGAAGUGGUUUAGCUUCUGUAUCAUAAAGUUAAGUUACAGUCUAGAAUUUGGGAUUCACAAUUAAUUCUAUUAACAAGGUACAAUGGAAGAUAAAAAGAAAUAAAACAAAAAAAAAAGAAUUAGUCAAACAAUCAACUUUUCCAAAACGAUAACUAUGCAGCUUUUUCAGAAAACUAAUAAAGAUCGGAUCCGAUAAAUCUUUUGACUUGAAGGCCCAUUAAUAAGUUUCCUUUAUCCGAGAUAUCAACCCCACAAAACAGUCUAUAAAGGAGAAAAAAAUGAGUUUAAGUAUUGAUGUGUUGCAAAUGGAUUUUAAACUUCAUGUUCACCAAGAACAAGGGAGAUUCAACCUAGCACUCUUUUUAACUGUCGAGUUAUACGGUUCCAAUAUUUGUAAACUUCAAGUUAUUAGAGUCACCAAGGCAAUACUCUAAGGUUCCGUUCAUUGUGAGCCAUGGUAAAAGCGAUGAGGACCAUUGUCUUGCUAUAGAGGUCUUUGAAUCUCAGAUGGGAAUCGAAGUGAUAGUGGUGGCAUCAAUGGAAUUUAGACAUGUCAUGUUACCUAACUUCACUUCACCUCAUAGAAACAUAAGUAAGCUACGAGAGAAGGAUAAAACAAGUGUCAAGAAAAACAAGUUCGGACACAAUUCUUUCUUACCUUAAACUCUACGGUAAGAUACUUAGUGACUUUCAGCAUGAUCAUCUGCUUCAGGAAGAGUGAUGCUGAUGGUAAAGAAAAGAUGCAGAGCCAGCUCCAACCAAAUUUAAUAAGAAAAUCUUGCACCAAAGGUUGGAUACACCAUUCAUUUCCCAAAGGAUAAAUCAAUGAUGAUUAGCGUUAAGGAGGGGGGCAGAAGAUCUUGAGACUUGGAAGGAGAGGAAGAGAAGAAAACACCUGGUAAAUAUCAGUAAUACAAUAUUAUAAGUCCUAAAAUUUAGCUUGAGUAUCAAUUUGAUCCAAUUGAUGGUGCAUAAUCCCAAUCAAGUGGAUGAUGCAAGAUGAAAUGGAGAAGAAGAAGAAGAAGAAGAAGAAGAAGAAUUGAAUCUUCAAUAUAUUCAAUGAUAUGAAUGAUGAUCUAUACAUGAGAUUCACACUUCUCUCUAACUUUCUCUCUCUAGAACUUCAAGGUGCUCAACAAUGGCUUCCCUUUUUCAAUAUGGUCCUCUCCUUGGUUCUAGCUACCUAAGCCCCAAAUAACCCUCUAUAUAUACCUACGGAUAAAACCGAAGGCCCAAACCCAAUACCCAGACCGAAAACACAUGAGUUUUUGGUCCAAACUACAAAUAAACCAAUAAUAUUUUCAGUCCAAGACUAAAAACAAUAAAUGCUUAGAAAAGAAAAGUAUAAACCAUAUUUUGACCCAACAAUCUCCCCCUUGGUUUAUAGCUUUCUUUCUUUGACCGAGCAAACUCCCCCAAAAAAUAUAGAUGGCUUUUCUUGUCAAUCUUUAUUUGGAGCUUGGCUUCAGCUUUUUGUCUUCUAUUUUUUCACAACUUCAAGAUGAACAACAGAAUCUUCUAGGUGAAUUACUUCAUCAUGAACGGAUGGCCAUUUCUUCAGAAUUUGGCUUUGAAUGAACAUUGAGUAUAGGCUUCUUGUAAAGAUUUUUGAAAAUCUGUACUUUCAGCUUGAGAAUCUUCAGAGAGAACAGAAAAUGAAACUUCUGGAUCACUUUAGCAGGUACAUUGAUAGCAGAAAAUUGAUUGAGGAUGCCUCAAUGCAAUUCGUCACAUAAUCUUCAAGUCAAAUUCACCUUGCUUCUGGGGUUGAAUGAUUGUAUGUUGAAAAAUAAUCUUCACUUCUAGUUCCUUCGAAUGAAUGUUCUUGAAUGAUAACCGAUGCGUCUUGAGAAGUAACCGUGACUAAAAACUCUCUGUGGAUCAUAGAAAGAAUCAUAAAGACCCUUCUCACCACAGUUGUUCAAGGAUGAAUCCUUGGCUCGGAAAGAUACUUCUCGCAGUAUCUGUGAGAACUCGGAGGAACGCACUACAAUUGUUUAGUAUCAGAGAACUACUCGUGGCUAGUUUGAUGUAGCCCCUGUAUAUCCUUGAUCAUAGAUCUCAAUACAGUUAUCAAGUUAAAAAGUUAAAUUGGCCCUUGGCGAGACGUUCACUGAUACCUGUUUCCCUAUCAAGUGAAUCUUCCUGGUGUCGUGACAGUUCUUAGGUAAAGAAAGCUGACAAGACCAAUCUGACAAUUUGUAUAGUUUCAGACUUUCAAUUCUUUAGAUAUGAUAGUUCUUAGAUAAGAAACUGUCUGACUGGCAUUUUGUACAAUGUCACACCAGGUAUGAGCCAUUAUCCGUCAGUUCAUGGGUGAAAUCUAUAAUAUAUAAAAUGUUCACCAUCAAUUCAAAAAUAAAUGGUGUUGAAUUUUAGGUUUCACUUAGAGUCAUGGUGAUAAUGACAUCUAAGAUCAUAAACACAGACUUUUUGGCAACUGUCAGCCAAGUUGUUUUAUACUCGAACCUCAAGGGGUACCGGUACGUAAAAAUGAUUUGAUGGAGAAAAUUUUAGAUAUGGGUGAAGAAUGGUUGGGUGUUUCACAUUGAUCAUGAUGAAAAUGAUCUUUGAUCAUUAACAUUUGAUGCGAAGAUUCCUAUUAACACAGGUAUAUGUCUCAAUAUGGAAGAGUCUAUCACUCGCAUUUGAAUUUUCUGUCAAUUCCUUAUGAAAGUAGUGUGAAGUGUAAUGACCGUCAAUUCCUUUUCACGUUCAGGUUUCUUCUCCUUGCUUAGAAUAUUUCGAUACAUACUCCUUGAGUCUCAUCUUCUCCUGAAUUCACUUUUUAAGAAAAAUGAAAAAUGUUGAGAUAAACACAAAAAAAUAAAAGUAAACUUAGCACACUAAGAAAAUAAAAAUAAAAGUAAAAUACGCUCAAAAACAAUAAUUUUGGAUUCUCCCCCUCGAAUGAAGAGAAAUAAAAACAGAAAUAAACAUAUUUUUGUAGUUUGUUAUAACCAAGAAAGAAAUAAAAACAGAAAGAAACAUAUUUUUGUAUUUUUGAAAUUUUAUAAUUUUUUGUUUUGAUUUUUUUAUUUCUCCCCCUAAAUUUGUGCAUAUAAGAAAAUAUGAACAAAUUUAAUCAAAAACAAAAGUAUAAUACAAAAAAAUUUGGGAUCAAAGUUGUCAGGAAAUUUAACUUGCCCUUUAUCACUAAAUCUCAUAUCAUUUUCCAACAAUACCUACCAAGAAAAAAAAAUAUUUUUGGAAUUUUUUGAUUAUGUAACUUUUUUGUAUUUUGAUUUCUCCCCCAGAAAUUGACCAUAGGGAAGAAAUAAAAUAAAUGCGCAAAAUUAAAAAGAAAUUUGUCUUUGAAACUAAUCAUUUUAAGAAAAACUGAGGAGUAUCAAAAGAAUUCAAACCGAAAGUCAGCAAUUGAAGACACGAGCAGCAACAAAUCCAGCCUUAGUUGUGUUUCAAUCUCGAAACAGAUCCAAAAAUUCUUUACAUCAUUAAGCACAUUAAGCACAAACCCCAUUUGUGAUCCUCUCAUUUUCUUCCUUUCCCACAAAAGACACAUACUCUCAAUUGAAGUUCUGAGUGUUGUACAGUUGAAAUAUGCCUCCUAUCAUGUGCUUGGAACAACCCUUAUCAACAAAACAGAGUCUGAUGAUAUUCCUCCAUAGCUGCUCCAACAUAGAGUGCGGGAUUAGUUGGUCUUUGGAACCCAGUCCAUUUUGAAACUGGGUUGACCUUUGUCAUCUACACAUGGAACUCUCUCCCAUGACAUAUCCUGCUUAUCACAUAUAGAAAGCGAAGAAAUGUUAGAGUCAUUAGAAGAUUUGAGAGAGUGAACCUUCGGAACCCAUCUGUAGUCGGGUUUAACCCAUUGCUUGUUCAAUCGGUUGGGUACCUUAUCACUUGCUUUGGAACUUGAAGUCGGCUACCGAGAUGACAUUGACCUAACCGGUCUUGGUUUCACUGGAGCAUCUCUUGAGCUUGGCUUCUUGGCUGUCAUUCCCUUCUUGUCCUUGGGAUUUUGAUUUUUGGCCUUGGGAUUCGGAAUCUUGGCCUUCUUCGCAUUCCAGUCACCAUUGCAUGAUUGUGACUUUAAAGGGUUUCUUUUGGAGAAUCUCUCUCUUGGUGUAUUCUGCCAUCCUUGUACACAGUAAGCAACAUAUGCGUGUUUUGGACAAUUUCUAGCAAUGUGUCUAGGUGUUCCACAAUGAAAACAAGUUUGUUUCUUCACUUGGAAGUUGUUUCUGCUUGCCCCUGGUGGCACGCCCUUGUCUUGUCUCUGAUUGUUCCCACAAUCACAAUUACAGCAGGCACUUUGUUUCGCUUGUUUUGGUGGCUUGUAUUUACCAACAGCAUGUUUAGAAGUAACUGAGUUAGAAGCAAUAGAUUCAGAGUUCAAGGAGUCAUUGGUUUAACAAUCAUCAGAAUUUGCAGAACUACAAUUAACACAUUGAUAGAAGUAGAUAAACCGGAAUUAAUUCUAAUUCCCACAUGAUGAAAAAAAGUAAAAGGUCCCGAGAAGAAAAUGAUCCUACCUCAUCCUCUACUACUUUACCUGCACAUGAAGUAGAAGCAUCAGAAACAUUCACCUUAAUAACCUCAGUAGGCCCAGAUGGUUCAGCCUUAAUUGAAGCUGGGACAGGGGUUUGGCCAUACUGAGCAGGAAUUUCUUACUCGUUGGUCUCAAGGGGUGGGUUAUAGUUUUCAUUGAUAGGAAUUCGUACACUAUUAUACCCUAGACCCUUAGUUUGGUUAUCUUUGAAUUUUAAUUGCUUUUCAAUUAUGGACGCAACUACCUCACUUGAUACAUCAAAAUUCUUAAACGUGAAAUCAGCAUCAUUAUAUUUAGCUUUCAAUGUAUCAAGUUUUGCAGUCAAGUUAGCAAGUUGUUCCUUAACAUAGGUAUAAUUCGCACAUUUGUUGCUAUAUUCCUCUUGUAAUUUUCUAAAGUCCUUAGUUUUGGUCUCUACUUGUGCUUUUAAGGUUUCUGGGCCUUUGUAAGUGUAUAUCCUUCAUAUUUCAGGUCCUUAUUUACCCUUUUUAGCAAAUCAUUUUGUUCACGAAGAAUUUUAAUCGUAACUUCACAAGAUUGAGAACAUGAAACUUCAUUGACCAGGAUGUUUGAGGAACUCAUUGUUUAUCAAAGAAAAUGCCCUUUGACUUUAUACCUCAAAAUUCAACCUUAAAAGUCAAAUUUGAAAAGUCAAUCUUGAAAGUCAAACAUGAAAAGUCAAACUUAAAAGUCAAACUUAAAAGCUAAACUUGAAAACUUAAAAGUUAAACGAGAAAGUCAAAGAUAAAGUCAAAGGUCAAACUUGAAAGUCAAAGUCAAUUUUUAAGGUAAAAAGUCAAAUUAGGAAGUCAAAAAUCAAAAAUCAUAGUUUUUUUUGUUGAAAAUGGAAUUUUAAAAUUCGAAAAAUUGAUUUUUGGGUUAAAAUUGUGAAAAAUCCGAAAAUGGGAGUCCAAAUUGCGAUACUUCAUCUGGAUCUGGAAAAUGUUAAACAUAUGGCAUACUAGAUCGAUUGGUAGGAUUGUGGAUUGUUUAUGUGAUCGAGAGAACCGAGUUUGAUCCUUGUUCCACCCAAUUUUCCUUUUAUAUAAUCGUUGCUAACCGAACUCGUGGGUCGAACACCUGCUGGCUGAGAACGCGGGGACCAAAAAGAGCUGCGAACCGAAAACAUUUUUGAGCCGAAAACGUCCGAACCAAGAAUGCGUUUUCACCAGAGAACAGUAGACCCCGCUCCACUAAAAAUUCGAGACACUCCACCGAAAACACUUCGGACCGCUCCACCGAAAACAAUUCAGACGCUCCACCGCAAACUCAGAUUUCGGCUGUAAACUCCCUCCAGACCGAAAACACUGCUGACCGCAAAUGAGUUUCCGGCUGAAAACACCUCGGACAAGCUUUGUUGAGUGCGAAAAUGGCCGCUGGAAGUCGCAAAAUUACGUCAAAAAACGAUUUUUCACCUUUUUAGCUCCAAAACUCGAUCAAAAAGCCAUUUUUACGAAGAACACGAAGAACAAACCCCCAAUAUUUCUUCAAAAAGUAAUCAAAAACAUAAAAUCCUUCAAGAAAAAAUGCAAAAACGCACCAGAUCUUGCCAAAAACACUGAUACAAUCCAAGCUCUGAUACCAACUGUAAGUCCCAAAAUUUAGCAUGAGUAUCAAUCUGAUCCACUUGAUGGUGCGGAAUCCCAAUCAAGUGGAUGAUGCAAGAUGAAAUGGAGGAGAAGAAGAACAAAAAGUGAAUCUUCAAUAUAUUCAAUGAUAUGAAUGAUGAUCAAUACAUGAGAUUCACACUUUUCGCUUGCUUUCUCUCUGUAGAACUUCAAGGUGCUCAACAAUGGCUUCCCUUUUUCAAUAUGGUCCCCUCCUCGGUUCUAGCUACCUAACACCCCAAAUAGCCCUUUAUAUAUACCUAUGGAUAAAACCCAAUGCCAAACCCAGUACCCAGACUGAAAACACAUGAGUUUUCGGUCCAAGCUACAAAUAAACCAAUAAUAUUUUCUGCCAAAGACUAAAAACAAUAAAUGCUUAGAAAAGCAAAGUAUAAACCAUAUUUUGACUCAACAAUUAUUCAAUGUAUACUACUUUGGUAAAUUGAAAACUAGAAGAAUUUCUAGAGCACAAAGAGUUUUAUAGUUAAAGCAAGAAAAUAAAAAAUAGAAGCUUAUGUUUAGUAGUUCAAGAUAGAAAAAGCAAUGUAAAGAAGGCAUAAAUCUGUACUGUCAAGCAUAAAUAGAUUCAAAACAUGUAAAUGUCAUUUUUCCUAAAGGCAAUAAGCAUGAUUGAUUCUUUUGAGUCUAUGACUUUUCCUUCAUUAUCAUUGAAAAGGACUUUGUAUCCAUCAUCACACAAUUGGAUGAUAGAGGUGAGAUUGUUUUGAAGAUCUUUGACAUAGUAUACAUUCUUCAGUUUAAUUUUUAUACACUUUAUUGUGUCAAUACCUUUUAUAGUUCCUUCACUGUUAUAUCCAAAAGUAACAAUAGGACCAUCUUUCUCCACAUAGUCAUUAAAUAGAAACUUAAGACUAGUCAUACGUUUAGAACAUCCACUACCUAAGUACCAAGCAUGCUCCUAACCUAGACACAUGGAGGAGGAGUUCCAACUUUGCAACUUUAACAUCCUUGUAGCUUGAUAAAGGUCAGCGUCAACCGUACUAAGGCUGUUACUAUAGACUUCGUCAAUAUUGGCCAUAAGACCUUUAACCUUUUGUCCUUCAUCUUAUGAAGACUAUUCUUCUUCGACCUAUUUCUCGAUUCUUUAUUGAUUUGCAAUGAAGGCCUUUAGAAGUGAGAUGUUUUCAUUCUUCAUAUGUGCCAACAACUUCUUGUAUAGAACCUCAUAGUUUUUAGAACUUUGAGGUUCUUUCUUCUCUUUACAAUGCCUAUUAAAGUGAUCAGGACUUCCAUAAUUGAAGCAAUUUCCUAAAUUCUUUCUUUCAGAGCUACUCCUUUUAGCUGAACUGUUCACCUUGGGCUGAAAUCUUUUGGUUCCAUUUGACCUACUUUCUUCAUAACGUUUGACAAUAAGUGCAGCACUGACAACCAAUUAAUCAGGAGAAUCAUCAUCAUGCAUUUCGUCCUGGUCAGAUUUAUCAUAGUCGCUAACAACGCUGGCUUUUUCUUUCCAAGAGAAAAGAGCCAUAUAUUUUUCUUUGUUGGAGUCUCUCAUGAUAUCUUUUUGAAGAGUUUUAGUAUCUUCGUAGUUUCAUAGAUUUCCAAACAGAGAAUUGAGAUCCAUGGAGUUUAUCUUCUCUUUAUUUUUUAGAACAUUAGUGUGAUGUUCCCAGCUUCUCCCAAGAGAAUCCAAAAACUUCAGAACCAACUAGGAAGAAUGUUUGGUGAUGCCCAGCAUGUGCAUAUCAUUCACUAAAUAGUUAAACUUGUUAAAGGUUUGGGUUAGAGACCCACCUUGUUGAAAAAAAUGCUCGGCGACAGAUUAAAAUUAUUGAUGGUAGCUACUUGAACUUCCAUAGUUCCUUCGUAGGCCAUAGUCAGUGUCUCCGUUAUCUCUUGAACAGAAUCGCAGUUUUGAACUAGUUGUGUUUAUUAAAAGGAGGGAUUUUGUUUACUACAGAAGACUUUAGAUUAUAUGAGGAAGACAUGAUAACUUGAAUGUAUCGAAGAACCUGCUCUGAUACCAAUUAUAGGUUCGCUUGAUCUGAUACAAACAAGUAUAAACAAAGAGAAAGAUGAUAGAAAAACAAAAGAACAGACGAACAACGAUUACCACAAAGAUGGUUUUUCACUAAAAAAAGAGUUCUCACAAAGAGAACGGUGCACAAAGCAGUCACAAAGAUGAUCACAUAGAUGCAUUAGGGUUUAGCCCUAAUGCAUGACUAUAUACAAUUACAAUAAACAAAAAUCCAUUUAUUUUAGGGACUUAAUCUAAUCUGCGUAUAGUUUGAUCCUAAUCACUAAGAUUAUGGACCAGAUAUCUAUUAUACAAAUACAAAUAUAUCUAUAAUUACAAAGUAUCUAACCGACUAAUAUACAAAAGUAUCCAACUUUAUACAAAACUAUCACGAUGUCGUUGAUACUAUGUAGACGCUAACGCUAAUGCUAACGCUAACGUUGGUGCUGGUGGACAACGUGUGAAUUAUGUUUGACUCAUCAGAUCAUAAGGCGUGAUCUUACGAAAGCGGUGUCUAACAUCGUUAAUCCUUUUAUCGUUCCGUACAAUAGUAUGGUACGGAAUAUCCAGCUAUUCCGAGAUUAGUUUAUUGCUAAGAAUAAAAAACUAACUGAGCUUGAAAGGGAUAGUUCUAGUGUUCCCAUGGUUCUCGUGUAUGAAGUUGAGGCGUUAAAGACGUAGGUGGUGCUGUUGAGAGAUGAGAAAGAGAUUUUGAAUAGUAAACUUGCUCAAGGCCACCAUCAUGAGGAUGAGAUUUAGAUACUUCGUGAUCAGGUUACAUCUAUGAAGUUGGAAAAUGUUUGCUUAGUUGAUAAGAUUGCUAUGCUGGAGACUGCUAGUUGUAAACACUCGAGUGAGUUGGCUAAUGUAAAUUUGAGAAAUAUGGAUUUGAAGGCAAGUGUUGUUGGGUUAACCGAGCAAAUAUAUAAGUUUGAUGAUGUUAUGCAUCAGGUGUUAUAUGAAGGUAUUGGUGGGGUCUUUCUCGACCCAACAGAAAGAAGUCGAAGUAUUCAAGAUCUUUUCCUCCGAUUUUGCAAUGAUUAUAUUUAAUGUUUCGCUUCAUAUUUUAGUAGUUCAAAUUUAUAUUUGAUUGUUGAAAAUUCAGUGAUUAAAUACUUCAUAUUUUUAAUGUUUUGGUUCCUAUUUGCAAUGGUAUUGUAUGUUAAGUGAUUUUUUUGAAGAUUACUCUAGAGUUUUGAAAUAUAUUUAAAACGUUCUUUGAUGUAUUGAAUAAGUUGUAAUUAUAUAUUUGUAACCCUAAUAUAACCAAUAUAGCCAUAUAGAAAAUCCUAUAAUAAAAUUAACCAACCCAAUAUCAUAGCCUCAAGACUCAACCCACAACAUUGGCCCAAUUUAUUUGUUAGUUUAUUUGGUUUAACUUACAAUUAGAAAGAGAUAUAAUAUGAUUUGGUCCCCAAGAUGAAUAAUAUUUCAUGAUAAUCCAAAUUUAAAUCAGUUGUUAGAUGAAUAUAAAGAACGGGUUUUGAGAAUGUUUUCGUUUUAACAAAGAAUUGAAGUACCAUUCUUUGUAGUAUGCUUUGUGAACGAAAGAGAGUUUUAAACAUUCAUAAAUCAUAGUCUAAGCGAUUAAGGAUGGCAUCAAAUUUAUAUUUCGAGUUUUUUUUAGUUGUCAUGUUUGACAAACCAAAACUAGCUUACUGAGUUAGUUUUUUUUUUUUUUAAAAAAAACACAAAAAGUUUAGACUAGCUCUUGGGAAACAUUAAAAAAAAUCAAAUAUACCCUUAAUUAAUUAUAAAAACAUAUUAUUUUUAAUGUCUUUUAUAUUAUUUUAUAUUUUUCAAUUAGCUUAUCAACUAAUUCCAAAAAGGUUAUAUUUGCCAAUUAACUUUUCAGCUAAUACAUCGUCUACGUAUGAAAUCAAAAUUAUAUAUUACAUAUGAAAUCAAAAUUAUAUAUUUUUUCACAAAGAAAACAUUUUACAUUAUUUUUUUCUAACCCAUAGGAUUAUCCAACAAGGUUGAAAAUAAAGUUCUAUUUCGAUGCCCUGAUUGCACAUUCACACGUUUUACAAGGCCCACUAAAGAUAUUUUACGCCUCCUAAAUCCUAAUCUCUUAUACAUUUGAUCAAAAAUUGAUUUGUCAAUUCCUAUAUUCAUCACCCCAACUUGCGACUACAUACUAUUUAAUAUAAGGCAUUUUAAAUGUAUAAAUACUUAUAACAUCUAAUUUUUCAAAGUAAAAUACUCGAUUUUGAUGUCGACAAAAUGUCUCGAACCAAAUUGCAAAUGUUAGCUGUAAAUUAAUUAAAGAUAAUACUAGAAAAAUCAACCCUAACAAGACAAGAUAUUACUAUCAUAUUGUCAAUCAUUAUAAAAAUGUGAGGUAUCAGAUUCAAAGAUACUUGGAUACAUUCCCUCUAAAAAUGGGAAACCCCCUAAACAGGCAAAGACGAUAACUCUUCAGAUUUCCUAGUAUAGCCUAUUAGGCCCACUUUUUUUAUUUUUUAUUUAUUAUUUUUUUUUCAUUUUGAACUUUCACGACUUUCAAUAUUUGAAUUUUAAUCGUCGACAUAUUGUAUUUGGUUGUUUUCAGGGCUUUUAACAAAAAAAAUUCAUUUAGUACGGCACAUCAUUUCUUUCAAGAUUCUAAAUAACGUAAGGCGUGACUUGACAGCAAUAUCAAACCUCAAACUUUUCUGAUCCUUAGCGAGUCACGGUGUUUGUAAAGCGUAACUUAAGGCGGCAAUUUUCUAUAUAAUUAAUAUUUUUAUCUGUAUUUUCAACUAUUAUUCAUUUUUAUACACAUAUAUGAGUUAUUGCGGCGUUUUGGCAAAGCUUGGCGGCAGGUGCAAACCUUAGAGUGGUGACGCGCUAUGACGAGCUAUUUAAAACCUUGUUUCUACCUUACUUGCACGAAGAUCUAAUUAGUGCUAGGAGUGUGUAUGAAUGGUUAAUCGAACUGAAAUCAUAUUUCGAAAAGUUAAUCAAAACGAUCGGUUCAUUAGUUUCUUAAACCUAAAUUUAAACCCAAAAAAUUUGUUAACCGACUUUUGGUUAACCUAUUUUUCGAUACGGUUAUCAGGGUAACCUUUUAACUCUUUACAAAUUAAUAAAUAUGUAUUGAAACUAAAAAUACUAUAUUAAAAUUCAAAAUAAGUAUAAUCUUAAACAUACAAUUUUUGUGAGAGCCCAAAAAAAAUCAAACAAACAUUGCUAAAAAGAACUAAAAAGUAAACGUUAUAAAAAAUGUCAAUCGAAUCACAUAAUUAUCUACAAAUUUUGAAAAAAAUAUUAGAAUAUAAGAUAAAAAUAAUUGUUUUUAAAAUUCGACCUUUGUAUUACUUAAUAUUAAAAUUUUAACAUGAUUAUAAUAUAGUUAUAUAGAUGAUUUCUUAAUUUGAAUAUGUAUAAUAUGCUUUAAUGAGUACCUAGAUGUGUCCGUGUGCAAAGCGGCGACGAUAAAUAGCAUUUUUGACGAAUAAUUUUUUUGGUAAAAUAAUUGUUAGAUUUUAUUAUUAAUUAUUAUGUAAUAGAAAAUUACACAUUUUAAACAAAAUAGUUAUAUUUUUACCUUAUGUUUAUAUUGCAUGUUUAUACUAUUGAUGUAAAUUAAUUAUUAUUAGUGUUUAGUUUAAGAAAAGUAAAUUAACUUAUAUACAUGAAUUUAAUAUUUUAAAAUUUUUAUUUUGCUCCAAAUUGAAUUUUUUAAUUACUUUCGUUAAUAAUCUUCAAACUUUUUGGCAAGUAUUAAUGAAUUGUAUAUACAUAAUUGAUAUGUACGAAAUCUUUGUAACUUAUACUUCUUAAAAUUUAAGAUACGACUAAAUAUGUUUUAUAAUAUAGUAUAAGAUAUUUUAUUCACUGAUUACGUGUCUAUUUUUCCAUAAAGAGUCGAAGAGCAACUUGAUAUCAUGUUACUUGGGAUAAAAACAAUGAAGAUAUAAAUGGUGACCGUCAAAUAACAAGAUAAUUAUUAAUAAAUAAUAUAUUAAUAUUAAUUUGAUUCUUUGAGAAUAUAAUAAUUCAAAAUUUCGGUUUUCCGGUUAAUCGACUGUGGCAAAAAAACAUGAACCCAAUAGUCGUCGUGGCUAUGUGCAGGCGGUGCAGUCACACAUGGCUUCAGAUGUUAGGUAGGGAUAAACAUCGAAACCGGGUACCCGUUUUUGGAACCGGAACCGCCUCAGAACUGUCGGUUUUGGAACUGAACCGCCUAAGACGAUUUCGGUUCUUGUUCCUAAAGUUAUGGAACUGUCUUAAGCGGUUCCAGUUCCAGUUCUCAUUUUUUUAGAACCGCUACCCGCUGGGUACCCAACCGGAACCGGUUUAUAUAUANNNNNUUUUUUAUUUUUUCUAUAUAAUUUUUUUCUCUCUCUCUCUCUCUCUCUCUAUAUAUAUAUAUAUAUAUAUAUAUAUAUAUAUAUCUGUGUGUGUGUGUUACUUAGACCGCUUAAGAAUAUAUUGUCCGAUUUUGUCCGUCUUUAGUUCGAAUUGAUUUGAUUUGGAUCGAACUAAAUUGCGGUUUUAUCGACAAAAGUUAACAAAAUUAAUUUAACUGGGUUACCCGCUCCAGGAACCAGAACCGCCAGUUCCGGGACUGGUUCCAAACUUUUAAGAACUGCCUAGAGCAGUUUCGGUUUCGGUUCUAACUUUCUAGGAGCCGCCGGUUUCGGUUCCGGUUCCGGUUCUCGUCAAAUGAGGCGGGUAACCGCCUACACUCAUCCCUAAUGUUAGGGGCCUCCGAAAUUUGGGACAAAUAUAUGUAUACAUUUUUAUGUGUUAUCAUUAUAGAAAAUUAUCUAUGUGUGUUACUUAUAUUCACAAUGUAACAUUUGGUCACAAUCUUGAACUCAUUUUACUUAGGAAAGAAAUCAAAGAAAAUAAAAAAAUAAAAUAAAAAAUCUAAUCAUAAGUUCUAAAGUUUAUCACAAAUUUAAGGAAAGUAUAUAUAUCUAAAGAUAAAUACAUAUUUGUUUCUAAUAUAAAUUUUAGAAAACGAUUUCAUAUUUAAUAAAAGACAUUUCUCUCUAAGAGAGUCUCAAUUACUUGUCUUAUUUUAAUAGUAAAAGUUAUAUAUAAAGUUGUUAAUGAACAAACAUAUAUAAUUAAAGAUCAAAAGUGAAGCUACUUGGCUAAUAGAGCGAGAACUUGAGAAAUUUGUCUUUAUAAUUGGUAUGGUUAUAUGGUAUCAUAUAUUGGUUAAAGUAAACAACCCGAGCAAACAAAUUCAAUCUGAAAACUAUAUGUAUUGAUGAGACAAAGAGUAGCAUGGGAGCAUUUGUUUAGUUUUUAACGACUAUUGAGAGAAUGAGUUUGACAAGGUUUGGGAGUGUGCGAGAGCUACAACUUCUCAUUGAGGAAUUUAUACGGUGUUUUUUGAAUAAAAAUAAAAUAAAAGAACAAUUAUAUAUAUAUAUAUAUAUAUAUAUUUUGACGAGAGUGAUGUUGGAUCAUCAAACCGAUACAUGAACUUUCACCUCAUGAUUCGUUCAAGAUUCAAUAUUUUAUGUACAUAGUUGAUCAAACUAUUGGUUCAUCAGAAGAAAUGUUUGAACAAUAUAAAUAAUAUGAAGAUACUUUUGAUUUCUUAUUCGCAAUAGAAAGUUGUAGUCACUGAAUACUAGUGAGUCAAAGGAAAGUUGCAAAAAUAUUGAAAAAAUGUUGCAAAGUGGUCAUAUCUGACACAUCAAUGUUGAUGGUUUAUCUAACAAACUUUAAUUGUUACAAAAAUAUUUAUCACUUGAACAUAUCCAUUUUCUUGUUUAUUAUAAAAAAAUAUUGUUUAUUGAUCUCAUUAUUUUUGCACGAACCGAAAAAUGUUUGUCAAAACUAAAGUUUUUAAAAUCUUAUUUGUGUUAAACCAUAUCUCAAAAGAGAUUAAAAGUUGUGGCUUAAUUUCAAUUGAGAACAAAUUUCCUGAUAAUAUUAAUUAUGAAAGUGUAAUAGAUUAAUUUUUCUUAUAAAAAUACUAGAAGAUCAAUGUUUAGAAAGUAGCAACACUAGUUUAAUAGGUGAAUCGUAACUAAACCGAAAAACCGAAAAUUUUAACGGGCUCAGUUAAUCAAACCAAAAAAAUAAAAAUAAAAAAAUCGGUUUGGUUAACCUAAAAAUCGGUAUGCUUUUUUGGUUUCUCAUAUGUUAAACACCCCUAGUUAGUGUCACAUAGGCUAAGGAUGCCUUAUUGUAGAAGGUAAAACCGGCUAAAGGACAAAUAUAAAUAAAUCUUCCUAAAUAUUAUCGACAUUAACGCACUAAAAAUUGUUGCCGGGACAAAACCAACAAAACUUACCAAACUUAAAAUCUUUUACGUCAAAAACACUAACUUUUUAAUAAUUAUUAACUAAUGAUUUUAGAUAAAAAAAACUAUAAAAUACGAUAGGUUUUUUUGGUGCUUAAAUGAUUUUAGAUAAGAACUAUAAAAUACAAUAGGUUUUUUGGUGCUUCAAUUACCAUCUAUUCUUACACUAGGUGUGAGACUCGUGUAUUACACGAGUUGAUUAAAAAAGUUAAAUAUAAGGUAUAGACAUUAAAUAGUUUCUAAAAUAAAAUUUUGAAAAAAUAUAAAUGAAAUGAUGAAUAAGUAAUUCAAUUUAUACUAAUAAAAAAAUUAUUAUCAUGUUUUAAAAAAUCAUGCUAAAUAUGAAUAUGUAAAAAUUAAGUAUUUUUUAAAGUAAGCUUUCGAAAUAAAUACAAUAAACCACAACGGUCAUUUAUGUAAUUUGUCUUAAUUAAUAUAUACUAAUAAAACUAAUUAAUAUAAAAUCAUGAAUGAAAUUCAUUAAUAUAUUAAUGAGUUUAUGUCAUUUUUGGUCACUUAACUUUUGGUUUUUUAUUCAUUUGGUCACUUAACUCUUUUUAAGUUUUAAAAGGUCAUCAAACUUUUGAUUUUGUGCUAAUUUAGUCACUUAACUUUUGGUUUGGUCACUUAACUUUUAGAUUUUUUCUCAUUUAGUCACAUAACUUUUAAAAUUGUGUUCAUUUAGUCACUAAACUUUUGAAAAAAUUUAAAAGUUUAGUGACUAAAUGAGCACAAUUUUAAAAGUUAAGUGACUAAAUGUGACCAAACCAAAAAUUAAGUGACUAAAUGAGCACAAAGGCAAAAGUUUGAUGACCUUUUAAAACUUAAAAAUAGUUAAGUGACCAAAUGAGCACAAAACCAAAAGUUAAGUGACCAAAAAUGACCUAAACCCUAUAUUAAUAGAAAUAAGAAUUCACAAAUGGAAGGUUUAUUAUGUACAUUAAUUCACAUUAAUUUAAUUACUAUGAGGUGACAUUUAAUAGGUGAAAUUGAAUAAAAAUAAAAAAAAUACAAAAAUGACAAGUGGAAAAAAAUAAUUUUAAAAUUCUAAGAAAAUGACAUGUGUCAAAUUCAAUAAAAAGUUGACAUUUGGCAAAAUUAUCUUUAUUUAUUAUGGUAGAAGAUUAAUAGAAAUAAGAAUUCACAAAUGGAAGGUUUACUAUAUACAUUAAUUCACAUUAAGUACUAUGAGGUGACAUUUAAUAGGUGAAAAUUGAAAAAAAAAAUAAAAAAAAUACAAAAAUCACAAUUGGAAAAAAAAUAAUUUUAAAAUUCUAAGAAAAUAACAUGUGUCAAAUUCAAUAAGAAGUUAACAUUUAGCGAAAUUAUCUUUAUUUAUUAGGGUAUACGUUAUGAUAGGUUUUCUAACAUGGUUGUGAAUAAAUUAAGAUUUCGAAAAAGUCCUAAAAUUUUACUUUAGUUGACGAAAAAACCGUAAACUAAAAUUUGUUUACGAAAAAGCACGGAUUACCAUUAAAAAUGACGAUUUGACCAAUUUUUCUUGAUUUACCGAUUUCAUUACUUACAUAUUUCAUUAAAGCCCCAUUAUUUUACCCUAAUUUACAAGUAAGUCCCAAACUAAAAUGUUGUGAUGAUUUGACCCUUUUCUCCAUGUUAUAUAUUUUAUCGGUUUCAUUGUUGACUUGGACACCUAGUCAUUAAAUUAGCUUAUACGAUGAAUACAAUGAGUUAUAUAAUAUAACAUUUACUAUAAAAUGUGUUUCCAAAAAAAACAGCAGCAAAUGAGUUGAUGUCUGAUGAGAUGGAUGUAUUAGGCUACAUAAGUUUAUAUAGAUGAUUUGAAUUUUUUAUAAACAUAAAAAUUGUUAUAAAAUAUGAUCAAAUAAUAAGAUAAGUUAUAGAGUAAAAAUAUGAUCAAAUAACAAGAUAAGUUAUAGAGUAAAGAAAGACAUGAGAGUAGAGAGAAUUUUUAUUCCAAUACUUGUGAUGAAAUCAUCAAACUUUACAAUACAUAAUAUUCACUAUUUAUACUAGACAAAGAAGAUGAAAGAUGAUGUAUGAUAUGAAUGCUCAUUAUAGUGGUGCAUAACUACACUCAUAAAACACAUAAUAAUGUUUGCUAUAAUGUUCACUAAUUAUGGAGAGUAAUGGGGGAAUAUGGAGAAUCCAAUAGUCAUUCACUAAAUGAUAAUUCAUAACACUCCCCCUUGAAUGACGAUUGUAUCAUGCCUCGUUAAAACCUUAAUCGGUAAAACCUCAUGGGAAAAACCCUUUAUUAAGGAAACAGAGUACAUGAUUAAUAAUAGAUAUGGGAAAUAAUUGCCUCGUUAAAAACCUUGCUAAGAAAACCCAGUGGGAAAAACAUAGCUAAGGAAAAUAGUACAAUAUGUUUCCAACUCCCCCUGAUUAGCACAUCACUUGAUUCUCUUGAAGCACCGCAUAACAAUGUUUCGUACCAUCUUUUCAAUUAAUGUAGGAAGUGCUUUAGUAAACCAAUCAGGAAAGUUGUUACUGGAUUGAAUUUUCUAGAUGUUGAUGCCACACUCUUUUUGAAGAUCAAGAGUGAAAAAAAAACUUUGGUCAUAUAUGCUUGGUUCUGUCUCCUUUUAUAAAUCAUUCCUUGAAUGGAGCUAUACAAGUUGUAUUAUCUUCAUAUAGUAUGGUUGGAACAUCCUUGUUAGAAGUUAGACCACAAUUCUUGCAAAUAUGUUGAGUUAAAAUUCUUAACCAAAUACAUUCAUGACUUGCCUUAUAAAUUGACAUAAUCUCUGCAUGGUUAGAAUAAGUAGCAACUAAAGUUUGUUUAACAAAAUGACAAGAAUUUACGUUACCUCCGCAAGUGAAUAAAUAACCUUUUUGUGUGGAUCAGAUAAAUAUCCAGCAUAUGCAUAACUAAUUAACUUCGCAUUUUAAGAAUUUGAUUAGUAUAAAUUCAUAUCCAUUGUACCUCAAAGAUAUCAAAGAAUGUGUUUGACUUUAUUACAUUAUCUUCUUGUUGGACAACAACAAUAUCUUGCUAAUAAGUUUACGACAAAAUAUUUAUCAAGUCUUGUAUUAAUAUUAAGAUAUAUUAGUGCACCAAUAGCACUAAGAUAUAGUUCUUCUAGAACAAGAAGUUUUUCAUGUUUUUUAUGAUGCUGAAAUUGAUCCUUUUUGGCAUCUAAGUGCCUUACCACCUUUGGGUUACUCAUGGAUGUGAGUUAUUCAUAUAAAACCUUUUCAGCACCUUUUCUAGAUAUUAAUGUACAAAAACUCCAUUUUUUGUGUGCUUAAUUUGAAGACCCAAAUAGAAUUUCAUCUUACCAAGAUCAUUCAUUUCAAAAAUUUCUUUCAAACAGGAAGUGACCUUUUCCAAUUCUCUAGGAGUUCAAAUUAUGUUCAAAUCUUCUACAAUAGCAUCAAUUAUGAUAAACUCUUAUCUGCAUCUUUUUAUGAAUACACAUCGGCUUAAUGGAUCAUUUUUAUAGCACUUUUUCAACCGAAAUGUACUAAAACAGUUGAAGCACAUACGGCCAAAUUGUUUCAAUCUAUAUAAAGAUUUAUUUAAUUUUACUAAAUAUACUUCACGAGAAUUAGAAGUUUGUGCUUCUAGCACCUUAAACACUUCUGAGAUUUUCAUAUAAAUAUCAUUUUCAAGUGAACCAUAUAAAUAAGCGGUAAAAUACAUCCAUUAGACACAUCUCCAGUUUUGCAUAUGUUGUUAAACUUAUAAAAUAACUGAAUGUAAUUGCAUCAACUACAGGAGAAUACGUUUCUUCAUAAUCAAUUUCGGGCCUUUGGGUAAAACCUUGUGCAACAAGUAUUGCUUUAUAUCUCACAACUUCAUUUUUUCUAGUUUCUUUUGCACACAAAUACCCAUUUGUGUCCCACUGUUCUUACUAUGUUUGGUGUAUAGACUACAGGCCCAAAAACUUUUCAUUGGGUAAGACAAUUAAGCUCUUUAUUUAUUUCAUCUUUCCAUUUUGGCCAAUAUUUUCUAUUCAUACAUUUCUCAGUAGAUUUAGGUUCAAGAUCCUCAUUUUCUUUAUAAUCGCGCGCGGAACAUAAUAUGAAAAAUUAUCGUCGACUUAUGUCUUAUGUUGGUUCCAUCUUAUUUCUAUGAUGACAUAAUUUAUUUAGAUCUCAUCAUUUUCAUUUUUUUCAGGUACCUUAUAUUCUUUUGUUAUGUCAUUGGGCUCUUCUAGAGCUUCAUUAAUCUUUUCAAGAGAUUUUGUUUUCUCUUUUGGACCAUCAAUUGUAUUUGCUCCAUUUCAUUUUCGAGGAUUUUUAUCUUUGGAACCGGCUGAUCUUCCACGCUUCAGGCGUGCCUAAGAUUCAUUUGUAGUUGUAUUUUUUUUCUUGUAGGAUAUAAAAUCUAACUGGAGUAUGUAUAACUGGUACAUGAGACUUUGUUACUCACUUAGGGUCAGUAAAUGCUUCUGGCAAUUGAUUUGCUACAUUUUGUAAAGGAAUUAUCUUUUUUAUUUCAAGUUCACAUUGACUUGAACGAGGAUCUAAAACUGAAAGUGAUAAUUCCUUUCAAGAAAUUUUAUUUUCCAGCUUCUUUAUUUCUCCCCCUAAUGUUGGAAAAUAUGAUUCAUCAAAAUAUUAAUCAUCAAAUAUAGCUGUAAAUAAAUCUUUAGUUGAUGAUUUUAAAUAUUUUACUAUAGAUGGAGAUUCAUAACCAACAUAAAUUCUCAUUCUUCUCGAGGACCCAUUUUUGUGAAGUGAGGUGGAGAAAUGGGUACAUAAAUUGUACAUCCAAACAUCCUUGGAUGGUAAAUAUUUGGUUCCUGACCGCAAACCAGCUGAAUAGGGGAGAACUCAUGAUAACUAAUUGGCAUUAUGCAUAUAAGUGAUGUUGCAUGUAAAAUUUCAUGCCCUUAUGUUGAUUAGAAAGUUUAUAAUGCAUUAGUAAUGGUCUUGCAAUUAAUUAAAGAUGUUUGAUUAAUUAAUCAAUUAGACCAUUUUGCGUACGAACAUGUGUAACAGGAUGUUCAAUCCAAUCGACAUGUAAUAAUCGUUAAUAGUAUGCAAUGAAAAUUUUGCAACAUUGUCAAGUCGAAUUAUCUUAAUUGGGUAAUCACGGAAAUGUGCCCUUGGGCUGAUUAUUUAUGCAAGUAAUAUUGUAAAAACCAAAUUACAGCUAGACAACAAGCACACAUGUGACCAUCUAGUUGACUCAUCAAUUAAAACCAUAAAAUAUCUAAAUGGUCCACAUGGUGUUGGAUGAAUUAGUCCAUAUAUAUCCUCUUGAAUUCUUUGUAAGAAACUAAGACUUUCAUACCCAACUUUGUUCAAUGAUGGACUGGAAAUUAAUUUUCCUUAAGAGCAUGCAACACAAUUCAUUAUCUUGAAAAAUCUUCUGGUUUUUCAAGGAAUGACCACUUGAAGUUUCAUUUAUUCUAUAUACCAUAAUUGAUCCGGGAUGGCCCAACCGGUCAUGCCAAACUAUAAAGGUAAUAUCAUACCGUUUUUAUUUUCAAUAACAUGAAUCAUUGUAAUAUUUUCAGUAGCAUGAAUCAUUGUAAUAUUUAUAUAGUACAAUCCGGAGGACAAUACAUGUAAUUUUUCCAAAAAACUUUUCUUAUCCGAUAUCAUUUUUGUAAUGUUGAGAUAAUUUCUAUUACCAUCAUUAGUUGUUUCAAUAGGAUAUCCGUUAGACCGAAUAUCCUUAAAACUUAAUAAUUUUCUUGGUGAUUUUAAUAAAAAUAAUGCAUCACUAAUUGUAAUUAUUGUCACUUAUGGUAAUAUUAUAUUUGCUCUUCUGGAGCCUUUAAUCAUUUUUGUAUUACCUGUUAUUAUAUUAACAUUUACUUCUCUAAUUGAUAAGUAAGCAGAAUGUUAUUGCAUUGUCUGCAAAAAAUAUAUAUUCCUUAUUUCUUUUGCGAAUAUUCAUAUUUCUUUUCAAUAAAUAAAUAAAACAUAAGAAACAUUCGACAUAUGACAUAAAAACAUAAUAAAUAUCAUGAAACAUAACUACACAAUAUUCUUCAAUCACCAUCCAUAUCAUCACUUGUCCCUUCUGGGUAGACAAGAAAAUCGGCAACAUCCAAAUGUGUCAUUUCAGGUUGAUCUUCAUGAAUAUCACUUUGAAUAAAAUUUGUUUUGAUAUAUUAUUUUUCUUUAGAUUUUAGAGAAGUUUGAUAAAGAUCAACAAAAUGCUUUGGUAAGUGGCAUGUACAAGACCAAUGAAUGAUUGUUCCACAUCAGUGACAAACAUUUUCAAUUUUUUUUCCUUGACCAAUUCUAUCAUUAGGAUGUGGAUUUUUGCUAUGUUCCAACUUCUGGUGGUUGCUUGUAAUCUUGUUAUUUUUUAUGAUAAUAACCUCCACGACCUCGAUUAUACCCAUGACUAUUAUGAUUAUAUGAUAUUGCAUUCACUUCAGGGAAUGCACUAGAACCGGACGAGAUUGGUUGAUGAUUUUUCAUCAAUAGUUCAUAGUUUUAUUCAGCCACAAGAAGAAAUGAGAUUAAUUCAUAAUAUAUUCUUUUUAAAUCUUUCUUACGAUAUUGCUGCUGCAGGAGCAUGUUGGUGGCAUGGAAAGUAGAGAAAAUUUUCUCUAGCAUAACAUAGUUUUUCAUAGUGAAAAUACUAAUCAAAAUAAAGACUUAUAUGCUCAAGAAUGGUUAGUUAAUAAAUUUCAGAAAAUAAUGUGUAAACAUUGUACAUGUAAACUUAUAAAAAAUACAUACCUGAAAAUAAUAAGAGCGAUAAAGAGUUAGAGCUUUAUGGUAGAGUCGUGCUGAUAACGUGUUAUAAAAUAUGAUCAAAUAACAAGAUAAGUUAUAGAGUAAAGAAAGACAUGAGAGUAGAGAGAAUUUUUAUUCCAAUACUUGUGAUGAAAUCAUCAAACUUUAUAAUACAUAAUAUUCACUAUUUAUACUAGACAAAGAAGAUGAAAGGUGAUGUAUGAUAUGAAUGCUCAUUAUAGUGGUGCAUAACUACACUCAUAAAACACAUAAUAAUGUUUGCUAUAAUGUUCACUAAUUAUGGAGAGUAAUGGGGGAAUAUGGAGAAUCCAAUAGUCAUUCACUAAAUAAUAAUUCAUAACAAAAAUGACGUAGUUGUUGCUAGUUUAUAUAAUUAUUGUAGGCUUCGUUGGACGCAUUUUAUAUUCUAGCAAAUAUACAAUGUAUCAGGAUAUCAAGUUUUAUAGCAAACAUAACAUUAUAUAACCUAAUAUAUCCAUCUCAUCAGUUCAUUUAAUAACUAGGUAUCCAGGUUAACAAUGAAAUUGAUAAAAUAUAUGUUACAUGGAGAAAAUGAUCAAAUCAUCACUAAAUUAUAAUUUGUGAUUUAUUCGUAAAUUAUGACAAAGUAACUGGACUUUAAUGAAACCAGAUAAUUAAUGAAACCGUUAAACCGGAAAAAAUGGAUCAAAUCGUCAUUUUACUUGUAAUUCAUGCUUUAUCGUAAAAAAAACAAUUAGUUUGUGAUUUUUUCGUAAAUUAUGAUUUUUUUGAAGAUUUCUCAAUUAGUUAUUCCUUCAUAAAAAUAUAAUAUAGUGAUUUGCAGAAAUUAAUAAUAACUUAUUGUUAGCUAUUUGACUACUCGUCUGAUAUUUCUACGAAUAAAUUGUGGUCGAUAGUUUUGCUUACUUCCCAUGCAGUUGUUUGUCAUCACCACGUGCCCACUUGAGUGAAAACCAGAACGCUGUCUUGAUUGACAAUUAAUUGGGUUUGUACGUACUUCAUAACACAGCCAAAACAAAUAACUAUAUGAAAUCAAUGACUUUUUUUAUUUUAUAUAUUUCUUCUUGUCAAAUGUACUCUCUCUAUCAAUCACAUAGACACCCACCUCCCCCAGGGCGACGCUAAAGCUAAAACAAAAUGGCCACUUGAUCCACCAAAAAUAUAAAAAAUAAUAAUAGUUAUAUAUAAAACUUGACCGUCAUAAAAUAAAAAAUAACAAUAGUUAUAUAGAAAAGUAAUUUAUGACUUAACUUAAAUAUUUAAAAAGACAUACAUUAAUGUUUGUGGCAAGAAAAAUAUAUACAAAAAUCAAACUUCCUAAAGCCCGUUUUUAUAUUGCAAUACCCCAAAAUCUCAAAUGCCCAAUUUAUUUAAAAUAUAAUCUGAUAAAAAAAAAGCACAAUACAACUAAAACUAAAUAAAAAAAAUAAAAAUAAAAAUUUAACACAAAAUGUGAUUUAUUGGUAAGUCUAAUAAUAUCCUCAUCUAGUCGUCUCUCCCGAAUUAUUUAUUAGUAAGUCUAUUCGUAUCCCUUAGUUAUUAGUUGUACCUUUGAUUUGAUAGUUUGUUAUUUGUUAGUUUAUUUUUUUUUUAUUAAUUUUGAUAUAUUUUUAUUUUGUUUUGUUAUUAUUAUUAUUAUUGCACGGAUGGUCCAUGUGAGUUGACGAAGUUUUUUAUUUUUACUUUUAUUUUUCUUUUAAACGGUAAUAUAUUAUAUUCAUUGCGAAAUUUGAACCCUCAACCUCAAGAAAAAACGACAACACUGAAUACCACUGGGUAGAAACUCUUUGAUUCUAUUUAAAUUAUAGUAAUCUUACAUCCUUAUUGAUGCAUUGUCGGAGAACCAACUAAUCCACUAUCUACAAUUUAUAUUGUUUUCUAUUAGGUGUGAGAUCCGUGUAUUACACGUGUUUAUAAAAAAAAUUAAUAUAAAAUUAUAAGCAUUACAUAUUUUUUAAAGUAAUAAUUUUACAUAAAUACAAAGAAUAUAAUAAAUAAAGUAAAUAAUAAAGGUUGUAAAACAUUUAUUAUGAAAUUUAAUAAAAUAAUCUACUUUACAUAUAUAAAUCUCAUUAAAAUGUGAAUUUUAAAUUUAAGAAAAAUGAAAAUUUUAAGAAAAUGACAAGUGGAAAACAAAUAAUUCAAAAACUCUUAGAAAAUGACAUCUGUGAAAUUUAAUGAGAACAUGACAUUUGACAAAAGUGAUUUUCAUUUAUUAGGUUGGAUUAGAUAUCUCUCACGUUUAACUACCAAUCACUUGUUGAAUAUUAAUGACAAUUAUAAACAAUAAGUGCAGCAGAAACAAUAAUUAAUCAUCCACUAAAAUCAGUGGCGAAUCUAGAACAAAAUAUCACAUGGUUCCCAAAUUAAGUUAAGCCCAUAAAAAAAUCAACAACACUUGUGAGGGGUCGGGUCGGGCCGUGCACGAUUUAAUGAAAUAUAACUGAAAAAACCGAUCAACCACCAUCAAUUAAAAUUAAAAAAAUGACCGAUUGAAAUAUAAUUGAAAAUAUCGAGCAAUUUAAUGAAAAAUUAGUUGAUUAUUAAUGCAUUGAUACCUUAUUGUUUGAUAAAAACUAUAUAUUAUAUGUAACACUAUAUAUUUAACAGCACAAAUGUCCCAUAUAACUUAUUUUUUGCCCCUUUUAAAAUGGUUUUUUAAGACAUUUUUUAGAAAAACAAAUUCAUGGUAGUUCAUUUAUUUUUUCUAAAGUAGUUCUUAAUUUUUGUGACAUAUAUAUUAUAAAUGAAAUCGAAAUUUUAGGUAGAUCCUAUGACCUACCUUCUUAUAUGUUAGAUAUGCCCUUUACUAAAAUUGAAUCGAGGAUCACAAAACUUACAACUACAAGAAACAAACAUAAUAACAUAGUGGAAAAAAGAUUUACCUCUUGAAGACUCGGGUCUCGGAGAAGGAUAAAACACUAUAUAAUUAUCCAAAUCGUCUACAGCAUCCAACAACCGCCACUGCUGUAUCAGAUUUGAUCUGACAAAAGAAACUAUUGAAAAAUCUCUCAACAGAAACUUAUAUCUAUUUAGAAAUAGCUACAUGAUUUGAUAUGUCUUAUGGGCUAACACUUAACGGGAAAUACGAUGAUUAACAUUGUCUGCUUAUAAAAUUAAUGGUAACACUAUAUGUGUUUGCAAUAAGAAAAACAAUGUUUGAUAUAACAAGCCAAUGUCCGGUUACCGUAAAAUCAAAUACACCAUAACUCAAUGAGUGAUUUUUGUUGAUGAAAUAGUCUUCAUAAAUCAAUACGUAUUCUUGGUGUGCGAUAACAAUUUGUUAUAUAAAUUCGACCAAAUUUGAUGAUAUGAUGAUGAUGAUAAUAAAAAAGACACCAAUGUUGGAGUAAUCCACGGUUAUAAUCUGGGCAUUGUCGAUUUAUACUAACUUUACUAACAUAAUUAUACUAACUUCUAAAUAUUAAUUAUUAACUAGUUGUUUAAAAUAAAUGAAGACAAUAAGUAGUAAGAGAAUAUAAUAAAUAAAAUUAAAUAUGAUACAAUUUAAAAGUUGAUUUGAUAGAACUAUUAGAAUAGUAUUAAUCUGUUAAGAGGUAAAACUAAAAAUAAAUCUAUAAACAUUAGCACCAUUAUUUGUAUUGUUAGUUUGUUUUUUAUUAUUUGAUAUAAAAUUAUAUAUAUAUAUAUAUGCGAAGAAGUUAGGAACAAUAUACUUUACCCUUAUUUGAAUUUGGCCACAUAACUUUUAAAGCAGGGCACAAUAGUAUACUUUAGCCAGGUAUUGUAACGUACCAAAACUAAAAAUAAAUAUUUUUUGUUUUUAUAAUAAAUAAACCAUCAACCAAACAUGUGUGUCAAAACCAUAAAGUAUUCAGAGAGCAGCCAUAAACAUCCCAAAAGUACAUCGUAGUCAAAUAAAUGAAAAAUCAUGGUGUGUGCAAUGCGAUCAUCCUGAGCUCUUCCCCUUCGAAUCGGAAGUAACUGAAGCAUAAACUGAAAAACAAAGCUUAGUGAGUUCCCCAAAAUACCGCAUAGCAUACAUAUACGUCAACUCAAGGUUGUACAACGUCUAUUUCACUCCCAAGUCUAUUUCACUCCCGAGUCUAUUUCAACUCAUAUGUCAGCUCAAGGCUGUAUCGGGUAUAUUUUACCCCCAAGUCUAUUUCAACUCAUAUGACAGCACAAGGUUGUAUCGGGUCUAUUUCACCCCCGAGUCUAUUUCAACUCAUAUGACAACACUAGGCCGUAUCGGGUAUAUUUCACCCCCGGGUCUAUUUCACCCUAUAUACAUAUAGCAAACAGGCACACAGGUAUACAACACAUACAACAGGAGUCACAAAGACUACACGUCUUAGUGUCCUACAGUAUAGUGAAUGAUGUGUGUUUAACCAACUAGUUUUAUUCCUACUUCCAAAUUAUAAAUUAAUCACACAAAAGGCAGUGGACCUGUAAAUUGGUGGUAUAGAUCUAGUAAGCAGGGUAUCGAACUCAGGGAAUGGCAAUUAAACUAAUUCCUAAAAUUAUCUAAAAACAAAAUAACAAAUAAUAGUAAAGAGGGUUUUACUAGUUUUACAAGACUAGAAACUUACUAACGAUUAAACUAAUAACUAAAUAACAACUAAGCAAGCAAAGACCAGCUAAAUUCAAUAUCUAAAGGGACUUCUGUUUAGGUUCGACUCAAUUGAUCCUAUGGUUGAUUUAAUGGUAAUAGUACAAUGGGUUAACCUUUUAUUGGCUACCGAUUCAGGUGAUUAGAUUCACAUUCGCUAUGCUAAUCCUUAGAAAAUAAACUAAUUCAAGCAGUGGCCAGUUGUCUAAAUUAAUUAAUUCUCUAGGUUAUUUAUUCGGGUUAAAUAAGACUUGUAAUGGUUAAUCAAAUUGGUGAUUCAAUUAGCCUCUUGUUGUUGGUUUAUCAAACAAGCUCACACAUUGACUUACCUAUUCUCUAAUUAAUCCUAGUUUCAUAUUCACUAAUCCUAGGCAUAUAAUAAAGUGUUCACAUAAAUCAUAUGAGGUAAACAAUUAAGAGAUGUUCAUGCAGCCUAAUUGCCUUCCUAUUAAUAAGAAAUAGUUAUGGUUAAUGCAUACGGAUCUUUAACAAGCUUAAUUCAACAAAAUCACCGAUUAAAAGUUAAUCCUACCAUUAAUCAAACCAUAGUCUCAAAAUUGUCUUACCCAAACAGAAGCUAGCAAGUUUAGCUCAUGAUUAAAACAGUAGAAAACUCAAAAACGAAAUUCAAUAACAUAAACAUGGUUUAAGUACUAGAUCUAGUUAAGAGAAAUCAAAGUAUGCCUUAAUUAUCCUUCAAAACUUGAAUUGGGUUGAAUCUUCACUCUUCUAGAUGUCUCUUUUCGCUCUGAAUCCCAACUCCUUCUCCUAGGGUUCUCAGAAGUCCCGUCUAUCGAUUUGGAGGGUUUCUUUUAUAGAUUCGACUUGAAUCGUCGAGUCCACAACCGACUCGUCGAGUCCCUCAUUAAAUCCCCGUGUACCGCAAGUCAAAGACUCUCCUGCUUCGCAAAUCUUCUUGGGAACUCGUCGAGUAGACGUCCCUACUCGCCGAGUCCUUGGUGUUUUUGGCAUUUUUCUUCCUUUGUUCAUUCCAAAGCUUCCCGAUAGCCACUCCUGCUUCCGAGCACUUCUUUUAGACUGAAAAUAUAAUUCAAACAUAAUUAAGUACCUUUUGUCCAUAAUAUGCAAUUAAUUAGCUAAUAAAUGAUAUAAAUACAUACUAAAUAUAGGGCUAAACAUGCACAUAUCAAAAUAUCCCACACUUGAAUUUUGCUUGCCACCAAGCAAAACUGAAUUUUAAACAUACUAGCAUCACAUAAGACAACCCCAAUCGGACCCAACCAUUAUGCCAAGACCGCAACGCAUGCAUUUGUGUCUAAUUUUUUCCUAAGGACCCCCUUAAUUCUAAAUACUCACAAUCCUCAUAAACACUCACCCACUUUUUCCGAACAAUGCUCAUUUUAUGCAUCCCUCUGAAUCCAUCCGCAUAAAAUCUUUUAACCUCAAGGUAUUUUUGGUUGAGCAACUUAAGCACACAUAAUCUAGAAAAUUACAAUUUUUCGAUACCAAUAUGGAGCUAUUUGGAAUUCUUCAAUUCUUUGAUAAUUUGUCUUUCAUUUCUCUGAAUUCACCACCUUCUUUAAUUUUUGGAAUCUUCAACUUUGAUCUUUCUUAGAAUUUUGAUCUUUUGAUCUUCACUUUGAUUGCUCCAACAUUUAACUCACUUUUUUUCACUAAAUACCUACAUGAUUAAGCAGAGGCGCUCAACUUCAACAUUUAUUGGUUAAGGAUAAUAAUUUUCCUGGAUACAUUUCAAGUACACUAUGCUAAACAUAUUGCAUCCCUCAAACUAAACGAGGUUGUGUUUUUGUCCCAUGAUUUCACUAGAAUAAGGGAGGCCACAAAUGCAUUAUAACGUGCAUAAGCUCGAAUAAACAUUUGGGUCUUCAUCCAAUCAUCAAACAUAACACUAGCAUGAUUCCUAAUUGCUUUUUUUUACCAAGGUUUUCUAAUUUAGCCCUAGCAAUUUCAUGCAAAAAUUUCAAAAUUUUCAAAAUUUAACUAAAAUUUUAACUAAUGCAACCAACCCCCUACCCCACACUUAAUUUAUGCAAUGUCCCCAUUACAUACUAUGCAUGAUAAAGAAAAUAAAGUAAAAAAGGAAUGAGAACAAACUCUCUUGGGAUAGUAGUUGCAAGGUUGAUCUUCUUCAUUGAAAGCUCCAUCUUCAGCUGACUUUAGACAUAGGAACAACUCAUCCAUGCCUUGGGCGUCAAGUAUCGUGUGGUACAGCUCCAAAAAUGCAGGAAAAACUCUCGAAAAUCUCUAGAAAUGAACCUUCUUGAUAAAAAAAACUUAUUAUGGGAAUACAAUCGUCAAGCCUGAAGCUAAGUUGUGAAAUUCAUAGACACUCGUCGAGUAGGGAAUACGACUCGCCGAGUGAGUCGUGAAAAUGCAGAAUUCAUGUUUUUACGCUUAGACUCGUCGAGUCAGUAGAUGCACUCGACGAAUCGGUCGUUGGGUGAAAAAAUUUUUGUUUUCUGCUCCAAGUCUUUUUGAUAAAAAAAAACUAACCACUUCAGAAUCAUAUUAAAUCUAAAAUUUAUCUUCAGUAAUUAGACUCAUGUGAAUGCUCCUCAUGACCGGAUUCAAUAUUUGAACUUCACUCUCGCUUCCUCCUAGACUCGAAAGUCCUAUUACUCGUGAGACUCUUUGUAAGCAACCCAUUUUCAAACUUCUGAAAAGACACUAAACAAACCAUGAGAAAUUAAAAAUCCUAAUUACUGGAAGUUUCAACAAACAACUAAAUAAAGACAAAACAAAUUUUUUGUGACAACCCGAAAAUCCUUGUCUCGUAAAACUCAACCAUUCAAUUCAGCCAGGUGUCGCCCUCAUUUCUGCUAUCUUUUAACACAUUUUUGGGUCUAUAUGAGUGCUCUAGGCUUAGUACAACCUAGAUAUGAGUCUAAGGAUGGAUUACAAAGUGUGUAGCAUCAAGAAAUCGGGCUAAACACACCAAAGGAGGUGUGUGCGGUCGCACACCCAGCCGCACACACCCUCCAGCCUCACACUCGACCCUAUAUAUUGAACAAUUAGCCAACCUUACACCCUUCUCUCCCACUCUCUCAAGUCUGGAACAUUCUCUCUCAAGAAUCCUUCGUGUUUUCAUCUCCAAUCAGCAAAAACAAGUAAGCAUUCAUCCUUAGAUUAUUGAUACAACACCUUUUCAUGCUUUCCUCUUGAUCUAGAUCCAAAAUUUUGUCAUUUUGAAUGAUGUUAGUGUGUGUACGGCCGCAAACGCUAUGCGUGACCGCACACACAUCUUUUGGCCUCCAUUUGAUCAUAAUCCUUAUUCCAAGCAAAGAAAUGGCCAAAACACCACCUUAGGAUCAUCACCAAGACUUGGAAAAUCGAUUUAGACACUCUUCUCGGGAGUCUACGGCCGCAUAUAGGCCUGGCUGCACACUCCUGGCCGCACACAUGUCCUGACCGCACACACAGCCGCACACUCACAAAACUUCAUGUUUUGUGGCCUUACACUCAUCCUAAGGGUCCUACAAUCGUUUGGGGACUUCAUAUGUAUUAGUAACACUUGAUUCUAAGUGUUAUUAUGUCCCUAAAGUGUUUUCCCUAUGUCUAUUAAGUGUGUUAUAUGCUAAUGGUAUUCCUACAUGUGUAAUUACAUGUUAACUAGGAUUCGUUGUGCUUCCAAUUCCAUCCGACACCCGACGAUCCUAUAUCGACCUUUCAUCUGAAUCCUUCACUUCAAGUGAGUUCAUACCCCUGAAUCAACCUUUUAAAUGAUUUUAAGUGCUUUUAUGGGGGGGGGGGGGGAUACAAGUUGAACUAGACAGUUAUUAGAUAAAUCAUAUGUAAUUAAUAACUGUCUAGCAAAUAGAUUUCUAUAUGUUAAACUGUUUUCAUCCAGCCAAAGGUUUUCAAACCUUGUUUUUAUAAACUGACAUCAAGUCAUAAAUCAUUAUUUAUAGAUUUUUGCAUGAUAAACUGCUUCAUCCAGUUAAAGGUUUUCAAAUCUUGUUUUCGAAUCUCUUUUAAAGUGUAAAAAUCCCUUUUUAGUUUAAUAAAUUCUUAUUUAUAAGUUUUUCCAAAGGUUUUACCAAAACUUCUGUUAUACUCUUGUAUUAUUAAAUGCAUGCCUGUAUAUGUAUAGUUAUAUAAGAAAUGUUUAAAAGACUUAGGAAGGCUAACUCGCCUUAAUUCCUUUUCCUUGUUUGGAUGUGGCUUUAGGGUAAUGGUUAUCCGUCCGAAGUUCGUUUAAAUAUUAGUUAUACAUCAUGUAUAAAUAUAUAGUCAUAAAAGUUCUAUCAGUAAAAUUCAUCCCCUUUGGGUAGCAAAGGCUUCUAGAUAACCUCUCAAGUAAACUAUAAUAGGUAUAGUUUAAAAACCCACUAUAACAUUCAUGAAGGAGAACUUAGUAAUAUCUAUACUCUAAAACGUAUACUCUUAGUAAAAGGAAAGAUUUAUAGAAAUUAAAAUACGAGAUGCAUCCUCAUGACGUGGAUUUUGCCGUUGUCAAGUUGGUAACCAAAGUCUCCUGGAGGGAGAGCGGGCAUUGUGUGUAUAGAUUUAUACGGGACAGACACUCCCACAUCCUGAUUGCUAGCUAUAGUCCCGGCCGACCAAGCCAAGGGAUGACAAAUGUCACAUUCAUUCCGAUGCCAGCAGGUCGUCAAAGUAUUCGAUUGUCAAUCAGUAUGGUUACGAGUAUCUCUAGAAUUACCUUAUAAUUCAUGGCUUUAAGGUAAUAAUCAUAAUCAUGGUAUUUUCUAUAUAUAAAAUAAUCCUUAUAUAUAUAUAUAUNUAUAUAUAUAUAUAUAUACCUUCCUAGUUAUACACUAGGAUACGCUUUAAAUCUUUAAAUAAACCCACUUAGGAUUAGAGAUUCUUUUAGACUUUGCGAGGCGUAUUGGUUCAUUCAAUACCACCUGGAGUCUGUAUUCCAUUCCUUUAGACUUUGCAAGGCGUAUUGGUUCAUACCAUACCACCUGGAGUCUAUGUUUUAUUUACUUUUAGUCAGCAGCAUUACUGCUGAAGUAAACUAUUCUUUCCCUAAUACUUUUGCUUGUGAUGUUCUCACAUCUUCUUUAAAGUAUAAACUAUAUUUUGAUAAUGAUAGUACUUUUGGGGGAAAAAUACUCCUUAAACAUAAAACAAUUAGGUCUUGGUAGAAGACUACUUUUUAUUAGAAAAUAUGGGAUUUUCUGGAAAGGAUUCUAACACUCUGUAAAUUCAAAACCGCCAAUUUUUAUUUGAUUAUUUUGAAGGAAAACACGUAUUUAUACUAAUGUCAUUAAAUACUUAUGAACUCACCAACAAUAAAAUGUUGAUACUUGCUUUCAAAAUAACUUGUAUUCUCAGGUCGUCAGUAGAUAGGUACACUCCGGGAGCUUUUGUGAAGACAGCCUUGUACCGAGCUGCACUCUAUGUUAUUCUCUGUAUUUACUUCGAUGUUAUUAUUAAAUGUAACCUAUGUAAAAUUAUUACUAUUAAUGCAAUGGUUGUUGUACUUUGAUUACUAUACUGAAUAUGUUGUGAUACUUGACAUGACGUCCUCCAUCCCAGAACGUUUCCGCUGUUCCGGUUUUGGGGUGUAACAGAUUGGUAUCAGAGCAUUGUUUAUAGUGAGCUCAGUGUAUCUAAUCAUAAAAGAUAUACAAACUAUAAAUACAUUGGGAUAAAACACUCUGACCAAGAAUUAUACUUUAAAAUAUAACCAUAUUUUACGGAAGUAUAAGAACAUCCAGAAUAUAAAAACCCGAACAAGUAUCACAAGAAGAAUAAGAAUAAAAGUCUUUGGAUGAUUGACCAUUACCGCCAAACUUAGGCAGUUAUGUAAUCGUAUGCUGGAAUAAUAUCCUGAUCAACUAUAUUUAUUCGAGAUGCGACUAACGUGUGCUUGGGAGUGAUGGUGGUGUUGCAACAAAUUCGAAACUUGCCAAAUAGGAAUGUUAGAGCCAAACAUAAAGUUUAAAAUACUAUAGGAGUAUUUUAUAAUACUAAAGGAUUUACAAUAAACCCAGAAUGAUGUUCAGAAGAUAAGAACCAAGCAUGUAAUUAAAAUACCAUAGGGGUAUUUUAGGAACCAUAGAUAACCUUGUGUGAAAAACUAAAAAGAUCCUUAUUGAUAUACCUAUGAUUACAAAGUGUAUACUCCCAAGGUUAUAUAUAGUGAGGAUCUCAUAGGCUAAGAAUGUGUGGUUUCGCUCUACUUCCUUUUCCUUGUUUGGAUGUGGAUAUAUAGUAGUAUCACAUAUUCGAAGGCCUAUCAGAUCUAAGUUAUAUAUGAUUGUAUACACUGUGAAAUUGUAGCAGGACUCGGAAAUAUGAUGUCUGGGGGUCCAACUCGUCGAGUGCAUGAACCAACUCAGCGAGUUGGAUGAUUUUAUGCAUGGACUCGGCGAGUCCACUGUCCAGAACAGCAAAAAAUUGAUUUUUUCAGCAUUUUUCAGCAAUUUGCAUCAAGUAUAAUUGAAAACAAUCCUUGGCUUUGAUACCACUGAAGGGUUUUGAGCAUUCUAACACUCAUAUGGUGUACAUGCAACCCUAAAUACCUUGGAUCUACUUUUUCUCUAUUAUACAUGCAAACUUGAACUUUCCAAGGUAAUACCCUAACUAGCAUACAAUCAUUGAUACUUGGGUAAUAUAAUAAGUUGGAAGACAUACCUUUUCAUGUAGCUUGAUUCUAUGGAGCUUAAGAGCCUAGUGCCUCAAGUGUGACACCUCAAAUGGUUGACACAGCAUCACCAACAACUUGGAAUAACUUGAGAGAAAAGGUUCCUAUGCUCAAAUCGGCUAGCCCUCAUGUAUACACACACUAGUGCCAAUUUCUUGAGCCAUGGGGUCCUAAUAUAUGGUGGCUAUUAGGGUUACGCCAUGUAACUCAUGUCUUUCCAUAUUCUUCAUGCUCCAUGGGUUAAAACCUGCAUGGAGUAUCCAUGGGUUACUCUAUGGGUUUAGCCUAACAUGAUGAACUAUGGAUCAUAAACCCACAUAUAUAAGAAUGAAUGAUUUACACAAUCAAUCCCCAUAUAUUUAAUUAGUCUCCUUUCGAUCACAAUAUUAAUUCCAAAUUAAUUCUUGAUCAAUACUAAUUAAAUAAUAUGAUUUCAUAUUAAUAUAUUAGAACUUAUAAUAUAUUAACAAAUCUUAAUUAUCCUUUUCUUACAAAAGUCUAUACAAAUUGUUCCGAUGCCAUGCAACCCAAAUGGACCAUGCCAAUUGGGUCAAGUAAAUAUCAAUUAUAGUUUUGGACUUAGACACUAAUCCAACAUAUCCAUGCAAGCUUAGCCCAACCUAAAUGAACUUGGCCCAUGCUAUAUAUAAGAGUCCAUAUUAAUAUACUAGAACUUAUAAUAUAUUAAAAUAAAUCAUAAACAUACUAUUCUUAAAAGACUAUCCAUAUAAAUUGUUACGGUGAUGUGUAACCCAAAUGGACCAUGCUACUCUCGGGUCGAAUACAUACCAAUAAUAGUUAUAGGCUUAGACAUCUAAUCCAACAGUCCCCCACUUGGAUAAAUCUAAAACUAUUAUUGUAUAUGACUCCAAGAUCCCGACUAGCAAUCGUAGCUCUUAAAGUCGCUGCCGAACUCUGACCUAGUCAAAUGACUUGUCCAUUAGAUAAGGGAUCAUAUAUUCCUCCAUUCUAGAUAUCAUAUGGAUUGAGACAUGGAUUAUAAUCAUUCUCUCUGCCCAUUUUUGUUUCCCGAUUUCCGAUUUAUGACGACUGACUAACUGAACAAAUCAAAUCAAUCCAGGCUUGGCCAAGCACUUAGGGGUGUCAUCACUAAAUCAUCGAGGGGCCCACAUGUAUUGCUUUUAUCCCUCCAAGGGUAAAAUGAAUGGAUAAACUUCGACUCACAUGUUUGUACUAACCAUUUGUUGAAUCAUACACAAAGGCAUGUUUUAUAACAUCAAGUUACUGAUGCGUGUUCGUGCAAUCAAUGUAUAACCAACUUAUAGUCAACAAAUCAUAUCUCUAGGUUUGAAGAAUAUAAGAUAUUAUCGUCUCAUGAUCACUCGUGAUAAAAUCCACGAAGUGAUUCAAAUGAGCGUGGGUUUAAUCCAAUACUCGAAUCUCAUUCCAGGAGUACUCAUGAAUGUUGUAGCAACUCUUGCUAUGUCCAACACCUUAGACAUCUAAAAGCCAACUUCAUGACAAUAUUGAUUCAUAUCUUCUUCCAACAUAUGACUGACCGUGGAGAAUUUAAAUAACUUAGUUAUUCGGGAAUUCAAAACAUACAAAGUGAAACACAAGAAUAAUCAAAUUCAAUAUGGCCCCAAGCACAUUUGAGAGUAAAUAGAACACAUUUUAUUUAAACACCAUAUUAAUUACUCAUUAUUCAUUGUAUAAUGUUUCGAAUAAUCAACUUAAUACUUUAAUUAAAACAAUAGUCAUGCCAUGCUCCAAGCAUGCACGCUAUGUUUGUCCAAACAAUAGUUACGCCAUACACCAAGUAUGCACACUAUAUUUGUCUAUGACCCUUACUUUGUGGAAUAGAUCAAUUUGACAUAAUUCCAAUGAUUCUCAUUUCACAAUCCCAAAUCCUUAUCGUAAAUGUAAGAAUUCUAAAUUCCUUCCAUUUACUGAAAUUUGUUAGAUUCUAAACUUAUAUGCAUUGAUCCUCUUGUACUGACUAUGCACAAAGUCACAAAGACUUGGCAACAUACAUUACAAAGUAUUCAAAAGGAGAUCAACUCCAUUGAAACUAAGUCUCAAAUUCAAAGUACAUUCCUUUGAACAUCCUUCUUUCAUUAAGUUUUCUAAUCUUAUACAAAUUUAAUGGAUAACUUCCACCUAUGAAACAUUUCCAAAUUCGCAUUCUGACUAUCACUUCUGAACAAUAGCUACCUCUUUUCAGAAUAUGUCAAUACGGUCCUUUUCCAAAUAUUUACACCAUACUUCCAACUGUCCCUGAGCAACCAAUCUUUGGUAAACCUUAGAUUGUCCUCAACAAUUGCUUAAUCAAUUUUAGUCAUAUCCAAUUCCAGACCUUUUCCCCUCUUAAUGCCUAGGCAUUUGGAAAAUUUAGAAAGGAUAAAUAUUAUAGCACAUGUAAUCGAACCUAUAUCCGAAGCAUAUGGGACACGAUUCAUGAUGUCUUAUAUAAAGACAUGAUCCUAGAUCAGGCUUUUGCUACAAUAUUUUUGAUGUCCAAACUUCCAUAAUAAGCUUUUAAUACAAAAGACUAAUCCCCCAAUUCUCAGACCUGAAUCUAAUGCAUGUCGUAAUGGGUAAAGUUUAUGGCUUUAUCUCUUUGCAUGAUCAAAUAGAGCAAAAUACCAAGCCCUAAGUCCAUAACACUAUGUUAAGCUUGUGAACUCAUGCAUGGAUGGAUGAGAGUGGCCAAGCUCUCAUUUUUAUGGAUUUACAAGCUAAAAAACGUCGGGAAAUUACACUCAAAAGAUCUGGAGUACCUAAUACUCACAAAGACCAAUGUUAUGGGGACAAAAGCACAAAACUCAUGUCUAACAAGAUCUAACAUGAGUAAUCACCAACAUAGAAGCUUUAUACCUUCUAAAGGUCGAUUAUGAGAUGCAAAAUCUGGAUCUAAAAAGCUUGAAGCUCCCAAGUGCUUCCCCAAUGAACUUCUCCUUCAAAGAUGCACACAAGAACACUCUAAGGCCUUAAAACUCUCACAAAGUGGCUAGGGUUUUGAGAUGACUGAUUAAUAGGUUGGAGGAUGGGCAUCGAGAGGGCCUCAAGGAGUUACAUACUUUAAAUAUGGCUCACAACCCCAAGAAUUAGGGUUUUGGUGCAGCGUACCUAUGCUCGGCGUAAAUGAACCUAUGCUUAGCGUAGGUCAUUAAACCCUCGCAUGACGUCUUCGUCCUACGGUCAACGUAAGGGAUUAGCCUACGUUCAAUGUAGGACAUAAAAAUUCAAAAAUGACAAUUUUAAACUUCAAAGAGUUAUAUUGAGGAUACAGAUGUUAUACAUUUACCUUAAUUGGAGAUGACCUGAAUCAAGCUCCGGUGGCCCUUCUUCCCACAGAAACCCUAUACGAUGUCCAAUGAUUCACAACCUUCCUUCUUGGGUUCUAGGCCUCAAUGAGGGUAAGGUCUGACUUCUUAUGGAUGUAGUUACAUCUAUAAAGGGUUGGUAUCAAUUUGCUUUCAACCAAAACAAGUCAUGCAUGACCAAAUGUGGAAGUCAAACAUGUGUCGGUAAAUAGAGGGCAUUGAGGAGAUUAUCGGUGAAGGAGACAAGUAUUUUUUGGUUCUGGCAACUUUGGUCCCUCGGUUUUGUACAUGCUAACAACUCCACCCCCAUAUUUUGAUUUUAUGCACAUGACUAUUUCCUAAAUUAUCAAAUGCACCCUAUACUUUUAUUAUUAUUAUUAUUAUUAUUAUUAUUAUUAUUAUUAUUAUUAUUAUUAUCUAUUUAUUUUAAUCACAAAAAUAAAUAGAUAGGUAAAUACAUAUCGAGCUUAGAAAACGGAUGCUACAAAUGCAUAAAGGAUUUGUGUUAUUGUUGAUGCUUGGUAAUGGAUUUUAAAGAUCAAAGAAUAAAUUGAUUAGAAUUUUUUUCACUCAUUACAGAAACUUAAUUUGAUUUGGUUUCAGAAGUUAGUACCCCGAAAUCGAUGUGCGGUCAUUUUCUAAAGAAGGCGGUGAUUGUAAUGGUUGCGAGGAAUCGUACAUAUGGAACUAGAUCGACAUUUUUAAUUUGAGGGAGGUGGUGGGAUUAAGUAUAUUUAGUUUUAAAAAAAAAACAAAUAGACGAAACAUUUUACACCGUAUUGAAUAUGAAGUUUUUUUUAUUUAAGCUAAUAAUGAAAUACGGUUCUACUCUAAGACUUCAUAUAACAAUAUCAUAACUUUUUUGCUUUCAAAUACAUUUUUCUGCUUUCAAAUACGCAGGAUGCUAAUAACCGUAUUCGAUCCGUUGUAUCUUAUUUACCUUUUUGUGCUACAAACUCAACCCACACACCAAGCUAAACCGAUCACCUCUUCUUGCAAAACACUAAUACCAUAAAUUUUGGAUUUACCCCGACACAGCGACACUUCGUAAAAGCAUUAAGAAUUGUAACGAAGUUUUGAAUAAUAUGCUUUGACCAUUAUAGAGUCAUCCGCAUAAAAAACGUGGUAGAUCUUAAUGUCAUUGGCACAUAUAUUAGCAGGAAUGACAAAAAAAAAAGUAUAUUUUUGUAAGGAAGGGGGUGGGGGUGGAUGUUGUGGAAUAAGUGUCGGUCACAACAUGGAUGAAAAUAGCGAUAAAUCAAAGAGUCUAAUUUUUUAAAUUAGAGAAGAACUAGAAAGUGCUCAUUAUUGUUAUGAAUCCAUCUGUAUAUAUUGUUAUUAAAUUGAGAAAUUACGUGCUCAGAUUUCGCUUUGUUUGCUUUGUGAUCGCUUUGAUCCGUCUUUGACCUUGGAUCCGUCGCUAAAUUCUUCGAUAUUCUCUUGUUAUAUUACUGUUAAAUAAUAUAAAAGCAAAUAGUACAACCUCAAAAUAUUUUUUAAGCACAAAUUUUAAUAUUUGUAAAUGUAUAAUGUAAAAGGAAAAUGACUUUUGAGGGUAAUUAACUUUUACGUUUGUACUCAUUUGGUCCCUUUCCUUUUUUUUUUUUUUUUUUGUAUUCAAUAUAUCAUUGAACUUGUUUGUGUUCACCAUAACCCUUUUGACCGACUUUUGGCCUGUGAUAGUCGGUCAAAGGAUUAUGGUGAACAUAAACAACAAGUUCGAUAGUAUAUUGAGUACAAAAAAAUGAAAGGGACCAAAUGAGAACAAACUCAACAGUUGGUUACCCUCCUGAGUCAUUUUCCCCGAAAAGUUAAAUGAAAUUAAAGUUGCAAAAUUAUCAAAGACUGCAACCUUCUUUGGCUAUAACGUAUAUGAAGAGCGUUUCAGAGGGAUAACUUCGUUAAAACAUGGUCUAUGCUAUGCAUAUUGUGGUUAGCUGUCAACACCUCUCUUCAAAGGGAUAUGAUUGUGUAUGAGAGAUAUAUUUAUCAGCAUAAAUGUUCACCUCAAGGUAUAUUAUGGUGAUGUGUCUGCAAAAGCAGCAUGAUAUUGUACAUAUUGAUGUUGUAUCUCAUCCCAUGAAUUCGAUCUUAAAGCUAAGUAAACUCAAAAAUCACAGCACUUGUGAUUCCACUCGUUUGUAGACUUGUCUAGAAUCCAUGAUACGCUAAAUCAUUCGAUUGAAAAUGUAAAUGUAGUCAUGAAAUGCACCUGCUUAGUCAAGAUUCCCCUAAUAAAUAUUCAAGUGCAUUACAAAGUUGUACAUGUAUGAAUAGUGUUCUUUCGUGGGUUAUGUUUGAAGAUAAGCAAAAAUGAAUAUCAUAAAGUCAUUAAUAUCAGUAGGAGAUGACGUGGGAUUUGCUGUAAAUGAGUAAAGAGAAAUUGACUCAGGAGGGUAACCAACUAUUGAGUUUGUUCUUAUUUGGUCUCUUUUCUUUUUUUGUACUCAAUAUACCAUCGAACUUGCUGCUUGUGUUCACCAUAGCUCUUUAACCGGCUAUCACAGGUCAAAAGCCGGUCAAAAGGGUUAUGGUGAACACAAACAACAAGUUCGAUGGUAUAUUGAGUACAAAAAAAAAAGAAAUUGACCAAAUGAGUACAAACGCAAAAGUUAAUUACCCUCAAGAGUCAUUUUCCCUAAUGUAAAACCCCAAAUGCACGUGAAUAGAACUAGAAUUGUUCACUAUUUGGAUAAAAUCGAAUUGUCCUAUUGGACAACUUGGUUCGGAUAUUUGAAUUUUCGGAUUCAUUUUCAACAAAGUCGAAUUAUUAUUUUGAAUUUCGGAUUGGUUUUGAUUUAUAAAAUAAGAACCAAAUGGUCUAAAAAAAACCGAAAAAACAAUUUAUUAUUUAUUUAUUUUAAUAUAUUUAUAAUUAUCUUUUAAUUUUNNNNNNNNNNNNNNNNNNNNNNNNNNNNNNNNNNNNNNNNNNNNNNNNNNNNNNUAUAUAUAUAUAUAUAUAUAUAAUAUUAAACAAUAAUAUAUACCUUCUUAGUAGUUGUUUAUAAACUUUAAAUCACAAUUAAAUAAUUUGUUUUUGUUUCUUCUAUAAAAUUGGAUAACAUUAUAAUUAUAUCUUGUUUUAAAAUAUUUUCAUUUUUUUAAAACCGAAUUAAAAAAACCAAUCCAACCAAAUUAUGAUUGGGUUGGAUUUGAAUUUAGCUAUAUUGUUUGGUUGUUUUUAUGCUUUAUUUUAUUAGUUUUUAAAAUUAGUCCAAAAAGCUGAUUCUAAUGUGAUUCUUGAAAAGCUUGUAAUUAAGUGGUAGGCAAAUAGGAUUUAAUAUUUAAUAAGCUUAUUAACUAUUUCUAUCAACCUAAAAAGUGUUUAAGGAACUAUUGUGCAAUCACAACUUAUGAUCAUGUUUACCAACAUUUAUAUAAUUAGAAUACGAAUGUCAAUAAGGUUAUUUUUACUUUAUUAUUUUUUAUAUUGAAUUCACACAUCUGGUUUUGUAGUUAUAACUCCCUUUUUAUAUAGUUAAGUAAAUGAUUUGAUGUUAGAAUCUUUCUAGACAUUUUAGUUUUUUUUUUUAAUAACCCAAUGUUUAUUUCUUGACCCGGUUAAUGUUGGUCGUCUUAAUUUGGUUAGUUCAUCCUUGUUAUUCAAUUUAUAAAUUUUGUAACUGUUUUAUGAUUUGAUGCUAAGUGAAACACAUCAAAUUCAUUCUGUGGUGGGAUUAACUUCGGUGUAAACUAAAAUUGCAAGUUUUUAACGUUUUCGAGCAUAUGAGAAGUAUUGAACGUUGUUGGGAACAUUCGCGAAAAACUUAAUGCAAUCUUUCAACCGAUUUUUAAGAACUUGUUUAGAGUGGGUUAAUAAAGUUAGGUUUAGUUUAAAGAACUUGAUUUGCUUAAACAAUUUGAUGAAUGGAUGAAGAUAGAGCUUCGUAAAAAUAAUAUUUAUUAAUUAUAUAACGAUCCAAUAUAAAAGAAUUAAUCAAAUAAAAAAGAAAUUAAAAAAAGUUAUUUAAAAGAAAUUAAUAAUCCAACAAAGUAAUAUUUAUUAUGUAACGCCUGUGUUUCCGGGCUUGCCGUUUUUAGCAAUAUAAUAGUCUAGGUUAACCUUUGUAACCCGUUUUGAAAUAAUAAGAUUGUAUUAUUUGAGUAUUAUGUAUUUUGUGCUUAAUUGCUUAAUUAUGUGGUUUGAUUAAUUAAGAAUAAAAAUAAGCGUCAAAAUUUAAGUAUAAAAUAAACUUAAUAUCUUUGGUUAAUGUUGUAGUAGUCGGAACGAGGUUUCCGAAUAUAUAUAGAACGCCCAAAUCUGACUUCGUAUGAGGAAGUUAUGAUUUAUCGAAGUUCCGACUUAGCGAUAUACAGCCUGUUUUACUCGAUUUGAGAUCGAGCGGUUGUUAGCCGAAGCAAUCUAAAUGAGAAUCGAAGAUCUCAUUGUUGGUAUUGAAACGAUAAAAAGUUAGGCGAGAACGGACGUCAAACGAAGAAGUUAUGAAUUUAUAACGAAAGUUUCUGUCCCGGCCUAUUAAAAAUAAUUAAUAAAAAUAAAGUCAAAAUUAGCCGACGGAGUCUAAACGAAAGUCGUAGAGCGUGGUCUCACCUUCGCGUGGAUAUAAAGAACGUCGAAAACGGAGUUCGUAUGAAGAAGUUAUGAAUUUCCGAAGUUUAUUAAUCAUUUUGUAUUUAUAUUUAAAUCAAAAUUCGGAAGCAUUAUCCGAAGGAGUCACCGAUCUGAUCCGAGGUACGCCCCGCGUACUCGAGUACGCCCCGCGUACUCCGAGGGAUGUCGACACUCGCACUCGAGCACUUCGGAUACGUAAGCAAUGACGUUUUGGGCAGUACGCCCCGCGUAACGCAGUACGCCCCGCGUACUCCGAGGCUCCAGCCUCCUAUAAAUAGGAUGCGAGGGUUCCGGGUAUUUUUGCCAAUUCCCUCUCGUUUUCGUGUCGAAGCUCUGUGCAAAAACCCCCGAAGCUACCCCGAAGUCCCGGUAUCAUACUCUAGCCCCGAGGCAAGUCCCGAGAUCCCGAAGAUCCCGAAAAGUGCGGUUCCCGAGUCGAAGCUCUGCCCGCGAGAAGUUCGAUUUUCGAGAAGAUCUUCCAGAUCUGCUGUGGAUUACUACUUCUAUAAGCCGUAGUGCUGUCCGAUCAUCUUCUGAUCAAGUGAGUGUGUAGUUAUUUCUUCUAAUACAAUAAUACGAAGUAUUUUAUAUAAAAAUACGUGCUAUGUGUAUAUAUUUGGUUGUGUUAUGUGUGAAUGAGUAUUCACUCUCUUCUAUCUUAUAGAUCUGCUUAUUUCUUUAUGAGAUAUGUGUUAUGUGUGUGUGUGCCUCAUCUGUUAUGUGAUAUAUGUGUUGAUUAAAGCAUGCUAUACAGGUUUUCUUUAAACUAUGUAUACAAAUGUAUAUUUUUAUCUACUAAUAUGUUGGGUAGAACAUGGGUAGACAGUUGGUGUGUAAUAAACAGAUGAGAGGCCUCGUUGUUGUUUGAUUGAGUCAUCUAGCGGAGUUUAGAUGACGACCACUGGCUAUUCUAGACAGUCUUGUGGAAACAUUAGCAGGUUCGCCACCUGUAGGUGUUAAUGAACUUGGGUGUUCAUUCGCUGUACUCCAUCCCCCUCAUGGUUGCCUUAUUUGACUUAUAUUGCUGAGGUACCCCCGAAGCAUGUGUUGUCGCCCCGAUGAAAUAUUCUUAGACUAGGUCCCUUAUGUUAGUUGUUUUAGGGACAUUAAAGUGAGAAUAACGGGAAUGGGUAAUUGGGUUAUUGUUGGUUGGUGAAAAUUAAAUAUGAUAUUUAUUGUGGGUUGAAAACCCUAUAUGCUCACCAGGCUCCCAAGCCUGACCCACUCAGUUUUAAAUUGUAUUACAGGUAGUGGCGGAAGGGCAUGAGAUGGAUGAACCAUCAAGUUGUUUUGUUUACAAGUCUGCAUAUGUUUAUAUUUGUUAUAUGACUUGUAAUGUAUUCGUUUAUGCUUAUUGGUCUGUAUCGGAACAUGACACCCCGAGUUUUGAUUAUAAUGAAAAUACAUUUCUUUUAUGAAAUGCUUCGGUAAACAAUGUUUUAUCAUGUUUUGUUUUUGGGAACAAAUUCCGCAACUCUUUCAAAUCAAAAGGAUUUACUCUGAAAAUAUUUAAAAGCAUAAAUGAAAAUCGGUCUUUUCUGGCCGAGAUUUUGGGGAUGUCACAGUUGGUAUCAGAGCAUUAGUUUAAGCGAACUAGGAAUUUGUAGGAUUUCUAGACUUAAACUUAGAAUGCUAAGUGAAGUUUUGAGAUGUGUGUCUGUUGUGUUUUAGACACGAGCACUAGUUUAUUUUAGGAAAGUUGCCUAAAAUGCUUUAUGUGCUAAAUGUUAUAUGUUGCCAUAUAUGAUAUUAUUUGUUCGGAUCUAUGGUCUGUUGCCGACCGGAUCUAGAAACCUUAUGUGUGUAGGAUUCUAAGCGUACGUCUACGAUAUUAGAACUAGCAUGUAAACGUUUCGGAGUGAUAAGGAUGAUUUGAAUAUCUAUCAUGAUUGAGGAUCUAAUUUCACCUUAUUCGGUGUAGAUCAAAAUGGUGAGAACAAGAAGUGGAGUUGGAAAUGCUGACGAAAACAGGAAUCAACCACCAGUGAUUGAGCCAAUACCUGUCGUAGCAGCAGCACCUGAGCCAAUAACCAUGGCUGGUGUGCAAUUGAUGAUUCAGACGAUGUUGGAUCGUCAGAUGGAUGAAACUAGACGGUUGCUUCAACAAAAUCGUGAAGAACUGUCGAUUCGUGUGGAAGAGCCUGAACUGAAUGAAGGGCACUCGGAAGGUGGAAACUUCAGUGGGUCUGUUGGUCCAGCCAACCCACCGAUAGUUAGGCAAGAUAACCAUGAUGGAAGGAAUGAUGGAAUGGGAUGCAAGUACAAGGACUUUUUGACUUGUAAACCAUCGACCUUCAAUGGAAAGGAGGAUCCGAUUGGGGUUAUGGAUUGGAUCUCCGAAAUGGAGUUAGCCUUUAUGACAUGUGGCUGUAGAGGCAAGUUGCAGACUAUCUAUGCCGUGCGACAAUUCCGAGGUGGAGCCGUUCGUUGGUGGAACACUCUAGGGAAGACCUUAAGCCCUAGCGAGCCACUGCAAUUGUCAUGGGCAGAGUUCUUGGUGCAGUUUAAGCGCAAGUUCUGCUCGGCUCAAAAUCUGUUGGAGUUGGAGAACAAGUUUCUGACAUUGACGAAGGGUAGCAUGUCAGUUGAUGAAUACACCAAUAACUUCACCGAUAAGAUGGAGUUUGCCUUGCGUAUCGUUCCAGACGAGCUGACAAAGGUGGAUCGGUAUGCGAAGGGACUUCCAUGGGAGUACGAGGUGCCGGUACGUCAGGCACUUACUCUAGAGGCAGCUAUCUGGGCUGCCAAGUCUGUGGAGAACAUGAUAAAGGGGAGAACCACCGACAAGGUUGAGGUUGGUGAGAAAAGGAAGUUUGAAGGAACAUCUGGUUCCAGUAAGAAGAGUAAAUUUUCGAAAUUUGAUUCGAAAAAGUUUGGAGGAAAAGGAGGCGAAGCGAAGUGGUGUGAUAAGUGUAGGAAAAAGCACUUUGGGAAAUGUAGCGAGGAUGUAACCUGCUACAAGUGUGGAAAGGUUGGACAUUUUGCCAAUGAAUGUCCGAACAACAAAAGGAUGUGUUUUGGUUGUAAUGAAGAGGGGCAUAUUUUGAAAGACUGUCCGAAGAAGAAGGAGGCAGCUAGGCCCAACAUUCCACCAAAGCCGAAGGCGAGAGCCUUCCAGAUGACACUUGAGGCUGCGAAAGAUGAAGCUGAUGUCGCUUCAGGUACCUUUCUCGUAAACGAAUUACCUGCUCAUAUAUUGUUUGAUUCUGGAGCCAACUACUCCUUUAUUUCGCAUGAGUUUGGUAGAAAGCUAGCUUUGCCUGUUGAUAGACUAAAUAAUGCUUUAUUAGUCGAAGUAGCUAGUGGCAAGUUUGUACCUGUUAGCCAUCGUAUGAAAAACGUCUUGAUCGACCUUAAUGGGAAUAAGUUUCUCGAGGAAUUAUUGCCUAUCGAACUAAAUGGUUUCGACAUCGUCUUGGGAAUGGAUUGGCUUAGCGCCAAUGAUGCCGAAAUUUUGUGCAAGAAGAAGAUAGUUAAAGUAAACCCGCCUGGGAAAGAUUCGUUUAUGGUGUAUGGGGACAAACGCAGAGUGAAUUCUGGAAUCAUUUCUCUAAUGAAAGCCAGAAAGUGUUUGACCAAGGGAUGUACAUCAUAUUUAGCAUUCGUGAUUGAUGCUAAGAAAGAAAAGAAGGUGAUGCAGAGUAUUCCAGUGGUGUGUGAUUAUCCGGAAGUAUUUCCCGAGGAUCUUCCUGGAUUACCACCUGAUAGACAAGUGGAGUUCAGAAUAGACUUGUUACCAGGAACCACGCCAAUAGCAAAAGCACCUUAUCGAUUAGCACCGACGGAGAUGAAGGAGCUAAUGAUGCAACUUCAGGAGUUAUUGGACAAAGGUUUCAUUAGACCUAGUUCAUCGCCCUGGGGAGCUCCGGUGUUAUUUGUAAAGAAGAAAGAUGGAAGUAUGAGAAUGUGCAUCGAUUACAGAGAGCUGAACAAGGCAACAAUAAAGAAUAGAUAUCCGUUGCCGAGGAUUGAUGACCUGUUUGAUCAAUUGCAAGGUUCGAGCUAUUUCUCGAAGAUCGAUCUUAGGUCAGGAUAUCAUCAGCUGAAAGUAAGAGAGCAAGAUAUCGAGAAGACUGCAUUCAGAACUAGAUAUGGACACUACGAGUUCUUGGUUAUGUCGUUUGGACUAACCAAUGCUCCAGCAGCGUUCAUGGAUUUGAUGAAUAGGGUUUGUAACCCGUUCCUUGAUAAAUCCGUGAUAGUGUUCAUAGACGACAUUCUGAUUUACUCGAAAAGCCAGGAGGAGCAUGGCAGACACUUGCGAGAAGUGUUAGAAGUCUUGAAGAAGGAGAAGCUGUAUGCUAAGUUCUCCAAAUGUGAUUUUUGGAUUCGUGAAGUCCAAUUCUUGGGUCACGUGGUCAACCAAGAAGGGAUAAUGGUUGAUCCAGCGAAGAUCGAAGCUGUGACGAAGUGGGAACAACCGAAAAGUCCCACGGAGAUUCGAAGCUUUUUAGGAUUAGCCGGAUAUUACCGAAGGUUUAUCCAAGGCUUUUCUUCGAUUGCUACUCCAUUGACAGCUUUGACCCACAAAGGAGCUACUUAUGCUUGGAGUGAGAAGCAUAAAGAAGCAUUCGAGAAGUUAAAGAAGAAGCUAUGCGAGGCACCGAUACUUUCUCUACCCGAUGGAGUUGAAGACUUCGCUGUUUAUAGCGAUGCGUCUGGUGUUGGAUUGGGUUGUGUUUUGACCCAAAGAGAAAAGGUGAUAGCAUAUGCGUCUCGACAGCUGAAAGAGCAUGAAAAGAAUUACCCGACUCAUGAUUUGGAGUUGGCAGCGGUAGUUUUCGCUCUGAAAAUAUGGAGGCAUUACCUCUAUGGCACGAAGUGCAAACUUUUCACUGAUCAUAAGAGUCUCCAAUACCUCUUUAAUCAGAAAGAAUUGAAUAUGAGGCAACGACGCUGGCUAGAAUUACUUAAAGACUAUGACUGCGAGAUACUUUACCACCCCGGUAAAGCUAAUGUUGUUGCUGAUGCUCUCAGUCGGAAAGUCAAUCCCGAAAGGAAAAGGCCAAGAGCGUUGAGAAUUGAAGUUGUCUCAACUAUUUUGGAAAGUAUAAAGAAAGCUCAGAGCGAAGCUUCUGAGAAGAAUGACAGAAAGGAGGAACGUUUGGGCAAAACGUUGGUGUUCGGUGUAAACAGUCAUGGACUGAAGGUGUUCCAAGAUCGGAUUUGGAUACCUAAGACAGGAGGAGUCAGAGAUCUUCUGAUGGAAGAAGCUCACAAGACCAUGUACUCGAUUCAUCCGGGUAGCACUAAAAUGUAUAGGGACCUGAAACCCUACUACUGGUGGCCGACGAUGAAGCUUGAUGUUGCAAAGUAUGUGGCCGAGUGUGUGACUUGUGCGAGAGUCAAGACACAACAUCAGAAACCGUACGGGAGUUUAGAACCUUUGCCUGUGCCUAUGGGUAAGUGGGAAGACAUUGCUAUGGAUUUUGUCACUAAACUGCCCAGAACAAAGAAUGGUCACGACAUGAUUUGGGUGGUCGUUGAUCGAUUCACUAAGAGUGCGCAUUUCAUAGCGGCCAAGGAGAAAUGGUCUAUGGAAAAGCUUGCGAAUUCUUACGUGAAGGAAAUUGUGAGGCUUCACGGUGUUCCGUUAACGAUUGUAUCGGAUCGUGAUAGCCGUUUCACCUCAAGGUUUUGGAAAAGUCUACAAGAGGAAAUGGGUACCAAGUUAUGUUUAAGCACAGCUUACCAUCCGCAGACUGAUGGUCAGAGUGAAAGAACAAUACAAACACUUGAAGAUAUGCUGAGAGCAUGUACCUUGGAAUUCCUAGGUAAUUGGGAUGAACAUUUACCGUUGGUAGAAUUUUCCUAUAAUAAUAGUUUUCACUCGAGCAUUAAGAUGGCACCUUACCAAGCUUUGUAUGGACAGAAGUGUCGUACGCCGUCUUGUUGGCUUGAGGCUGGGGAAAAGCAGUUUAUGGGACCGGAGAUGGUUCAUCAAACUGCUGAAAAGUUGAAAAUAAUUAGGGAAAGAAUGUUAGCAGCUCAAGAUCGUCAAAAGAGCUAUGCUGACAAGAAGCGAAGACCGAUGACUUUUGAGGUUGGAGAUUCGGUUUUGCUUAAAGUCUCGCCGUGGAAGGGACUUAUAAGAUUUGGUAAAAGGGGAAAGUUGAGUCCAAGGUUUAUUGGACCGUUUAAAGUUCUUCAGAGGAUUGGGAACCAAGCUUACAAGCUCGAAUUACCCGAAGAACUGAAUGGAAUUCACAACACUUUUCAUGUGUGUUAUUUGAGGAAGUUCACGGGAGAAGUUCCCGAUAUAAUUCCAAUUUCUGAAUUGAGAAUUGAUGAGAACAAAAGGUUGAUUGAAGAACCAGAGGCAAUUGUUGACCGAAAGACUAAGAAGUUGCGACGCAAAAUGGUUGGGUUAGUGCUUGUCCGAUGGAAACACACGAAUGGGCCGAAUCUCACCUGGGAGACGGAGAGUGACAUGUUGAGUCGCUAUCCGCAUUUGUUUGUUGAUGUGUGAUUCCGGGGACGGAAUCAUUCUAAGGUGGAGAGAAUUGUAACGCCUGUGUUUCCGGGCUUGCCAUUUUUAGCAAUAUAAUAGUCUAGGUUAACCUUUGUAACCCGUUUUGAAAUAAUAAGAUUGUAUUAUUUGAGUAUUAUGUGUUUUGUGCUUAAUUGCUUAAUUAUGUGGUUUGAUUAAUUAAGAAUAAAAAUAAGCGUCAAAAUUUAAGUGUAAAAUAAACUUAAUAUCUUUGGUUAAUGUUGUAGUAGUUGAAACGAGGUUUCCGAAUAUAUAUAGAACGCCCAAAUCUGACUUCGUAUGAGGAAGUUAUGAUUUAUCGAAGUUCCGGCUUAGCGGUAUACAGCCUGUUAUACUCGAUUUGAGAUCGAGCGGUUGUUAGCCGAAGCAAUCUAAAUGAGAAUCGAAGAUCUCAUUGUUGGUAUCGAAGCGAUAAAAAGUUAGGCGAGAACGGACGUCAAACGAAGAAGUUAUGAAUUUAUAACGAAAGUUUCUGUCGCGGCCUAUUAAAAAUAAUUAAUAAAAAUAAAGUCAAAAUUAGCCGACGGAGUCUAAACGAAAGUCGUAGAGCGUGGUCUCACCUUCGCGUGGAUAUAAAGAACGUCGAAAACGGAGUUCGUAUGAAGAAGUUAUGAAUUUCCGAAGUUUAUUAAUCAUUUUAUAUUUUUAUUUAAUUCAAAAUCGGAGGCAUUAUCCGAAGCCGUGUCACCGGUGUAAUCCGGAGUACGCCCCGCGUACGAGGUUACGCUAUCGCGUAACUCCGAUAGUGUCGACACUUCGGAUGACGCAUGCAAUGACGAUUUCGGACGCGUACGCGCUGCGUACGCCUGUACGCCCCGCGUACUCCGAGGUUCCAGCCUCUAUAUAAAGGAUCCGAAGGCAGCCUCAUUUCUUGUUCAUUUUCUUCUCUUCUCUCUAGUCUUUUGCAUCGUUUUUCGUGCCGAAGCUACCCCGAAGCCCCGGUAUCAUACUCUAGCCCCGAGGCAAGUCCCGAGAUCCCGAAGAUCCCGAGAAGCGCGGUUCCCGAGUCGAAGCUCUGCCCGCGAGAAGUUCGAUUUUCGAGGAGAUCUUCCAGAUCUGCUGUGGAUUACUACUUCUAUAAGCCGUAGUGCUGUCGGAUCGUCUUCUGAUCAAGUGAGUGUGUAGUUAUUUCUUCUAAUACAAUAAUACGAAGUAUUUUAUAUAAAAAUACGUGCUAUGUGUAUAUAUUUGGUUGUGUUAUGUGUGAAUGAGUAUUCACUCUCUUCUAUCUUAUAGAUCUGCUUAUUUCUUUAUGAGAUAUGUGUUAUGUGUGUGUGCCUCAUCUGUUAUGUGACAUAUGUGUUGAUUAAAGCAUGCUAUACAGGUUUUCUUUAAACUACGUAUGAAAAUAUAUAUUUUUAUCUACUAAUAUGUUGGGUAGAACAUGGGUAGAUAGUUGGUGUGUAAUAAACAGAUGAGAGGCCUCGAUGUUGUUGUUGUUGUUGAUCUAGUUAUUCAGCGGAGUAUGGAUAACGACCACGGACUCUUUCUAGACAGUCCAGUGGAACGCUAGCAGGUUCAUAACCUGUAGGUGUUGUGAACGAUGUGUUCACCGGUGUACUCUAUCCCCCUCAUGGUUGCCUUUAGGAUAUCUAUUGUUGAGGAAACCCCUUCGCAGUGAUGUCCGUCCCGAUGAAAAUCCUAGAUUAGGUCCCUUGAGAUAGUUGUUUUAGGGACGUAAAGUGAGGAUAACGGGAAUGGGUAAUCGGGAUAGUGAUUGGUUGGUGAAAUUAAAUAUAACUUAUUUAUUGUGGGUUGAAAACCCUAUAUGCUCACCAGGCUCCCAAGCCUGACCCACUCAGUUUUAUUUGUAUUACAGGAAGUGGCACAAGGGCGUAAGAUGGAUGGAUCAUCUUGUUGUUUUGUUUACAAGUCUGUAUAUGUAUAUAUUUGUUGAAUGACUUGUAAUGUUUAUCGUUUAUGCUUUAUGGUCUGUAUCGGAACAUGACAUCCCGAGUUUUGAUUAUAUAAUGAAAUGCAUCUCUUGAUGAAAUGCUUUGAUAAAUAUUAUUUUAUCAUGUUUUGUUUUGGGAACAAAUUCCGCAACUCUUUCAAAUCAAAAGGAUUUACUCUGAAAAUAUUUAAAAGCAUAAAUGAAAAUCGGUCUUUUCUGGCCGAGAUUUUGGGGAUGUCACAGUUGGUAUCAGAGCAUUAGUUUAAGCGAACUAGGAAUUUGUAGGAUUUCUAGACUUAAACUUAGAAUGCUAAAUGGAAUGAUGAGAUGUGUGUCUGUUGGAUUUUAGACACGAGCACUAGUUUAUUUUAGGAAAGUUGCCUAAAAUGCUUUUAUGUGCUAAAUGUUAUAUGUUGCCAUAUAUGAUAUUAUUUGUUCGGAUCUACGGUUUGUUGCCAACCGGAUCUGAAGGUUUAUGUGUUUAGGAUUCUAAGCGUAUGUAUACGAUAUUAGAACUAGCAUGUAAUCGUUUGGAGUAAUAAGGUGAAAUUAUUCGGUGUGUAGAUCAAAAAUGGUGAGAACAAGGAGUGGCGUUGGAAACGCAGAUGAAAACAGGAAUCAACCGCCAGUGAUUGAGCAAAUACCUGUUGUAGCAGCAGCACCAGAACCAAUAACAAUGGCUGCGGUGCAAGCCAUGAUUCGGGCUAUGCUAGCCGAACAAAGGGAGGAGAUGCGACAAAUGUUGCAUAAUAAUAGGGAUGAACCUAUCAUACCUAUUGAGGAACCGGAAUUGAUUCCCGAGCAAUCGGAGGAAGGGAACAAUAGUCGCAUGGUGAGUCAAGUUGGGACUCAAGAGGAACGAAGGAACGAUCCGGAAAGGAGAAACAACAAGGAUGGGCGUAUGUACAAGAAUUUCUUGGGCGCCAAACCGCCAAGUCUUUCUGGGAGCCCAAAGCCUGUUGAGAUAAUGGAUUGGAUCUCCGAAAUGGAGAUGGUAUUUGAAAGUUGCGACUGUAGCAACAAACAGAAGACCGUAUUUGCGGUUAGACAACUGAAGACUGGAGUCUUGAGUUGGUGGAAGUUGUUGGCAGAUACUAUGCCACGAGGAGAAGCCCUGAAAAUGUCAUGGGAGGAGUUCUUGGAACAGUUAAGGGUGCAGUAUUGUUCGGAGAUAGAUCUGAUUGAUCUGAACAAUGAGUUUCAAAACUUAAAGAAGGGGAAGAUGAGCAUAGAUGACUAUGCUACUGCAUUUACUGAGAAGAUGAAGUUGUUUCCGUACCUAGUGCCGACGGAACUCUCCAAGAUUGAGAGGUUUGCUAACGGACUGCCUGCUGACUUUGGUCCGACAGUCAAAAUGGCAACCACUCUGAAAACGGCUGUUCGUGCAGCUAAGAAUGUGGAGGCCCAGCAGAAGGAAAAGGGUCUGGAAAGAAUAGAUGUUGGAGAAAAGAGGAAGUUCGAUGGAACUUCAGGGUCCAACAAGAAAAACAAGUUCUCGAAGUCUGGUUCGAGGGGAGGUGGAGGUGAAGCGAAAUGGUGCGACAAAUGUAAGAAGAAGCAUCAUGGAAGAUGUGAGGUGGCGAACACAUGCUACAAGUGUGGAAAGCCAGGGCACUAUGCCAAUGAGUGUACCCUCACAAAGAAAGUUUGCUAUGGUUGUGGUGAGGAGGGUCAUAUGUCGAGGGACUGCCCGAAGAAGAAGGAGGCAGCUAGACCCAACAUUCCGCUUUUUUCAAACAUGUAUGGAUUUAAAAGGCUUUAGCAUGUCAUCUUGGAAUGCACAUGUGCUUUUUUCAACAAACUCAUCUCUCUUUCUCCACCAUCUCAUUGCUUUUUAAAGUUUGUGUGAAUUUUGUUCCAAUGCAUCUCGAGUUCGUUUACAUUAGUCCAUUUGAGUUACAUUGGUCAUGCGCCCUAUAAUAUUGACUUUGAACUAUACCCUUACAAAAACGCUAUGUAACACGUAUCCAAAAUUAAUCAUGAGAUUGGUUCUUCCCUAUGGCAUUAUCUUUCGAUAUGUUGACCCAUGAAUUCGCUAAUUCUGUCUUUUCUUUUUGACUCCAUCAUCUACUUUCGGCCCUCCUUUUUCUUUUUGGUUGAGCUUGUUGUUUGGGUUCGGAAUCGAAAGGGAUGAUGACUGAUCGUAACUGAAGAGUGCAAUUGGGUUGGAAGAGUUGGAAGAAUUUGGGUUGUUAGAAGACAUUUUGAGAGUAAAAGAUUUGUAGUUUGUUUAGAUUAAAUGGUAAAAAUAUGAAUGUAUAUAGUGGUUAUUUGGUUUUAAAAAAAAUGAAACACUCCAACGGACAUAAAAUGCAACCGUACGAUCUCCAAUGAUCCAUAUUUUUUUUUUGAACGACGUCAAAAGCUUGCCAUCGGCGUAAUGCUGCCGGCGAUAAGUCCACAGGGGAUGGUAUUUACCGCCGGUAACAAUGUCCACCUCGACUUGCCGCCGGGGAAAUCACCACUACACCGUCUAGUCUAUCCUUAAUUGCUCCAUGCAGCCGUUUGUUUUCACCACGUGCCCACUUGCAUGGAACGCUAUUGUCUUGUUUUGACAAUGAUUUUGGUUUUAUACGUACUUUCGUAAUCAUGCAUACCACAGCCAAACAAAUAAUCAAAUUCAAAAUCUUUUUCUCAUAUAACACUUCUUUUAUCAAAUGUACCCUUUUAAAAAUAUUUAAUUCAUGUUUAUAUAAAUUAUUUUAAAUUUCUUAUACCGGACAUUGGUAUUAAUUUCGUGUUGUUUACAAAAAAGACACCGGUACUUUGCAUAAUCAUUUUAUUUAAAACUGGGAAUUGUUUUUACAUAAUAACUAAAAUAAAAUCUAAUAAACAUUUUUUCCGUAAGAAAACUAUUCGCUAAAAGAGAUAUCUAUAGUCGCCGUUUUGCGCCGACACACGUCUAGUUGCAAAAAAUUAUAUUUAUAAGGUUUUCUGGAAAUAAGUAUUGGCGACUGAGAUUAAUGAAAAAUAGUGACAAAUCUAAUAAUAUUAAAGGUCCCAAAAAAAAGAUAUUUGUCAAAUGAAUAUUUGUAUAUAUAAAGUCUCAAAUUAGGCUGAGAUGCAAAGUGCCAAAAUAAUUAUAAAUUGUAAAGUUGACUUUGAUGUUACAAUGUUUCACUAAACACGAAUGCCUACAUUUCUUAACAUCCGUAUGGAAUUUUGAAAAACUUCGAGAUUGAUGGGUUUUAUAUAUAAUCAUUUAUAUGAUGAAAUUAUGUCAUUUUCGUUCAAAUUAAUUUUGUAAUAUUAAUAAAAUGAAUAAAUAUAUUAUGCUAUUUAUCAAACAGUGAUGAAGCUAUUUCUAUCUAUAAAUACUGCAAGUACUUUGCAUAUCUUUACACAAAACAAACUACAACACUUUCCCACUAUAAGAAGCAAAACCAUCAAAAAUGGCUUCAAGAGCUUUGGCAACCACAGCUUUUCUCCUUACGAUCAACCUUCUUUUCUUCACUCUCGUAUCUUCCACUAGUACCCCAAAAGGCUGCCCACCUCCACCAAAACCUCCAACAUCACCAGGAUGCCAUUGUACAUCACCACCAAAACCUCCAACACCCACAAAACCUUCAACACCUCCAAAACCCACAAAACCUUCAACACCUCCAAAACCUUCAACACCUCCAACCCCUCCUAAAGCCACUUGCCCAAUAGACACUCUCAAAUUGGGUGUGUGUGGUAACGUGCUCAACAACCUUCUCCCCAUAGUCAUCGGAAACCCAUCCGAGACACCAUGUUGUUCCCUUCUUUCCGACAUUGCAGAUCUUGACGCUGCAGUCUGUCUUUGCACUGCCAUCAAAGCUAAUGUUUUGGGAAUCAACCUCAAUGUUCCUAUCUCAUUAAGCGUGUUGCUUAACUACUGUGAAAGGAAGUCCCCAUCCGGCUUCCAAUGCACCUAGAUUUUGAAAGCUUAUAACUAUAGAUUGUUGUAUUUUGGAAUAUGUUUUCUUAUGUUUAAUACGAUGUAAAGAAUCAAUUACGAUAUGAUUCCAGAAUAAAGUUGUGUACUAUAUUUUGAAAUUUUAGUGACUUUAAAAAAAAUAUCAACUCCAAAAAAAAAC